AACCCUACUGUGCUGUGGCCUCAUCAACCACCUCAUCUUCCCUACACCUCAAGGCAAGAAAGCAAGGGACUCACAUAUUCUCUGCUGGUUUCUUCACCUUCAAGCCUCUCAAGCAACCCAGCUUAUGCAACCAGAAACCCAGCAUUCAGAAUUCCAAGAAAUUAAAUUCCCAGAAGUUCUCAGAGAUGGCAUUCCCGUCCUCCUCUCAGGUGGACCCCAAAAUGCAUGAUCCCUCUCUCAAUCAAUCUGAUCUCCUAGGUCUCCCAAUCAAUCUCCCAGGACUCCCAGGUCUCCCAGGACUCCCAGGCCUCCCAGGCCUCCCAGGACUUCCAAUAUCCCUUGCUGCUGAAAAAACUUCAUCUAAGUCCUCCAACUCCAAAACUUCAAAGAAUGGGCAACUAGGUGAUAAUAGAGAAGUAGCCCAUCCAGAUUCUCCACCAGCAGGUUCAGCACCAUGAUUCCCAACCUGCCACCUAUCCUGGUUUCUGUUGGGUUCCUAUCCUAUUGGGCGUAACCCGUUUAAGUAUAAUAAGCCCAUUUAGGUCUUCUGAGUUGUGGUUUCCUGAACUUCUAUGUAUAUGGUCUCUUCCUUCUCCUUGAGAACUAUGUGAAAUAUUAAGAGAACUAUGUGAAAUAUUGAAUAUUUAAGUUUUAUCUUCUUUUCCCAUUUUCUCUGUAAUUUUCCCUCUUUCUUCUCUAACGAGAAUGUGUCAUGCAUAGACAGCUAGUCAGCUACGAGUACGGUAAUAUAAUACGAUUCAAUUAUUAGUUAAAUACAAUGAUUAUCGUUGAAACUCAAAAUUUCAGGACAAGGGAGUCGCAUGGAUUCAGAUAUAAAAAUUAUAUAUAUAUAUAUAUAUAUAUAUAUAUAUAUAUAUAUAUAUAUAUAUAUAUAUAUAUAUAUAGGGAAUUGUUAUUGGCACUUCAAAAAUCUCAUUCUACACUCCAAAUUUUCUAUGUUUGGAAAGAAAAAAACAUUUGUGAGGUGUGUAGAAUUAGAUUUUUGGAGUGACAAUAACAAUUCCCUAUAUAUAUAUAAAUUAUUAUUGAAUAUUACCCAAGGAUGAAAUAUGUGAUGUUUAUUAACUAAUGAAAUGUGCUUGAAAACUUUGAGUUUUAAUGAUAAGGACAAAAUAAAGGGUAAAGUGAAUAGUACCAGGAUUGACUUUUUAAUGUAAAAAUGUAGUUUUUCGUUAAAAUGAACAGUACCAGGAACUUUUCGUUAAAGUUCCCUUAUUAAUAAGCAUUUUAGGAAUAUCUCUGACUAUGUUUAUUAACAAUUCCCUAUUAUUGAAUAUUAUUGAAUAUAACCUUUUUCAUCCUUGGGUAAUAUUCAAUAAUAAUUUAUAUAUAUAAUAUUAUAAUAAUUUAUAUAUAUAUAUAUAUAUAUAUAUAUAUAUAUAUAUAUAUAUAUAUAUAUAUAUAGGGAAUUGUUAUUGUCACUCCAAAAAUCUAAUUCAGGGACGUCGUCGUUCUGUAAAUUAUUAAACCAUUCAAAUAUGCGAUGUUUAUUAAUAAGCAUUUUAGGAAUAUCUCUGACUAUGUUUUUAGAUUAACAUGCGCUUAGCAACAGAAAAUUGUCAUGGAGAAGCGGUUGCCCAAACUUAAGGCUGCAAUUUUGAGUGCUCAGAAGUGCUUGGAAGAUUGCAACUAUGUUAGGGGAUUGGUGAGUGACCAUCAUACGCGGAGUUGUUCUGCAUUUUUUAGUUGUACAGUAGUUGUAUAGACAGUCCAUUUUUCUACGUUAGCAGUACAAUUUCUUUUUGUUUUCAUCUUGUUUUUCCUCUCUUUAAUUGUCUGAACUGCAAUACGUUUCUGCAGCUUGAUGAAUGGUGGGACUCCCACCCACCAUAACCGUUGCUCAUCCCUAGAUAGGAGCAACCAGCAACAAUUGUUGUUGACUGGGUCUGAGUCGAUGGAUUAAAUGUUGCUGCCUGGCAUGAUCAUGUGAAGCAGCUCCUUGAAUUUUAUGAUCAGGAGCACUUGUGAGUAUUAUUCGAGUACUCAGCAAACAAGAUUUUAUGGGGAUCUAACUGGUCUUCCUGUUGGCAGUCCCACAUUGAUGGGGGAAGUCAACAAGGGUGGCUAUAAAUAUGAUUACGCUACUCUAACUAAUACCAAGGUUUUUUUUGGUAAAACCCCACACUUGACGGAUUGGGCAGGUGAUAAAGUUGGGGACUGUAUCGGUCUUAUUAGAGUGGCCAGUUGGGGACUCUAUAGGUCUUGUUAGAGUGGUCCCUGGGUCCGUCGAUCUCUACGAAGCCCCUUGUUUCAUUCAUUCUCGCAUUGCUAAAAACACAUUUUCAUUCAUUCUCGCAUCGUUAAAAACACCUACAAAGGCUUGGUAGAAACUCAAGCUCGACUUUAUGCUUGGAAGGUGAAUUCAUUAUCUCUGGCUGGUCGCGCCACUUUUGUUCAGUCUAUGACCUCCGCUGUCCAGUAUAUGCUUUGCAGACAAUAUUACCAAUUACCAUUACAGAUAACCCCGAGUGUCAAAGAUUUUCCCAAGGCAAGAGAAGUUUGGCAAAAGUUGGAAAGUAUAACCAAUAGUCAGACCACAUUAAUUUUCAUGAUUGGCUUCAUUUUAAUUUCACCACUAAAUCACUCAUAUUGGGGGGUUUAGAGUAGAUGUUAGUAUUUUCUGUUGCUUGUUGGUUUAUUUGGUAUUGGCGAAAUACAUUUAUUUUCGAGCAAGAUUUUGCAAUGUUAGAUGAGCCUACCGUCGAUAUUUGUGCAUAUUUUCAUGAAUUGUUAGCCUUCUAAUACUCACAAAAUUGAUAAAUGCCGAAAGACUGAAUCUUUGCUCCACUGGGAAGCUCUUCAUUCAAAAUUGAUUUACACUUGAUGGAAAAUAAUGCUCCUUACAUAACUAACCGGCAGCCGUGCCGGAGGCAAUGUGUGUAUGGAAUCAUAUACUGAGGAUAUUGUCACUUCUAUGUUACGAUUUGAGGAGAGAAAGGCGGAGUAGGGAAGCCGGCCGAGAGGAACAGCUCCUGAUCUUAAGAAGGAUAUGUUGUAUCAUAAACUUAUAACUUGGUCCCUUAUUGAAUGAAAGGGCAGGCUUCUGCUUUGAAUAAUACCACUUCAGACUUCAGUCCAAUUAUGUCUUCCUGUUCUGAAAAUUGACAACUCCAUGUGAUAACAAAACAUCUCAUGUAUUAUUGUACGGUUGAAAAUUGCUGCUUUACACUAUACAUUUAACGUGAUUAGAAAUUCCAUGAAAAUUUACAAACAAUACCAGGGAUGUGUCAUAGGCUGAAAAGGAGUAAGGAUGUUUGUACAUAGGCUGAAAAGGAGUAGGGAUGUUUGUACGUUCCUUCCCCACAGCAAAACCACAUAGCAAAAGGAUUACAAACACAGCUAACAAAUCAAUAAACACAAAAUCAUCAUUAGGUCAACGAUCAUAUGAUUAUAUCAGAUGCACGUCAAUUAAAUAAUUCUCAUGUUCAACUAAGGUCACUAAAAGCCCCCUAUUUGGCCUAAUUAGAUAUGGUCUUCGUGGUGAUAGGAUAUUUGUAAUAUAGCUCAUGACUUAAAAAAAAAAAUUCGGAUUUAAACCCUUGUGGUGAUAGGGUAUUUAGAAGACAAUCCAUUUCUAUUGAGCCACAAUGAAGGGAGUGCAGAAAUUCACAGUUUUGUUUUUGGGAUUAACAAAGAAAUAACAGAAAUUUGGUUUUUGGGCUUAAAUCACAACGGACUUCACCACAAGAAUAUAAAUCUGAUUUUUUUUACCACAUGGGCUAUCUUCCGAAUACUCUAUCAUCACGAGGACUAUUUAUACAAUUAGGUCAAUGUUUUUUUAAGGUGAAUAUCACAUGCUAAAACGGAGAAGGAUUCUCUCAUCUUCUAAUCUCUCUCCCAUUCCCUCCUCUCCUACUUGAACAAUUAUGAUUAAGUUAUGUCAAUAUUUUAUAUUGAUAUUUUUAUAAAGAUAAUAAGACAAAAAACAAUGUGUUGAUGCACAAAAUCAGCGAGGACUUUGGUACAACAGAAAGUGUCAGGUUUGUGACAUUCGCUUGGUUGCUUCGAUCACUAGUGAAGAUAAGUACGUAAAUGAAUAGGGACAGGGAAGCAAACACAAGAUGUACGUGGUUCACCCAAAUCGACUACGUCCACGGAGUAGAGGAGUUCUCAUUAAUUGUGAAGGGUUUACACAAAUACAUAGGUUCAAGCUCUCAUUUUUUGAGUUCUAGUGAAUAGUUUAGUACAAAAUGACAUUAGAUAUUAUUGUGGGAGAAUGAUCCCUAUUUAUAGAAGAAAGUUUCUAGUUUUGUUCUAACAUUGACACGUGUCGUGUUGUGAUUGGCUUCUGAUGUUGACACGUGUCGCGCUGUGAUUGGCUUCUGAUGUCGACACGUGUUGCAUUGUGAUUGGCCUCCUGGUUGAAGGGAAGCUCUUCUGGGUCCUUGACGUAUAACGUUGACCGGUGCUCAGUAGUUUCGGGAUUGGUCAAGUAUGGUACAAACAGUGCUCCCCUAAGUUCCCGAGUGAGGGAAGCUCCUCGGUUGGGGACUUGCAAGAUCCAAGCCACUGAGUAAUCACGAAACUUCUAAGUACCGAAGUGUGGUAUCAUUUUCACGCGCCUUAUCUGUCUCAUAUGUAGAUGUGGCAUCUUCUUUGGAAGUACUUUUCCUUCAUCCAUGGGUGGUAUCUUUAACCGAUGAAGAUGCACAAGGUAAUGUAUCAAUUUCACUUGAAGCUUACUUAUAGUUUCGGGCUUGGUCAAGUGCGAUACAAACCCUAUAGUAGGAGUCCCCCAAGUCGCCGAGCUAGGAGAUCUGCCGAAAGAGGUGACAGACAAGGUAAGCAGUCAAACUUCCAAGCAAGCAACCCAGGAUCAGAGGUUCGACUUCGGCUUCCGGUUGAUUGUUCUCCUUCUCCUUGUCUCUCAUUCAGCUGCCGGGAUAAGGAGAGGCAAAUGGAGAAGAGAUGAUAUGAGAUACUUUUGCUUUUGAAGAAGUAACUUUCCACAGGCUUAUUCUUGAACUGUGCUGGAGGGUUUUCUGGUUCCCUUCAGAGUAUAAGGCCGACUCAAGAAUUUGAGGGUCAAAACAAGUCCAUCAAAUCUAGAGUACGUUCGACCUUGAUGAUAUGGGAUACUUUUGCUGUUGACGGAAUAGUGAAUGUGGUAUGGAAAAGUGUCGUGCUGUAGUGAUCUGUUUCAGCUCACCGUUAAACCUUCUGCUUUAAUCUUUUGCAUGGCAGAAGUGGUGUGCAACCUUUGCAUUUAAAUGGUCCUUCAGAACAUUCCUUCAUAGUGACUCAUCCACGCUUGGCAGCUUCAGUGUAAAGAGCCAAUAUCUGAUCAACUGUCAUGAGGUAUGUGCCGGUGGAAUUCAUGACCUUGACAGCAGUUGAGGAUGAGUUCUCGAGAGCAAUGCUAAGUAAGCAACCAGGCAAAGGUCUCAGGCAGUCAGUUCCAGAUUGGAGGUUUGAUUUCAGGUUCCGACUGACUGCUCUCUUUCUCUUGUCCUGCAGGUGUGGACAAGGACGAAGACAAGGACAGGGAGAAAGCAUAAUAUGAGAUACUCUUACUUUCGACCCUGAUGAUAUGAGAUACUCUUGUUCUUGGUGUGGCUUAUUUGCUGAGGUAUUAUCGGGGGGAAAUAAAGCUGAGUAUUUCGAGAGGUUAUGUUGAGGGUGCAUUCUCGAAUGUGAGAAAGGGUUGAGCAUUUUUGUAGGUUUGCCUGUCCGUUGAGGAUGGAGGUCGAUGUAUAUAGGGAUUUCCCAAUAACAAGUAGUAAUGCUAUUCCUUUAUCCUUCUUGGUCACAACAAUGUAGUGGGAGCUGCCAGCUUCACGUGUUUUAACUUUGUCAGAGCACUUUGAAAAAUUGGUAUGUGGUAUCUGGAAAGCUGAUGUUGCGUGUGAAGAUUACAGACAAGCUUUAUCUAAGGAAAUCUGGCUCUCGAAGUUCUGAGAGCUGUGCCUCUUCGGUUUUCGAACAAGCAAUCCCGUCGGGGAUCUAGCUCUCGAGAUUCGGAAAGCGGUGCAGCUUCGGUUUUUGAGAAAGUAAUUAUGUUAGGAGUCUUUUCUCGAAGGUGAGUAAAGGUUGGACGUUCUUGCCAGCCUGUCUUGCCACAGAACACGGAGGUCGACACACAUAGGGGCUUUCCAGUUGUCAAGCAGUGGUGCUGUUCCUUUACCCUUGUGGGUAAUAGUAGGGUAGCUGGAACUUCUAAAUUCUCGUGCCUAAACUUUGUCAGAGAUCUUUGGCAAAGUUAUAUGUGGUACCCGAGGAGUUGAUGGUGCGUGUGGAGAGUGGUGAUUGAACAGUAAGAUUCACGUGCUUUUUAUUUCACCAGAAAUCUUCGACAGAUUGCCCAUAAUUUCCGCAAAGCUGAGUGUGCAUGUGACAGGUGCUGACGAGGCUGAAAAAGCAGGUGCUUCUUCGAUUUCUGAGAUCGGCCCUCGUGGUCUCUGAGCAACUCAGCUUUCGAGAAAGCAAACGCCUCUUCGAUUUCUGAAGCUCUGUCAAGUGUAGAUUUUUAUAGAGGUUGGCAUUAAGUUCCACAUCACACUUGAAUCUCCACCAGUAGAAGCUCCCUUCUUGCACUUCUAAGAUCUUGAUUUGUCUGACCUCUUCCCUCUUCAACACCUUUGAAAAUGUCUAGCUCCUCUGACCGUCGUUUUGACUUGAACCUUGGAGAAGAGACAGCCACGCCUUCUCCAGACAACAUAUGGCGCCCAUCCUUCAUAUCCCCUACUGGUCCUCUUACCGUUGGGGAUUCUGUGAUGAAGAAUGAUAUGACCGCUGCAGUGGUGGCCAAGAACCUUUUCACUCCCAAAGAUAACAUACUACUUUCCAAACGGUCUGAUGAGUUGGCUGUUAAGGAUUCUUUGGCUCUUAGUGUUCAGUGUGCAGGUUCUGUGUCUAAUAUGGCCCAACGCCUAUUUGCUAGAACCCGCCAAGUUGAAUCAUUGGCUGCUGAAGUGAUGAGUUUCAAACAGGAGAUUAGAGGGCUCAAGCAUGAGAAUAAACAGUUGCACCAGCUUGCACAUGACUAUGCUACAAACAUGAAGAGGAAGCUUGACCAGAUGAAGGAAUCUGAUGGUCAGGUUUUACUUGAUCAUCAGCGGUUUGUGGGUUUGUUCUAAAGGCAUUUAUUACCGUCGUCUUCUGAGGCUGUACUGCGUAAUGAAGCUCCAAAUGAUCAACCUCCGAUGCCUCCUCCUUCUGGGGUUCUGUCCAGUACUGAGGCUCCGGAUAACCACCCUUCGGUGCUUUCUCUUUCUGGGGCUCUACCGACUGCUGAGACUUCCCCUGAGCAACCUUUGUGAAGGCUCCCUCUUGUUUGUUUAUUUUGAUUCAUGUAUAUGUACAUAUUUGUAACUUAUCGGAAAUAUCAAUAAACAAGAUUAUCUUCAUUUCAACGUAUUGUGUUAAAUACACCAAGGCAUUCUUCACUAAGUUCUUUGAAUUUUUCCUUUUGUUGAAGCUUGUAUGUUGAAACUUUGUGAGUGAAGCAUGUAGGUUGAGGUAGUGCUCCCUUAAUUUCCCGAGUGAGGAAAACUUCUCGUUUGGAGACUUGAAAAAUCCAAGUCACUGAGUGGUCGUGAGACUUCCGAGUAUCAAGGUGCAGUAGCAUAUGGUAGGAGUCCCCCAAGUCUCUGGUCGAGGGAGUUGACAAAUGAGGCAUUUCCUUUCGAAGUGGUAGCCCAAAACUCCUUCUUCAUAUAUAUUUGUUAUGAAAGUUGUUAGGCCCAAAGAAGAGGAGGCCUAGGCAAAUUUUUUUUUUUUUGAAUUUUCAAAUUUCCGGAUUUUUGAAUUUUCGAAUUUCCGAAAAAUAAAAAAUAAAAAUAAUAUAUAUAUAUUUAAAAGCUUUGUAGGUGAAGCUUUGGUGUUGAAGAUUUGUAGGUGAAGCUUUGAGGUUGAAGCUUUGUUGGGCACCAUGAAUUGAUUUUGCUUCACACUAUCUUGAUGAAGAGUGUGUGAAGCUUUUAUAUGUUUUGGUGUUGAAAUUUUGUAUUGUAGGUGAAACUUUGGGGUUGAAGCUUGAUAGGUGAAGCUUUGGUGUUGAAGCUUUAUAGGUGAAGCUUUGGUGUUGAAAGCUUUAUAGGUGAAAGCUUUGGUGUUGAAGCUUUAUGAAGCUUUAUGUGAAGCUUUGGUGUUGAAGCUUUAUAGGUGAAGCUUUUGUUGGCACCAUAAAUUAAUUUUGCUUCACACUAUCUUGAUGAAGAUAGUGCGAAGUUUUGGAGAUUGAUAUUUGUCCUCCAUUGAUGAAGCUUUUGUUGGCACCAUAAAUUGAUCUUGCUUCACACUAUCUUGAUGAAGAUAGUGCGAAGCUUUUGAGAUUGAUAUUUGUCCUCCAUUGAUGAAGCUUUUGUUGGCACCAUAAAUUGAUUUUGCUUCACAGUAUCUUGAUGAAGAUAGUGCAAAGCUUUUGAGAUUGAUAUUUGUCCUCCAUUGAUGAAGCUUUUGUUGGCACCAUAAAUUGAUCUUGCUUCACACUAUCUUGAUGAAGAUAGUGCGAAGUUUUGGAGAUUGAUAUUUGUCCUCCAUUGAUGAAGCUUUUGUUGGCACCAUAAAUUGAUCUUGCUUCACACUAUCUUGAUGAAGAUAGUGCGAAGCUUUUGAGAUUGAUAUUUGUCCUCCAUUGAUGAAGCUUUUGUUGGCACCAUAAAUUGAUUUUGCUUCACACUAUCUUGAUGAAGAUAGUGCAAAGCUUUUGAGAUUGAUAUUUGUCCUCCAUUGAUGAAGCUUUUGUUGGCACCAUAAAUUGAUUUUGCUUCACACUAUCUUGAUGAAGAUAGUACGAAGCUUUUGAGGAUUGUAGUUGUGUUCCAUUGUUGAAGCUUUGUUUUUCCUUUUUUUUUUUUUUUUUUUUUUUUUUUUUUGGGAAAACUAGAAAUUUGAAAAUGUGGGAGAGACAACAUAUACAAAUUUUGCUUCCAUACUGUUAAGCGAGAGAUUGUGAUGCAAGCCACAUCUUGUAGUAGUCGAAGGUUUGGAUGAACCAUAUAAAUUGAAUUUGCUUCGAACAGUCUUGAUCAAGAGCGUGUGAAGCUUUCUAUGAGUUGUAGUGUUUGCAUUGUUACAGAGGAGAAAUGUCUGAAGCAGAUGCAAGAGGGCUGAAGAGCUUGAUCUUCGUAUACCAUGCACUGAAGCCAUUGUUGGCUUGCAAUAAGACUUUGUUGGUGACUAUAGCUCUUGUUAGGCAUAAGUGCUCCCUUAGUUGAGUUGUAAAGCUUGAUGGUUUUUGAUUAUUUGUGAAUGCUAGGAGUUCACAUGUACAAGUUGUACCACUCGUCUUCUGGUUAGUGGAAUGAAGGGUGGGUUGCUUUCAUCACUUGGUUGGUGGUACGAAUGUGAAUUCCUUAAUCACCUUUCAUCACAUUUCAUCACCUGGUUGGUGACAUGAAGGAGAGUACGCGUUGUACAUUUCAUCACCUGGUUGGUGGCAUGAAGAUGAGUUCCUUCUUCACCUGAUUGGUGAUAAGGGUGGCAAGUUUCCAAAUAAUAUUAGAGUACGGGUUGUACAUUUCAUCACCUAGUUGGUGGUACGAAGGUGAGUUCCUUCAUCACCUAGUUGGUGAGAAUAAGGGCAAGGUGUCGAGGCACAUUGUGGCAAAUGUCGAAUGACACAAAGUGUGUUGAACCCUUUCGAAGCACAGUUGGCUUAUGUAUGGAUGUGUUGGAAUGUAUGAUGUUUAUGCAUGAAUGUGUUGGAAUGUAUGAUGUUUAUGUAUGAAUGUAUUGGAAUGUAUGAUGUUUAUGUAUGAAUGUGUUGGAAUGUAUGAUGUUUAUCCUUUGUAUAGUCUUGUUGACACAUACUUAGAUUUUGUUUUGUAUUAGAAACAUUUGCGUUGAAGCUUCAACACUUGAGUGUUUCAUUGCUCAGAAUGUAAAAGAGUUUAGGGCCGAGUUGGCUAAAUCACCUUUUUAUUGAAUUCAUACCAAAUGGUUUUGUUACAUAGGAUGCCGAACGGCUGUAGCUUAACACUUGUACAAUGUGAGUCUAUUUGUAAUAGUACUUCAAGUCGUCAGCAUUCCAUGGAUGGCCAAAAGUCUUGCUGUCGGAGCUUCUGAGCUUGUAGGAGCCAGGGCGGCUGAUGCUGACGACCUCGAACGGUCCAUCCCAGUUAGGACUGAGUGUUCCUUCAUUCGGGACUCUAUCACAGAGUAAUCUUUUCUUCAGUACCCAGUCUCCACUUUGAAUGAGCGAGGUUUGACCCUUGAGUCGUAGUAGUUGGAGAUGCGCUGCUUGUAGGCGACAUUCCUCAGAUGAGCCUGAUUUCUAUGUUCCUCGACUAGAUCCAGGUUGAGGGUGAGUUGUUUGUCGUUUUCACUCUGCAUGUAGUUCUGGAUUCGGUAUGUUGCUUGCUCAAGCUCAACCGGGACAACUGCUUCUGUACCAAAAGCAAGUGAGAAUGGAGUUUCUCCUGUGGAAGUCCGAUAUGAAGUGCGGUAUGACCAAAGAACUUGGGGUACGAAUUCUGGCCAACAACCUUUAGCUUUGUCCAAGCUAGUUUUCAGAGUGCGCUUGAUUAUUUUGUUAACGGCCUCGACUUGUCUAUUAGACUGGGGAUGGGCUGGAGAGGCAAAACAUAAGUUGAUGUUAAACUUAGAGCAGAACAUCCUGAAGUUCUUGUUAUCGAAUUGUCACCCAUUGUCCGUGACUAUCGCAUUGGGAAUGCCGAAUCUGCAAAGGAUGUUCUUCCAUACGAAGUCUUCUAUUUUUGCCUCAGUAAUGGUUGCCAAGGGUUCUACUUCAGUCCACUUUGUGAAGUAGCCAACUGCAACGAUUGCAUAGCGGACCUUGCCCUUCCCUGCAGGCAUUGGGCCGAUCAAAUCAAGUCCUCAUUGGGCGAAGGGCCAAGGGCUGAUCAUAGGAGUGAGCGGCUCGGGAGGGGAGUGAGGGAUAGUUGCGUAGCGUUGACACUUAUCACAUGAGCGAGAUAUUCUGAUGGCAUCUUGGUGGAGUGUUGGCCAAUAGUAUCAUUGGCGAAAAGUCUUGUGUGCUAGGGAUCGAGACCCAGCAUGAUCUCCGCAGACUCCUUCAUGUAUUUCCCGAAGGACAAUUUCCGCCUCCGCAGGUGUAAGGCAUCUUAGGUAAGGCAGGGUAAAACCUCGCUUGUAGAGUUGGUCAUUAAUGAUCAGGUAGCGAGCAGACUUGUAUCGAAUCUGCUUAGCUUGGACUUUGUCAUUUGGGAGGGUGCCAUGGGCAAGGAAUUUAUAAAUUGGGGUGAUCCAACUAUCUCCUUGUUGUAAAUUGCACACUUCUGCGACCAUGGUGCUUGGUGCUGCCAACAAUUCGACAUGAAUUUUUCUCCCAAUCUUGUCUUCCACUGCCGAGGCGAGGCGGGCCAAAGCGUCUGCAUGACUAUUUGCCGCUCGAGGAACUUGGGUGAUCUGGUAGUGGAAGUGCUUGAGCAAAAGUCGUGUUUGCGCAAGAUAUGUUGCCAUGGAGCUAUCCUUAGCAUCAAAGUUGUUCGUGACUUGGUUGACCACUGAUUGAAAGUCACUGAAGAUAUCAAUUUGUUUAACUCCAAGAUGCUUGGCCAAACGUAAGCCUGCUAGAAGGGCUUCGUAUUCGGCCUCGUUGUUCGAUGCCUUGAAUUUGAAACGAAGAGCGUAUUCUAUCGCCACUUUGUCAGGGGUAGUGAGGACUAAUCCUGCUCCGCAGCCCUGUUGGUUGGAUGAGCUAUCAACAUACAGACUCCAUGCUGGGGUUGUUGAUUUUGUCUUCUGAGCUUCCGAUGGUAAUGAAGCUAUUGCUUCAGGUGUAGAAGCUAUUGCUUCAGGUGUAGAAGCAAUGUCAACAGGAUAUGUGAAGUCGGCGAUGAAAUCUGCUACUGCUUGACCCUUUUCGGCUGGUUUUGGUUGGUAGGAGAUGUCAAACUCACCCAAUGCUAUUGCCCAUUUGAUCAUUCGCCCAUACGUGUCAGGACUCUAGAGUACCUGUCGAAGAGGGUGAUUGGUAAGCACGAUGAUGGCGUGUGCUUGGAAAUAAGGGCGAAGUUUUCCAGCAGACAUGACCAAUGCUAGAGCUAAUUUCUCAAUGUUGGAAUAUCGUGUCUCCGCAUCUUGUAGGGCCUUGCUAGCAUAGUAGACGGGCCGUUCGACACCACUGUCCUUUCGGAUAAGAACAGAACUGACUGCUGAAGCCGAGACCGAUAGAUAGAUAAUGAGAGUGUCACCAACUUCUGGUUUGGAGAGCAGAGGGGCUUUACUCAUGUACUCUUUGAGGUUCCUGAAUGCCUUGGCACAUUCCUCCGUCCAUGUAAUGUACUUCUUAUUUCCCUUGAGUGCUUUGAAGAAAGGAGCACAUCUGUCUGUGGCCUUAGAGAUGAAUCUGGUUAAGGCUGCCACAUUGCCAGUAAGGCUUUGGAUGUCUUUUGAAGUUACUGGCUCUUUCAUGUCGAGGAUUGCUUUGAUCUUUUCGGGGUUAGCUUCAAUGCCUCGUUGGCUAAUCAUGAAGCCUAAGAAUUUGCCAGAUCCCACGCCGAAGGCACAUUUGUUGGGGUUCAACCUCAUUCGAUACCUCUUUAGAAUGGUGAAAGUUUCAGAUAGGUUGGUGAUGUGUUGGUCAGCAUGUUUGCUUUUGACUAGCAUAUCAUCAACGUAAACUUCCAUGCUCUUCCCAAUCUAUUCGGCAAACAUUGAAUUGACCAGUCUCUGAUAAGUUGCUCCUGCAUUCUUUAGGCCGAAAGGCAUGACUUUGUAGCAAUAUAGUCCCUUGUCAGUAGUGAAGGCUGUGUUCUUGGUCUGAGGGGUUCAUGAGGAUUUGGUUGUAUCCUGAAUAAGCGUCCAUGAAGCUCAAGAGCUCACACCCUGCCGUAAAGUUUAUAAGUCUAUCAAUGAGAGGAAGGGGGAAACUAUCAUUCGGGCAUCCUUUGUUUAGGUCGGUGUAGUCGACACACAUUAUCCACAAGACCUUUUGAAGCAGAAGACUUUCUUUGGUCAGAUUUUUCUUAACAAGGACAACAUUUACUACCCAUGUUGGGUAAUUGACUUCACGGACGAAGCCUAUGUCCUUGAGUUUUUCAACUUCUGCUUUCAUCGCCUCGUAUCGUUCAACAUCAUAAGAUCUUCGCUUCUGUUUUACUGGUUUGGUCUUGGGAUCAAUACUCAAGUGGUGACAGAUGAUAUCGGGAGAGAUGCCCGGCAUAUCUUUAUAUGACCAAGCGAAGACCUCGGCGUUCUCUUGCAAAAAGGAGAUCAGCGACAACCGAAGGGGUGGUGACAAAGUGGUGCCAAUCUUCACCAUGCGAUCUGGAUGGUCUUUGGAGAUAGAGACAUUCUCUAACUCUUCAGCGGGUUGUGCUUGCUGGGUGAAUGAGUCAUCUCGAGGGUCGUCGGGUUGACUGUUGCCAUCAUGAAGAUCCGAGUUGGCUUCAUCUGGACUGGUCUUUACUACCUGGUUAUGUAUAGAGAGGGUCUCCUUGAGGACAUGCAGGUGUUGUUGCUUAACUGAAGUGUUGUAACAUGAUCGAGCACUAAGUUGAUCUCCCAUGAUGUAUCCAUUGCCGAAAGGGGUUGGAAACUUCAUCAACAACAUAUGUGUGGAUACCAUGGCCUUGAGAUCAUUGAUGCCUGUGCGCCCAAAGAUGACAUUAUAUGCCGUCGGGCAAUUGACCACUAGGAAGUUAGUGGUAAUAGUAGCUGUGUAGGGGCCUGUACCAAUGGUGAGGGGUAAGUGUAUACUCCCUAAAGGUUGCACGAUAUCGCCAGAGAAGCUUAUCAGAGGAGAAAUCGAGCGAUCGAGCAAGUGUUCAGCUACAUUAAGUGCCUUGAAAGCUUCAGCAAACAUGAUAUUGACUGAAGCACCUGUGUCUAUCAGGAUUCGUUUCACAUCAAAAUUUGCUAUGUGAGCCUCCACGAUCAGCGGGUCGUUGUGAGGGUAGAUGAUACCUCUUUCUUCCUCAGGGUAGAAACAUAUUGGAUCCCAGUUAGGUUUUUGAUACUUGCCUCCCCUGAUGUCUUCCACGUGAAACACUUGAUGGCCAUGUCUCAAAGUUCGUUCACUGUUUUUCAUGGCCCUAUUGGAAGAUUCAGACAUGGGUGUGCCGCCGCUUAUGGAGUAUAUCACAUUCACCUGGCGUUGGUUACGGUUAUCCCUUGGAGGAUGAAGGAGGAACUGAUCAAUUUUUCCUUCACGUGCCAAAGCUUCGAUAUGAUCAUGGAGGAUGAUGCAUUUCUCGCCGUCAUGGCCAUUAUACGUGGUAGCAGCAAAACACGCUCGUGUUCUUCGUGGACUUGUAAUUUGGCUGUCUUGGCUUUGGCUUUGGUAUCAGGUAAGCUAUACUGGGGUAGAUGGCCGCGCAUGUAGCGUUCAAAGGUGUGUAUGUCUCAUACCUCGGGGUAUGGCCUGUCUUGACACGCGAUUGGCCCACUGCGUUGACUGCAUGGGGAUGGGUGUUAUUGUGACGAUAUACUGAGUUAUCGUGAUAGUGCCCCUUAUUCUUUUUAUUAAAAUGAGAUUGGUGAGGAUGGAAAUCUUUCCUUUUGCCCUGGGAUUGAUAUGUCUGCUGACUUGGCGAAGCAUUAAAUGAGGCCGGGGGGUGUGCUGCUACCGUUUGGAAGGUUGAGGUCUUUUCAUUCGGUUGGAUCUGGCCUCCACUCCUACUUGCUGAUAAGGGGUGACUGUAGGGGGUUUCCCUUGAUAUGUCCUUGCCUCGGCAGAGGCAUGGUUGUAAGCUUGUGCCAUCACUUCAGAGUAAGUCUUCCAAGUGUUGGCAUUGAUCAUGUACUUGAAGAAACAGUCACGUAAGCCUGCCGUGAAGGCCUUGAGGGCGGUCUUGUCAUCUGCCUCAGCGCAGCGGGAAUACUCAUGGCUGAAGCGACCAGCAUACUUUCGUAAUGACUCGUCCGGCUUCUGGUGAAUAGUGUACAAGUCAUCUGCGGAAUGCAAGCGAUCGGUCUAGAAGAUGUGUUGAGAGACAAACAACUUCCUCAACUCUUCAAAUGAGUCUACCGUCUCGGGUAGAAGACGACAAUACAGUUUAAAGCUCCGCCAGAAAGGGUGGAGGGGAAGAGAAGGCACCGUUCUUCAUCGGUGUGUCUCCGGUAUACCAUGGUGGACUCAAAGAGGUUAAUGUGUUCAAUCGGGUCUUCCCUUCCAGUAUAGAGUUGUAAGUCAAGCUUCUGCUUUGUCUUCGCUUGGAGGGGGGUGUUGAGGAUCCUUCUUGUGAGGGGGCCAGGCCUGGGUUGGUUCCAGUCAGGUAUCUCGGCUUGACGUUCAGCCUUCAACUUGUUUACUUCCUCCAGGAGCUGUAGGACGAGGGGGUCCUGAGUGGAGUCGUGCAUCACUGGAGUUUUCUUCCGUAAGUCCCCAUCGCCUCUUGGAAGUAGGAAAGUUUGAUCAAGAUAGCAUGAUUUUUCCUUGGACUCGUCACACUGACUCCUAGAGUGAGUAUGUCGGAACAUUUCCGAGUCCCCUGUACCUUCAUGUUCUUCUGGGACUUGUUGCCCAUUCCCUAGAUUAACUGCUGGCCUGGGUCGUGGGAAAGGACCGAGUCUUUCAGAAACUCUUGGGUCAUUGAUCUUCGAGCUUAUGUGGAUGGGAUUCUCUCGACGUUGCUUUAGGAAGUCUCGACAAUCGCGAUAGACAGCUUUUGAUCCUUCCACUCCUUCUGUGAGGAGGUGCUUUCCUCUACUCUUUCUGCUUCGGGUUGAAGCAGCUGGGUUGAGAGAAGUCUCAUGUUGAUUAUCACAUUGAUGUGUAGCUCGAUCCCUAUCAGGGAUGUCCGUGUUGGAUAUUGGUGACCCUCCGUGUUGGGGGGCAUUCAGAUGAUUGUUGACCUCAGCAGGGGCGACGAGCUUGUGUGCUUGAGCAUGCCUAGCCUCGUGAAGCAUCUCGAAAAGUUUUUCAUACUGCUCCUGGAGGACCUCGUUCCUCAUCACUAUCUUGUUGUUCUGAGCUUCUAACUCAUCGACUUUAGCUUGAAGAGUAACUCUAUUUCCUUCCUGCUUUCGUUGCUUCAUACUAGGUCCAAUGGGGGUGUCAUUCUGUGUGCUAUGGCUUCUUUCGCUCCCCAUGUUGGAGAGAGAUGUUUGGCCAAAAGAAAGUGUACGGGCGGUGGAAACCAGCUUAACAAAGCUGAAGAGAGUGGGAGUAAGUGUCUUUCCCACAGACGGCGCCAAAUGUUGAUGCACAAAAUCAGCGAGGACUUUGGUACAACAGAAAGUGUCAGGUUUGUGACCUUCGCUUGGUUGCUUCGAUCACUAGUGAAGAUAAGUACGUAAAUGAAUAGGGACAGGGAAGCAAACACAAGAUGUACGUGGUUCACCCAGAUUGGCUACGUCCACGGAGUAGAGGAGUUCUCAUUAAUUGUGAAGGGUUUACACAAAUACAUAGGUUCAAGCUCUCAUUUUUUGAGUUCUAGUGAAUAGUUUAGUACAAAAUGACAUUAGAGAUUAUUGUGGGAGAAUGAUCCCUAUUUAUAGAAGAAAGUUUCUAGUUUUGUUCUAACAUUGACACGUGUCGUGUUGUGAUUGGCUUCUGAUGUUGACACGUGUCGCGCUGUGAUUGGCUUCUGAUGUCGACACAUGUCGCAUUGUGAUUGGCCUCCUGGUUGAAGGGAAGCUCUUCUGGGUCCUUGACGUAUAACGUUGACCGGUGGUAGAUGGCCGCGCAUGUUGAUGUGGCAUCUUCUUUGGAAGUACUUUUCCUUCAUCCAUGGGUGGUAUCUUUAACCGAUGAAGAUGCACAAGGUAAUGUAUCAAUUUCACUUGAAGCUUACUUAGAAGUUUCGUGAUUACUCAGUGGCUUGGAUCUUGCAAGUCCCCAACCGAGGAGCUUCCCUCACUCGGGAACUUAGGGGAGCACUGUUUGUACCAUACUUGACCAAUCCCGAAAACUACUGAGCACCGGUCAACGUUAUACGUCAAGGACCCAGAAGAGCUUCCCUUCAACCAGGAGACCAAUCACAAUGCGACACGUGUCGACAUCAGAAGCCAAUCACAGCGCGACACGUGUCAACAUCAGAAGCCAAUCACAACACGACACGUGUCAAUGUUAGAACAAAACUAGAAACUUUCUUCUAUAAAUAGGGAUCAUUCUCCCACAAUAAUCUCUAAUGUCAUUUUGUACUAAACUAUUCACUAGAACUCAAAAAAUGAGAGCUUGAACCUAUGUAUUUGUGUAAACCCUUCACAAUUAAUGAGAACUCCUCUACUCCGUGGACGUAGCCGAUCUGAGUGAACCACGUACAUCUUGUGUUUGCUUCCCUGUCCCUAUUCAUUUACGUACUUAUCUUCACUAGUGAUCGAAGCAACCAAGCGAAGGUCACAAACCUGACACUUUAUGUUGUACCAAAGUCCUCGCUGAUUUUGUGCAUCAACACAAUGUAUGAGAGAAGGAAAUGAAAGAUGAUGUGAAUAAGAGGGGAGAAAAUUCUACUCAUGCUAAAAACAAAAAAUAAUGAUCGACUCUGUAGAUAUUGGCCAAACCAAACAUUAGAUGUGAAAAAUUAGCACUUUGCCGAAUAAUAUUCCGAGUGAGCAAAAUAGAGAAAAAUAUAACAAUGGCACACAGAAAAAAUAUAAAAGUUGAGGAGCCGGGUGAUAUAAUAUUAGACAUUGCAAUUGUAGGCUCGGACGACUCAAGGAGAAAAAGGUUGCUUGCACCACUAUAGGAAAAUUACAAAUCAACAAUGCAGAGGUAACGUGCAUGGUCUUCUCUUCUGCCAUGAAAAAUUCAUGUUGCUUUCAUAUAAUUAACUAAUUAACUAGUUAUUAGUGUUAAUUAUUCUCUAACAUUUCCUUCCUCCAUUGUUUUCUUCUUCUUCAGAUCAAAGUUUCAAUAGUUUUUUUUUAUUUUUUAAAUUCCUUUUACUUUAACAAUAUUAGCGAUUCCAAUUCUACUAGCUAGUUUUAGGUUGUAUUUUAAUUGGCUCGUGUGCUUCUGUUGCAGGACGUGUUUGGGGAAAAAGGAAGGAUACUUGAACAGGCAGGAGCUGUAGCAAAGGUAGCCUCUAUGAAAAAACAUAAUGAACUCUUUGUAACGAAACAACUUCGUUUGACUCGUUUCAUUUAAAUUUUUUGUUUUUCUCAGGUGCAAAGCGACGUGGUUUUGUUAAAAAAAAAAAAAAAACUAAAACGGAGCAACGCCCCACUGCAGAAAACCAAAAUGCAGCACCGCAGCACCAGAGCAGAGGGGUGGAAACCUGGAUUUUGGGAACGAACUCCGGCGACCGAAGGUGCGAACACACCUCCUUGAACCUCUGUGGCUUCGCCAAUGAAGGUCUCGAUAUUAUUUAUGAGGAGUUCAUGAUAAUUACUUUAAAGUGUUAAUAACAAUCCUCUUUCUUAUUCUUAUGCUAGUAGGUCUGGUACUUCCUACAAUCUUAAAAUAUGCAUAAAUUCACUCAUAUAGAAUGGGAAAAUGCCAUACGUUACCAUUUGGAAAUUGGCGAGACAUGAAAAAGUCCUUGAACCUCGCUCCCCCCCGCAAGGCAGGCUUAAACUCGCCCGUGAUGAGAAGACAUGUCUUUUGUGAAUGACAGGAAAUAGGACAAAACCAUCCCUUCUCUUUUUUGUUAGUAAAAGCAUCCCAUGCUUUCUAUCUCUUCAUUCCACUGACUAUUUCGAACACAAAACAUCAAUACAAGUAUUAGUAAAAUGAAAACUUCUUUCUUUUAUUCAAUAAUUAUUAUGGGUUGUGUUUAUUGAUCAACCUGUAAGUAGAUAAAACACUAAUAAUACAAUUAGUUAGGUAAAAAAAAUCAGUUUUUUUUUCAAGUUUCUCAACUAACCGGGACCUAAGUAUUCCCUUGGCGUUCUUACACCAACAAAGAAACAACAACGAAACACACAGGAACACAAAAAUUGGGGACCUCUUUUUAUCUACUUGCCCACCAUCACAAAUAUUACCUUUUUUUUCUUGUAUGGUUUGGUGGUAGGGAACGAAACCUAGCUACAUUCACUUCUUCUGAUUUGCAGUUGACUCUGGUUUUUACAUGAGUAUAUACUGAAGCUCGAUGGACCCCAGGCUAUAUAAUAUUCGAAAAUAGUCAUUCCUUAUUUGUCCGUCAAUCACAAUAUAUAUAAUCAAUUUGAUGAGUAAUUUUGCGUACAUGUAAAGUGUACGUACAAUCCUACAGAGAAUAUUUACAUUAGUUAUAAGGCCUCAGCAUUUGAUAUAACUAAAAGGCAACCUGUAUCAACUCAUUCUUCGAGUCAAGAAUAUCUGAGCUUCUUAGAGGGGGAAUAUAGGCUCUAAAACCAUGUCUUGGUUUUUUACAGUUCUCUUUCUUGUUACUGCUCUUACAUUUCAUACUCCUUCAGAGGCUAGCCAUGAGAAGAACGAUCCUUCUGCAGUUGUUGUAGGCACUGUCUACUGUGACACAUGUUUCCAAGAGGAUUUCUCACAUACCAGCCAUUUCAUUUCAGGUAAAUUCAUCUCAAAAUUUCAACAAGUUCUUCAUCAAAUUUAUUUUUAUAUUGUAGUCUGACUAUAAAAUAGACGUCCGUUCAAUGAUUUCCGUACACCUUCUCCUCCAUACACUCAUGUUUAUUUUGUAAUCUUUAAAUUCAAAUGAAUCAAAGAAAAUCAAAAGAAAGGAAUAAAAAGGGUACAAAAUGAAAAAAAAGAAAGUAAAAUCCAAGAAAAUGACUGAAAACCUAUAUGUAAGUAUUUCCUAUAUAUGAGUCAACUAUACAACUACGAAAAGUAUAUAACAAAUCAAUUUCAAAAAAAUCUCGCCUAACUCCUUGGCGGUAAGACUCUGCAUUCAAUCACGAUUUCUUUCCAACAGACAACGAGUGGUAGGGAUAUUAUUUCUCUUGAAGAAAAGUUGGAGGAUAUGUCAUUUGUAUGUGUUGAUAUCAUUGUCGCCAAGUAUGCAUGUCAUCAGUAACUUUAAAUGAUUUAUCCCCAUACAAAGUAUAAUAGUUGAUCUAAAUGAUUUAUCCCCAUACAAAGUAUAAUAGUUGGUCUAAACCCUAAUUCCAUAAAGGACCAUACUGUUUAAAUGAAAUAAUUGCUCGGUUCCAUUUUACCCCUACAUUUUCUGCUUUUGUUUCGUUGCAAGAGUUUAACUUGUUAUUUGGAAUAUAUUGUUCACAGAAAGCACUUGUUCAGCAAUUUUUGGCUACUGAAGAUGCACUGAACAAAGCUGCAGAAGCGAGGGAUCUAUGUCAAAAACUUAUAAAACGCUUGCAUGGCAAUAGUGAUGUAAUUUCUUCAGGAACAUCACAAAAUGUGGGCAGUCUUAGGCAACUUGAGGUAAAUCUUCCUUGCAUAUUAAAAGUAUUAACUACCAAUAGUUUGGGUGGAAAUAGCACCAUGGGUGACAGGUUUGAUUAGUUUCAGUCUUUUGAUCGUUUCCAUAGUUGUAUACUGUAUACUAGGUUACUUUUAGCCUGCACUGUGUUCUCAUCUGAUUUUUUACAGUCUUCCAUUUGCUUUGUGUAGAUGGAGGUUUGGGCUAAGGAAAGAGAAGUUGCUGGCUUGAGGGCUAGCUUGAAUACACUGAUGUCUGAAAUACAACGCUUAAAUAAAUUAUGUGCGGAAAGGAAAGAAGCUGAAGAUUCUUUGAAAAAGAAGUGGAAGAAGAUUGAAGAAUUUGAUUACCGCAGAUCAGAACUUGAAAUCAUAUAUACCACAUUACUAAAAGUUAACAUGGUAAGGAUCUCAGCUUCAAUAGUGCUUAUAAAUUUACUAGUCACUUCAUAUACUGGCAUUGUAUAAGCCAUGUCUGGUCAUUCCAUGAAGUGUCGGCUCCUUUUCUUUAAGUUCCAGGCAAAAGUUCAUAUAUAUAAUAUAAAAUUCAAGACAAAUUUUCUAGCAGCCCAACGAGUAGAUGGACUCUUUUUUUUUUUUAAAUGAAAUCCACGGUCUCCUCUUUAGAUGCCCAAAGACCCUAUUUAUGGUUAUAGGUCUGGGGUUAACUCACCAGGAGACUUCAAUUUCCCUGGAACUUAUGCAAAUGAUAUCACCAAUUGCAUAGUUUUCAUUUGUUAUUCGUAUCAUAUGGUAGAAUAUUUCAAUAGAGGCAGCUAGGAUAAUGCUUAUCCAUCUCUUUGUCUUCUGUCGGGAAUAUUUUCUAAUGUUAUUUUUGUCUUGGUACAUGGUAGGAUGCUGCUGCCUUCUGGAAUCAGCAGCCAUUAGCCGCACGGGAGUAUGCAUCAAGCACAAUUAUUCCUGCAUGCACAGUAGUCAUGGAUCUUUCAAAUAGUGAAAAACAUCUUAUUGAAAGAGAAGUUUCUGCUUUUGACCAAAGUCCUGAUAAUAGCCUCUACAUGAUUCCAGCAAUUCCACAGGUUUGUGUUGGGGCUUAAAAAGACUUCACUACUUUGGAGAUGUUUAUCUCAUAAAGAAGAAUGUAACGCAGCGGAAUUGAUAGCCAAGAAAAAAGAAAGAACACUCAGAGUAUUACACAAAAUUUUUAUUCUCACACAAACUUAGUACAAGAGGAAACACUCAAACACUCUUACACUUCUUCACUCUUUUUCUCGCUUCUUGCUUUCUUACUGACUCUCACUUCUUCUUGCUUCUUUGUUACACAACACCACACACCUAUUUAAAGGUGGUGUUCCCCGACUAUCCUUGUUACCACCGACUUGAGCAUUGCAGCAAUGACCACAUGAUUUGCCGCCUCUAGAUCUUUCUUUAACUUGGAUAUUUUAGGUGAUAACCAUUUGAAAUUGCUGAAAUUUUCCAGCUAUAUUAUCGACAUAGAUUGCUAGCAUUUGCACACAUUUGCUUUGGGUUAGAUCACUUGUCUUGGGCCAAAGACAAGAUUACCUUUUAACAUCCUCCCUUAAUCUUGUCUUGUGACGCCGAUUGAGUUCCUCAGUCUAACAAAGUCUUCUUGUUUGAGUGGCUUGAUGAAUAUGUCAGCGACUUGGUCUUGAGACUUCACGGAUUCCACUUGCACAUCCUUUCUUGCAAUGCACUCUCUUAUGUAGUGAUAACGAGUAUCUAUGUGCUUGCUCCUGUCAUGGAACACCAGAUUCUUUGCUAGAGCUAUUACAGACUUGUUGUCGACAUUGAUCUCUGUUGGCUCUUCUUGUGGCCUGCUUAAUUCUUUCAGCACGUUUCUCAGCCAAAUUGCAUGACAGAUACAUGCGGUAGCAGCUAUAUAUUCAACUUCACAGGCAGACAGUGUGACAAUUGGUUGCUUCUUCAACAUCCAUGUGAAUGCAGUGUCUCCCAUGAAGAACACAAAUCCAGUAAUGUUUUUUCUAUCGUCGGAAUCUCCUGCCGAAUCACUGUCGCUAUAUCCAACAAGCUUGUAGUUAUUAGAGCUUGAAUAGAACAAGCCAAAGUUAAUAGUACCUUUAAGGUAUCAAAGAAUUCUUUUGGCGGUCUUCAAAUGUGUACUUAUGGGAUUCUCCAUGUAUCGACUAACUAAUCUGACGACAUAGAGAAUAUCUGGUCUUGUGCAAGCCAAUAGUGCAAGCUUCUAACUAGACUUUUGAAAAAUGUUGGAUCUACGCUUUCUCCUUUGUCAUGCUUGGUUAGUUUGACUCCGCACUUCAUUGGCGUGCUUAUGGGCUUGCAGUCUUCCAUUUUGAACUUUUUCAAUACCUCAUUUUGUAGCUUUCUUGGGAGAUGAAAAUGCCUUCUUCGUUUUGCUUAACUUCAAUGCCUAGGUAGUAUGUCAUCAGCCCGAUGUCGGUUAUCUCGAAUUCUUUGGUCAUCACUCUCUUGAACUCUUCAAACAUACUUGGAUUACUCACGGUGAAGAUUAGAUCAUCCACAUAUAAGCACACAAUCAAAAUGUCUCCAUCUUUGACUUUGAGAGCAUGUUCAUGAGGGCACUUGAUGAAGUUGUUCUCCUGAAAGUACUUGUCGAUGUGACUAUUCCAUGCUCGUGGCAUUUAUUUUAACCCAUAGAGGACUUUCUUCAACUUCAGAACUUUGUCUUCAUGCCCUUUGAUUUCAUAACCUGAUGGUUGCUGAAUGUAGACUUCUUCUUCAAGGACUCCAUUUAGGAAAGCGGACUUCACAACCAUUUGUUGAAUCUUCCAUUUGUUUUGAGCUGCCAAAGAAAUUAGUAAUUGUAUCGUUUCCUAAUGAGCAACGGGUGUAAAUACUUCAUUAUAAUCGAUUCUGGCUGUUUGACUAUAACAUUUCGCCACUAGUCUCGCCUUGUGUCUUUCGACCUCUCCAUUGGCAUUUUUCUUUGUUUUGUACACCCACUUGACUCCGAUGGCUUUAUGUCAUUUCGGAAGAAUAGUGAGUUCCCAUGUAUCAUUUUUUUGAAUUGCUUUGAUUUCUUCAUCCAUUGCUUUCCUCCAUUUAGUAUCCUGCACUGCUUCUUAGAAGUUGACUAGUUCACAAUCAGCAAAGAGACAGAAAAAUGUAGGAUUAUCAAGUCUUUUAGCCACCUCAUAGAGAUCUUGUAGACUUCUUGUGUGUGGUACUUCUGUUUCAUUUAGACUCCCACUUGACGAUGCUGAUGCUGGUAAAUUGCCAUGAUUGGUUGAUGUUGGUGAAGCAGGUAGAGUAGUGGAUUCUUGUUGAUCUUCUCUUGCUUGCUCCAUUAUUGUUUGUUCAUUAUCUUCUUCAAAUUGAGGAAAGAAGUGAAGAUCACCUGCAUGCAAGCCAAAAUCCCAUUCUCUUUCUUUAUUGAACGUCACUUCUCGACUAAUCACCGUCUUCCCAUUGUUCGAAGUAUACAGUUUAUAGCCUUUUGAAUUUGUGUCAUAGUUGAUGAAGAUGAACUUCUCACUUUUGUCGUCAAGUUUGGUGCUCCUCUUGUCUGGUACAUGUACAUGGGCUAUGCUUCCAAAAACUGUUAGAUGAAAGAUACCUGGCUUUCUUCCACUCCAUGCUUCUUGCGGAGUCCUUCCCUACACACUCUUUGUUGGAGACCGAUUGGAUAGGUAGACAACAUAUGUUACAGCUUCUGCCCACAAUUCCUUAGGCAAUCUCUAGCUUUUGAGCGUGCUUCGAGCCAUGUCGAGGGAUAGUUCGAUCUUUUCUUUCCGCCACACUAUUUUGUUGAGGGGAUCUUGGAACUAUCAAAGGUCAACGAAUUCCAUUUGCUUCACAAAACUCUUGAAAUUCAUUCGAAGUGAAUUCUCCUUCUCGAUCAGAUCUCAUGGCUUUGAUCUUGCAACCACUCUACUUUUCUACAACGGCUUUGAACUUCUUGAAUGCUCCAAAGACUUCUGAUUUCUGCUUCAAGAAAUACACCCAGGUUUUCCUUGAAAAAUCAUCAAUGAAGAGAAGGAAAUAAUUAUUUUUAGCCCAUGGAACACAAAAUUAUAACUUUUUGGACAACAAUACCCUUCUCUUUUUCAUUAAUUUCACUUCGAAAAUUAAACAAAAUUAAUCAAAAUUCCAGAGAUCUCUCAAUUUCUGCACAAUUAGCAUAAAAUAUUCAUUAAAAAUCAAAAUUUACCUCAACAAAUCAACUCAAAAACUAAGUUCUCUUGUUUUUCCAGGAAAUCAAGCUUAUUUGAUCGCACUUCAAAUUUUUUGGGAAACUGAGUGACAAAAACCCAACAAAAAGAAAUUUUCUCUAUGUUUGAUUUCUAUAUUCAAAGAAGAAAAACAGCAAAAUGAAGAAAAUCCAGAUCAGAUAAAGCAUUCUUGAGAAAGCCAAAGAGAGGAAAUUUUCUGGGGAAACAAACAUGAAGAACAGAAGGGUACCGGGGAAAGCCGAUGAAAGGAAGUGGCUGAUGCCGUCGCUCGAGGGAUGGGACAGCGAGGAUUAGGUGGAAGAUGUGAGGGAUGACGUUGAACUCGUAGGCGGUGGCUCAGGUAAGGUCGAACUCGUCGGAGUGGAUGGGUACGAUUGUCAUUUAAUCUUUCGUUCCAUUUCAGCUUGAACAUACACCAAAUGUAGCAUGGAACCUCCGUUCCGUCCUGUUUCGUCCAGUCUGUGUACUAAACGGUACCUUAUUGAAUGAAAGGAAAAGGCUUCUGCUUGGCUUAAUACCACUUUAGUCCAAUUGUCUUCUUGUUCUAGAAAUUGACAACUCUAUGUGAUGAAAAAACAUCUCAUGCUUAUUGUACGGAUGAAAAGUGCUGCUUUACACUAUUACAUUUAAAGUGAUUAGAAAUUCCGUGAAAAUUUAUAUUAUCUCAUUGCAUUGAUGAACGGGUGAGAUAUAGAGAAACAAAAUUUUAUACUUUCAUCUACUACAUUGAUGCUUAGGCGCACCGAAAGUCACCCAAAACCCUAAAAUUCUCCUCAUGAAUUAUGUGUCUAAUAUUUUUCAGAAGUUGUUAUCAGCACUUGCAAACAGUUUUUUAUGCAUGUCGGUCUGGAAGUUAUCUAUGAGGGGUCAUGAUAAUUAUUUUAAAAUGUUAGUAACAGUUAUCUUUUCUUAUUCUCGGUAGGCGGCUACCUCCCCCACACAGCAGCCCUAAACUCGCCCGUGAUGAGAAGACAUGACAUGUCUUUUGCGAAUGACAGGGAAUUGGACAAAACCAUCCCAUCUUUGUUUCAAUAAUUAUUAUGAAUUAUCGUAUACCGAUUAAUCUGUAAGCAGAUGAGAUAGCUACUCAUUUUCACCAUAAAAGGAAAACAUUUCAUCACAAGAUUGCAGUGCGGACAGAGAGGGUUGUGGUUGUCGUAGAUAAACCUAGGUUUCGUCACAAAACAGGAAAUUGAAUUAAGAACAAAACAAACAGAUUGUGGGUAGGAAAAGACAGAUUUUUUAGUGUGUUGAGAACACUGUUUGGUACACCAAGUAUAAUAAUACAAUUGGUUGGAAACUUGUUAAAAAAAAAAAUUUCCAACUAUUUAUAUCAUAUGGUGUAUUAGACCGUGUUCCCGAUAUCAACGAGAUUUGGAUGUCAUGCAUACAAAUAAAGCCCCUUAUUACUGUCACAUUAUUAUGUCUUGAUAAGAUCUUUAUUUAUUCCCUGCAAGUACCAUAUGAGAAAUGCUAAAGAGACUCUCUAUGGAUUCUCUGUUUGUCACUUCAUGUUUUUGACAUAAUAUUUUAUAAUGUUAGCACCAUAAUUGACUGUAAACUGUAAGGUAAUAUAGAGUAUAUGAAGAGUUCCACUUUAAGAGUGUCUCCUUAGCAUUUCUCAUACCAUAUUCUGACACCAUAGAAAGUAGCCAUUUUUUAUUGUAAGUUUUAGUUUUCACACGUAUUUAUGUUAUGCGAGACAACCGCAAAUAAAUCUUUUUGUAUAUACAACUUUUAUCAAGUUUAAGAGUUAUAAUUAAGAUAUUCCCGGUUGUAUAUAUUUAUAUGUUUUUAGUCAGUAUAAUUGGAGCUCAUCAUUAGUGUGUACGUGAUAGAUAUCCUCGGUUACACGGCAGAAUCUCACAGGAAUGUCAUAGCCAAUAAACUAGGCUCCUAUGCAUCAAUUUUUUAUGUGUGAAGAGAAAACACGAAUAAAUACAUGCAACAAUCUAUUGUUGCUGAUUGUGUACAACUUCAGACUCAUGAAAUUUGUAGCCACUCUACAUAUCUCGUGUGUAAAGUGGUACAUCAAAUGUGUCGAACUUGAUACAUCAAGUGUCAUAAUGCAAUUAAUUAAAAAACAAGAUUUCAAAUCUUUAUUUUCAAGUUUCACAUCUAACAGGGACCCAAUUAUUCUCUUUGGGACUUUUACAGCAACAAAGAAACAACCUCAAUCUACUUGCCCACCAUCCCAUACCUUUUUUUUUUCUUGUCUGGUUUGGUGGUAGGGAAUGAAACUUAUCUACGUUCACUUCUUCUGGUUUGCAGUUGACUGGUUUUUCCAUUAGUGUAAAAACGAAGCUUCAUGGACUGAUGCAGUACAUGGGGAACAAAUAUAUUUAAGGUUUUAGUGACUUCUUAUCUCUUAAAAGCCUUUGUGACCUUUCUUUUAAUUGAAUUGCCUAGUAACUAUCCUACUCUUAAAUAUUUAGUAUACCAAUGUUUGUAAUUUCCCUAUUUAAAGGGCUCCAUAUGUAUCCUUAAAGUGGUGAAAUUAGUGAAUUAAAGUUAAUCUAAGAAGAGAGUGGGCUUUCUCCUCAAAAUCAAGUGUGAGAUUUGGUUGUGUCGAGUGAAUCCACGAUUAGUGACGUGAGUGAAUCCGUUGCCCCUGGUCGAGUGAUUCCCAGGUUCUAUCCCUGUAGAGACGUGAGUGAUUCCGUCCCCCCUAGUUGAGCGAUUCCCAGGUUACUACCCCUUGUCUUUUCGAGACCCAUGGUUUUUUCUGCAUCAAGUGGCAUCAAAUAGAGAUGGCAAUUCAAACCGUUAAACUCGAUAACCGUGUAUAACCGCCUGAGAGAGGAUUUGGGUAUGAAAAUUUGGGUAUAUUAUGGAAAUGGGGAAAAAACGUGAACUUUAAUCGGUUAUGGUUUUGUAUAUGAUUAUAAGGGUCCCCAAUCCAUAUCCGUCCCCAAAUCCGAAUCCGAACCGAAUAAUAUAUAAUAUUAUUUGGUUUAUGUAAUAUAUAUAUAUAUAUAUUGUAUUUGAGUGAAGCUAUACCAUCAUUACCAUAUUCAUUAUUCGCUGCAUAAUGUAUUUAGUAUAUUAUUCGCCGCAUAAUGUAUUACAAAAUUCAUUUAUUGUUAUUGUGGAGCCAAAAAUAAUCAUAGGGCAACACAUGGAUUUUGGUAAAAAGGACAAAGUUACUCCUGAGACACACCGGUUCUCCUACGCCUGAGCAGUGGACAGUCAUUCUUUAAUCAAGCCAAGAGUGUCCAAAAAAGGUAACCAAUUCCAAAUUAUCUCAUCCAUCCUCAUCUUAGGUAAUUACUUCAUAACCUACAAAUUAUUCCAUAUACAUAGAGAUUAAUUGGCUAAUUAAUGGAUUAAUUCCUAAUUAAUCCAUUAAUCACCAAUUAAAUCACCCAUUUUCACACCUAAAACCUCUAAGGCCCGGCCACCUCCAUUCCCUAUAUAUAUGACCCUAUUUUUUCUAAAAAAAGGGUUCCACACUCUUGCAAAACUCCCAAAAACUCUCCAAAAACUUUUAUCUCUAAAUUCUAACUUUGGCAUCGGAGGUUCUUCGGCCAAAGCCUCCCAUUCAUUGUGGGCGGGUGAGGCUCUUGGCCUUGACCUAAGGUGUUAAUUGUUUUGUAGGUUCAAUUUUGUCAGGUGCAAUUUUGUCCAAGAAGAAGAAGGCGGAAAUUUGCAUUCAUAAAUUGGUGUUUUCAUUGAGAGAUGAGUACCACACUCGUAGAAGACUCUCGCAUCCAAGGUUUUCUAUUUUCUUGUCCAUUUGUAGAUUUUUCGUACGUUCUUAUUAUUAGAAUUUUUUAUUUGCAAAAAUUCUUUGAUAAAACGUAAAAGAGAAGUACAAUGGCUAGAAAUUUAAAAAAUUCAACAAAUGAAAAUUUCAACAUUUAAGAGAUGGGACCACGGCGAUUCACGAGGCUAAAUGUGACAAUAAGUGGAGCAGCACCACAACCACAAGUUUCCUCCAUGGGAACCACCGUGGUGGCUGCCUCGGUAGCCACUCGCGGUGAGGUCCAUGGCACCAUUACCGCGGCGAGGUCUAUGGCACCAUUACCACGGCCUGAGUCGUGCCAUUAAAGCAAUCCCAAUACAUGUCACUUCAAGCCCAAUGUGUUGCCAAGCCGAGCCCUAGCCUCGCACCCACAUACGCCACACGCCGAGCAGCCUACUCACGUGGCCCAGCCUGCCCCCAUGGCCGAGCCUGCUCCCGCCGAGUAGCCUACUCCUGUGGCACAACAUGCUCUAUCUAAGCAGCCCAUUCUCGUGGCACAGCCUGCUCCCUUUGAGCAUCUCAUUCUCGUGGCCCAACCUGCUCUCGCAGCUCUGCUUGCUCCCAUAACCCUGCCUGCUCCCAUGAUUUCCCAAGCAGCCCAAGUCGGCUCGAGAAUAUCUCGACCAUCCAGAGCAACCAUCAAGCCGGGGGCAUUUUUACCAUAUUUCUCCACAGAUUUGACAUUUCCCAACUCAAAUCUCAUGCCUAGAGUGUUCCAUACUUCCACUGCUUAAUGAGGCACAUUCUUUCUAAGCUCUUCCAAUCUAAAUGGCGAACAACACUUGUCUCGACAAGUCAUAAAGUUGACGAGCUCCCUUGCACAACAGACGACCUUGAUGAAUCAACUUUUGCAAUGCACCGAGAUCUAACGUGCCUUGGACAAGGUAUCCCUAAGUAGGACAAGGGUAGACGAAUCUUUCCAGCAGCAUCCCGGUAAGCAGCUACUCGACCAGCCACGAGCCGAGCGUUCGGGUAGUGUACAUUUCUGAUUAGGCCCCCAAGAUAGCAUAUACUUCCAUCUUAUAGCACGGAGGAGCGUGCACUCUCGACUAGGCCUGAGGAUAAGUAUACACUCACGAUUGGGGCUACACUUAGAUAAUCAACAUGAGCAGCCUUCCAGGCAAUGCAUUCAUUCGCAGCUAGGCCCGUAAAGAAUAUCAUCCACAUCAUAUCGGAGCAGACAACACAGCAGACGGAAAGAAGCAGUCACUCAAUCCGGCUCAAGUUCAACCAGUAGCCUGUGAGUUACACACUCGCCUGCUAGGAAUAUACCACACCCACCGUAGCCGCGGCAUAGACAAGCCGAACAUAUGGAAGAACAGCUUAGACUAUCACAUCACGAUCAGGGGCAAUCAAGAGCUCUGCCACCCCAACAAAGGAAAAUUCAGGAAGAAGUAGAAAGGCUCCUGACCAAGCGAUUGCGCAAUUUCUCGCGCCAACCAAAGCCUCAAAAGGGCACAAGAUGAAACACCUAAUGAUGGCGCAAUAAUUCAGAGAGCAGCUCAUUGCGUUUACACCUUAACGUGGGUUCCACAAACAGUUCACCAAACAAGACCUCGCAGUCUGAAGAUUAUUUCAGUUGUCUAGCAGUCCAGCUUUCCUCAGCUGCACUCACGACAACGACUUCCAUGAUUUCCAGUGCGAAAGGAUAAACUAAUUGCUCUCCAGUGCGAGAGGGUAAACCAAUUCCCCGACACCCAUAUGGGUUUGCUCUCCAAUGCAAGAAGAUAAACUAAUUGCUCUCCAGUGCGAGAAGGUAAACCAAUUCCUUGACACUCGUAUGGGUUUGCUCUCCAGUGCGAGAGGAUAAACUAAUUGCUCUCCAGUGUGAGAGGGUAAACCAAUUCCUUGACAUUCAUAUAUGUUUGCUUUCCUGUGCGAGAGGAUAAACUAAUUGCUCUCCAGUGCAAGAGGGUAAACUAAUUGCUCUCUAAUGCGAUAGGGUAAACUAAAUCCCUGACAGCCAUUUGGGUAAGCUCUCCAGUGCGAGAAGGCUGCAUAGUUUAAAAGAUCAAAUGCUUGAAGAUCAACUAAGCAACAAAUGGUUAGGGGGCAGCAGCCACUUUUACACUUAAUAGUUCGCUCAUCCGACACUUCAUUUUCAGAAACUCUGAUCUUGGCAGCUUUAUCCUUGACUGCUCCAUCUAUGGCAGUUGAAAAAUCAAACUUAAGCAGUUUCCUCAUAUUUAGCAGGCAGCCCAAACAAUUGCCUAUUCCACGCCACUUCCUCGGCCCAUGUCGAACCAAUCAUUGGCUUCAAUCCAGCCGAGUUGCUCAAGCAAUGGCCCCUGCCACAUCACCUCCUUGGCUCAUGCUAAGCCGACUCUUGGCCCCUGCCAGCUGAUGUGUCGUACCACCCUGAUUACUGCCCUGUGGCAGCACCACCCAAGAAGAAGACAAGAAGAAAUUAAGUUUUUAUUACAUUGGUGCGGCAUAGAGAAGACGAAGAAAGCAACAAAAGACGGUCAUUUGCAUGGGCAAGAUGUAGAAGAUUGCUAAAUGAGGGGGAACAAAUAUCCUCUAAACUCUCUCUCUCUCUUGUAAGGUAGAAUAAAUCACUCUCCAAAGUUGAUUUAAUAACCCACUUAAGGUGGACUUAAAUAGGUUUUGAGAGAAAUUUAUUUCCCUUUCCUAGAAUGAUCUAAUUUCAUAUUAAAGAGGGAUUCUACAUCAAAACAGGAAGCGGUUCUAAGUUUCCUAGAGCAAAAAGAUCUUUACACCUGCUGCCCUUUCUUACGAGUAGCCCAACAGGUGUGGGGGCAUUUGUGGAGCAAAAAAUUAUCACAAGGCAACACGUGGAUUUUUGGUAAAAAGGACAAAGUUACCCCUGAGACACACCGGUUAUCCUACGCGCAAGCAGUGGACAAUCAUUCUUUAAUCAAGCCAAGAGUGUCCAAAAAGGGUAACCAAUUCCAAAUUAUCUCAUCCAUCCUCAUCAUAGGUAAUUACUUCAUAACCUACAAAUUAUUCCAUAUAAAUGGAGAUUAAUUGGCUAAUUAAUGGAUUAAUUCCUAAUUAAUCCAUUAAUCACCAAUUAAAUCACCCAUUUUCACACAAAAAACCUUUAAGGGCCGGCCACCACCAUUCCCUAUAUAUAUGACCCUAUUUUUUUUCUAAAAAAGGGGUUCCACACUCUUGCAAAACUCCCAAAAACUCUCCAAAUACUUUUCUCUCUAAAUUCUAACUUUGGUAUCGGAGGUUCUUCGGCCAAAGCCCCCCCCAUUCAUCGUGGGCGUGUGAGGCCCUUGGCCUUGACCUAAGGUGUUAAUUGUUUUGUAGGUGCAAUUUUGUCCAAUAAGAAAAAGGUGGAAAUUUGCAUCCACAUUUAUGUUUUAUUUAUUUAUUAUUAAACGUGGCUAUUUAAUGACAAAAUUAGUAUUCACUAAAUUAUUGUGCGCCAAUUGGAUGAAUAUAAUUUUUUGUUGUUGACGAAGAUGGAUAUAACCAUUAAUUGAUAGGAAAUCCGUUACCCGGUGGGUAUGGUUAUGGAUAAUUCCCGAUAGUUAUUUUGCAGUUAUGGAUAUGGUUAAUUAUCAUGGUUAUGGAAUAGAUAUAAGAUUUCCGUCCCCAAAUUGAACCGUUGCCAUCCCUAGCAUCAGUGCAGGUUUUCUGCUAUGGAGUUAAAAGGAAAAAAAAAAUCAUGUUGUUGAUUCUACACUUCUCUUCAAAUUUCAGUUCUCUUUGUCCUAAUCACCCAAAAGGUUACCUAUAAUUGGAAAGGUCUGCGAGUCCACUUUCUAACAGAACAGACAGUGCCUCAAUCAAAAUUUUUUUUGCAGCAAUUUGCUAGCAAAUAGUGUAAGGUGUAUGUUUUGUGCAAAAUCUGCAAGGCGCAGUUUCGUUUUCAACGAAGAGAUAUACCAGCAUCUUGUUCCAAUGAAUAAUAAUCAGGUAUAUGAAAACCACUCUAGUAUGAUAUUUAUCGAGGAAGAUCUGUUUUAUUCACAAAGAAUUGAUUGGAAUUUACCUCCACUAUAUGAUGAGUAUUCGGAGGAUGGUGUUUUGAUGAUUCCUAUCCAAACAGGUGCUAACGUUGAAGUGAAUGUUGAAGAACAUGCUUUGAUAGAUAUUUGCAGCUUGGAAAGUUCAGAAUAUGAAGGAUUUGGAUUUUUUCAAGAUGAGAAGAUUGAUAGUCCAAUGUUAAGUUCAUCAAUAAGCUACGGGCAUGUAAAAUUGUGGUCACGGCCAAGUGAUGAAGGAGCUGUUCAAAUUUGCUUUUUAAUUCUCCAGCACAUUGUUAAAGAUCAAGUUUUGGGGACAUUACAACCGAUGGCAUAUCGUUGGGAAGGUCGAAAACCUAAAUUCAAAUUAAGAUUAAAAAGAUACAAACUCGAGGACGAGUUUUUUUCGAGAAGAGUAGAAUCAUGCAGUGCAUGGGGAACAAAUAUAUUUAAGGCUUUAGUGACUUGUCAUCUCUCAAAACCUUUGUGACCUUAUCUUUUGAUUGAAUUGCCUAGUAACUAUCCUACUAUUAAAUAUUUUGUAUACCAAUGCUUUGUAAUUUCCCUAUUUAAAGGGCUCCAAAUGUAUCUUUAAGGUAGUCAAUUAGUGAAUUAAAAAUAAUCCAAGAAGAGAGAGAGUUUUCUCCUUCCUUAAAAUCCAGUGUGAGACUUGGUCGUAUCGAGAAGAAGAAAAUGAUGCAAUGCAUGGAGAACAAACACAUUUAAGGCUUCGUGGUUUCUCAUCUUCCAAAACUUUCUGUCACCUUCUCUUUUAUGAGUUGCCUGCCUAGUAACGAUCCUAUUAUUAAAUAUUUAAUCUACCAAUGCUUUGUAAUCUCCCUAUUUAAGGGCUCCAAAUGUAUCUUUAAGGUAGUCAAUUAGUGAAUUAAAACUAAUCCAAGAAGAGAGUGAGUUUUCUCAUUCCUUAAAAUCAAGUGUGAGACUUGGUCGUGUCGAGUGAAUCCACGGUUAGCGACAUGAGUAAUUAUGUUGCCCCUAGUCGAGUGAUUCCCAGGUUCUACCCAUAGAGAAGUCGAGUGAAUCCAUUGCCAUUGGUUAAGUGAUUUCCAGUUACCCCUUGUCUUUUCGAGACCCUUGGUCUUUUCUACGUCAAGUGGCAUCAUAGUAGGUUUUUCGCUGCAGUUAAAGAUCAUGGCUAUGAUUAUCAAUCCGUUUCAAGAUCACAUCGUUGAAGAGAUUAGUUUUGUCAAUUGAAAUUCUCCGCCAAUUUAUGACAAAUAUGUUGAUGACGAUGAGUUUACUGUUGAUGUGGCUCAUCAAGGAGUUUAUCUGCUGCUAGGAGAUGAAGGCUUUGUGGAUUGGGGUUAUCCACAUAAUAUGAGUACAAUGGCGGAAACAUUUUACAUGUAGCUUCAUAAAGAGGAACUAAGGUGUACUUGCUUUGGAAUAACAUGGAAGCGGAGUUCAAAGGAAUAUUUUGUGUGACAGAACAACUUGGACUGCUCUGGAUUUGCUUUUGCUAUUGUGGCUGUUGUGGAAAAAAAUUGAAAGGUAUCCAAAAGAUCGAGGAAAACAAAAUCAAAGGAAACUCGAGGACGAGUUUUUGUUCGAGAAGAGGAAAAUGAUGCAGUGCAUGGAGAACAAAUAUAUUUAAGGUUUUCGUGGCUUCUCAUCUCCCAAAACCUUUGUGACCCUCCCUUUUAAUUGAAUUGCCUAAGUAACUAUCCUACUCUUAAAUAUUUAGUAUACCAAUGCUUUGUAAUUUCCCUAUUUAAAGGGCUCCAUAUGUAUCCUUAAAGUAGUGAAAUUAGUGAAUUAAAGUUAAUCUAAGAAGAGAGUGAGUUUUUUCCUCCUUAAAAUCAAGUGUGAGACUUGGUUGUGUCGGAUGAAUACACGAUGAACGACGUGAGUGAAUUCGUUGCCCCUAGUCGAGUGAUUCCCAAGUUUUAUUCCCAUAGAGACGUAAGUGAUUCCGUCCCCUCUGGAUGAAUGAUUCUCAGAUUACUACCCCUUUAUCUUUUCGAGACCCUUGGUCUUUUUGCAUCAUGGACCCCAAGUUAUAAUAUUCCUAAAAUAGUCAUUCCAAUUUGUCUUGUCAAUCACAAUUAAUUUGUUGAGCUAAUUUUGUUGUGUACGUGUAAAAUAAGCCAAUCAGUGUCCUUUUUAUAUCUAAAAAAUUGUAUAAUCCUACAGAGAAUAUUUAUAUUAGGCCUCAGCAAUUGAUAUAAAAGGCAACCUGUAUGAACACAUUCUUAGAGUCAAUAAUAGCAGAGCUUCUUAGAGGGGAAAGUAGAUAGGUUGUAAAACAAUGUCCUGGUUUCUUACAGUCAUCUUUCUGGUCACUACUCUUACAUUUCAUACUCCUUCAGAGGCUAUCUAUGAGGAGAUUCCAGCCUUCUGCAGUAGUUGUGGGAACUGUCUACUGUGACACAUGUUUCCAAGAGGAUUUCUCAAAUACCAGCCAUUUCAUUUCAGGUAAAUUCAUCUCAAAUUUUCAACAAGUUCUUCAUCAAGUUUUAUUUUUCUAUUGUAGCCAGUUCAAUAAUUUCCAUACACCCCUUCUCUUCUUCUAUACACACUCAUGUUUAUAUUUUAAUCAUUAAAUUUGAAUAAAUCAGAGAAAAAUUAAAAGAAGGAAAUAAACAAAAGUGUACAAAUGGAGAAAAUGUAAAAUCUAAAUUGACUGAAAACCUUUAUACAGGUAUUUCCUACGAGUCAACCAUACAACUACGAAAAAUUAAUUAACACAAAUCAACAGCAAAAAAAAUCUCACUUAAACUAAUUCCUUGACGGUAGGAUUCUGCUUUCAAUCACGAUUUCUUUCCAACAGACAACAAAACGUUGGAAGUUAUGUCAUCGUAACUUGUCAUUUUAUUGUCAGUCAACAAAACUUCCUGACAUGAUAUGGAUGCAUUAUCCAUCAAUAAUCUUGUGGGGGUUUUUGUGCAGGGGCUUCUGUUGGUGUGGAAUGCAAAGAUGGGACUUUAACAAAACAAAGUUUCAACGCACAAGUGAAAACAAACAGCCAUGGGCAGUUCAAAGUCCAUCUGCCCUUCUCAGUGAGCAAAGAUGUCAAGAAAAUUGAAGGAUGCUCCGUGAAACUAAUCCGCAGCAGUGAACCCUACUGUGCUGUGGCCUCAUCAGCCACCUCAUCUUCCCUACACCUCAAGGCAACAAAACAAGGGACUUACAUAUUCUCUGCUGGUUUCUUCACCUUCAAGCCUCUCAAGCAACCCAGCUUAUGCAACCAGAAACCCAACAUUCAGAAUUCCAAGAAAUUAAAUUCCCAGAAGUUCUCAGAGAUGGCAUUCCCAUCCUCCUCUCAGGUGGACCCCAAAAUGCCUGAUCCCUCUCUCAACCAAUCUGAUCUCCUAGGUCUCCCAGGUCUCCCAGGUCUCCCAGGUCUCCCAGGACUCCCAGGUCUCCCAGGUCUCCCAGGACUCCCAGGACUCCCAGGACUCCCAGGUCUCCCAGGCCUCCCAGGACUUCCAGGCCUGCCCCUUGCUGCUGAAAAAACUUCAUCCAAGUCCUCCAACUCCAAAACUUCAAGGAAUGGGCAACUAGGUGAUAAUAAAGAAGUCAGCCCAUCCAGAUUCUCCACCAGCAGGUUCAGCACCAUGAUUCCCAACCUACCACCUAUCCUGAUUUCUGUUGGGUUCCUAUCCUAUUGGGCGUAACCCGUUUAAGUAGAAUAAGCCCAUUUAGGUCUUCUGAGUUGUGGUUUCCUGAAGUUCUAUGUAUUUAGGUCUCUUCCUUCUCUUUCGAGAAUUAUGUGAAAUAUUGAAUGUUUAAGUUUUAUCUGCUUUUCCCAUUUUCUCUCUACUUUUCCCUCUUUCUUCUCUAACGAGAAUGUGUCGUUCAUAGACAGCUACAAGUACGGUAAUAUAAUACGAUUCAAUUAUUAGUUAAAUACAAUGAUUAUAUCGUUGAAACUUAAAAUUUCAAGAUAAGAGAUUCAAAGAUAAUAUAAUAUAUAUAUAUAUAUAUAUAUAUAUAUAUAUAUAUAUAAUAUUAUAUAUAUCAAUUAUUGUUGAAUCUUACCCAAGGAUGAAAAAGGGUAUGGGUAUUCUUUGCAGGGGUGGAAAAACAGAAGUGGGUCGGCCAUGCUUUUACUAUGUGGGCCCCUUAGAGAAAACCUGCUAAAAAUGAACCGUUUCAACAGAAGGAGGCAAAUAGCUGUACGGAACGACGACGUCCCUGAAUUAAGGUCAUCUUCUUCGAGUGCGGACGAGCCGUAUCACAUACCUUUCCUGUUUCCAUCGAGUUUGAUCUACUUCAACUUCUGUUUCGACAGAGUAGCAGGGUAAUGAUUUUGGGAAAAAAAUUUAAGGUUAGGGUUUUGGAGAAUAAUUUUGUGACUAGGGUUUUAGGGUUUUGGAUUGUUUUCACAAAAUCAUUCUCCACUGGUGAAAUAAAUCACCAUAAUAAUAGCAGUAGGCUAUGAUUUUAACUUAAUCAGUACCCAAAUGUAAAAUUUUAUGCUUAUUUCCGCAAAUACUAUUAACAAUUUAACAUGGAGUUUUAAUUUUUUAUGAAAUUUUUGUAGUUGAUUGGGUUUGUAUGAUGAAUAUUAGUGUUUUGAGCCACACUUGUUAGUCCAACUUCAAGCAAAUUUGCAAUCAGCAAGUCCAUUCUCUCUAGCUGCGACCUUCCUUGCAAAGGGAGGAAUCUUAACAGAGUCUUCAACCCUUCCCCAAAAGCUAUGAAUAAAGUCUUUAGCGACGACGGUCCAAUUAAGCACUCUAACUUUGGCCUUAUUGGUAUCGGAACGGGCCUCCCUGGAUCAGUGACAGCCGCCGCAGCUUCUACUGCCGUAAAAACUGUUCUUCACGUACCUUGACACUAACCACUUUUAUGGUGACUACUGCGCCUUUCUUCCCAUUGAUGAUUUGACUGUCUACCUAAAUUCUCAUGCUUCCCAACCCUCCGCCACUACUACCACCAAUUUCACCUCUACAAGUACAAGCCAUGAUGAUUGCAUCGCCUUACCCCUCACCCGCCAGUUGCUGUACGCCGAUACAGAGACCGUUACAUAUGCCCCUUAAGUCCUUGCACAAUAUAAUAGAAGCAAACCUCGGUCAAAUAAUAUAAACUUGAACUCCAUUUUGAGCAUUGUGAGAUAAGGGAAUGUGCUAGAAACUAUUAUGUUAAAUUCAUUCUUAUUAAACCUUUCAAAUAUGUGAUGUUUAUUAAUAAGCAUUUUAGGAAUAUCUAUGACUAUGUUUUUAGAUUGUUUGUACCAUACUUGACCAAUCCCGACACUACUAAGCACCGGUCAACGUUAUACCGUCAAGGACCUAGAAGAGUUUCCCUCCAACCAGGAGGCCAAUCACAGCGCGACACGUGUUGACAUCAGAAGCCAAUCAUAGCGCGACACGUGUCAACAUAAGAAGCCAAUCACAACACGACACGUGUUAAUGUCAGAAUGAAACUAGAAACUCUCUUCUAUAAAUAGAGAUCAUUCUCUCACAAUAUUUCCUAAUGUCAUUUGUACUAAAUCAUUCACUAGUACUCACUAAAGGAGAGCUUGAACCUAUGUACUUGUGUAAACCCUUCACAAUUAAUGAGAACUCAUCUACUCCGUGGACGUAGCCAAUCUGGGUGAACCACGUACAUCUUGUGUUUGCUUUCCUGUCUCUAUCCAUUUACAUACUUAUCCACACUAGUGACUGGAGCAAUCUAGCAAAGGCCACAAACUUAACACUUUCUGUUGUACCAAAGUCCUCACCGAUUUUGUGCAUCAACAUUUGGCGCCGUCUGUGGGAACGACACUUAUUCUCACUCUCUUCAGCUUUGUUAAGCUGGUUUCCACCAUUUGUACACUCUCUUUUGACCAGGCAUCCCUCUCCAACAUGGGGAGCGACGGAAGCCACAACACACAGAAUGACACCCUUCUUGCACCUAGUGUGAAGCAACGAAAGAAGGAAGGAAAGAGGGUUGCUUUUCAAGCUAAAGUCGAUGAGCUAGAAUCUUAAAACAACAAGAUAGCAAUGAAGAAUGAGGUCCUCCAAGAGCAGUAUGAGAAGCUCUUUAAGAUGCUCCACGAAACUAGGCGUACUCAAACACGCGAACUCGUUACCCCUGUGGACAUCAACCAUCAUCUGGAUACCUCCCAACAAGGAGGGUCACCUUCCUUCGACAUGGGUAUCCCUGAUGAGGAGCGAGCUAAUCAUCAAAACAUUGAUCAACAUGAGACUUCUUUCAACUCAGAUGCUUCGACCCGAAACAGGAGAAGUGGAGGAAGACACCUUUUUGCAGAAAGGUUGGAAGGAUCGAAAUCCAUUUAUCAUGACUGCCGAGACUUCCUAAAGCAACGUCAAGAGAAUCUCCUCCACAUAAGCUCGAAGAUCAAUGACCCAAGGGUUUCUGAAAGACUUGGUCCCCUCCCACGUCCCAGGCCGGCUACCAAUUUGGGGAAAGGGCAACAAGUCCUAGAGAAACACGAAGGUAUAGGGGGCUCAGAGAUGUUUCGACAGACAUACCUUGAAAGUCAGUACGGCGAGUCCAAGGAAAAAUCACAUGCUCUUGAUCAAACCUUCAUACUUCCAAGAGGAGAUGAACAUUUACGAAAGAAAGCUCAAGUGGUACAUGACUCCACUCAAGACCUUCUUGUCAUACAGCUUCUUAAGGAAGUAAACAAGUUGAAGGCCGAACGACAAGCUGAGAUACCUGAUUGGAACCAACCUAGGCCUGGCCCUCUUACAAGGAGGAUCCUCGACACCCCCUCCAAACAAAGACAAAGCAGAAGCUUGGCUUGCAACUCUAUACUGGAAAAGAGGACCCGAUUGAACACCUUAACCUCUUUGAGUCCACCAUGGCAUACCGGAUGCAUACCAACGAAGAGCGAUGUCUUCUCUUCCCCUCCACCCUCUCUGGCGGAGCUCUAAACUGGUAUUGUCGUCUUCCACCUGAGACGGUAGACUCAUUUGAGGAAUUGAGGAAACUGUUUGUUUCUCAACACAUUUUUCAGACUGAUCGCUUACAUUUUGCAGAUGACUUGUACACUAUUCGCCAGAAGCCGGACGAGUCACUACGAGAGUAUGCCAAUCGCUUUAGCCAUGAGUAUUCUCGAUGCGCUGAGGUAGAUGACAAGAUCGCCCUCAAGGUCUUCACGGCAAGCCUUCGUGAUUGUUUCUUCAAGUACAUGAUCAAUGCCAACACUUGGAAGACUUACUCUGAGGUGAUGGCAUAGGCUUACAACCAUGCAUCCGCCGAGGCAAGGACAUAUCAAGGGAAACCCCCCACAGCCACCCCUUAUCAGCAAGUAGGGAGUGGAAGCCAGAUCCAACCAAAUGAGAAGACCUCGACCUUCCAAACAGCAGCGGUGCCUCCCUCUGCCUUACUUAAUAUUUUGCCAAGUCAACAGACAUAUCAAUCUCAGGGCAAAAGGAAAGAUUUCUAUCCUCACCAGUCUCAUUUUAGUAAAAUGAGUAAGGGACACUACCGCGAUAACCAAGGGUAUCACCACGAUAAUCCCCGACCCCAGGCAGUCAACACAGUGGGUCAAGCACGUGUCCGGAUAGCCCAUACCCCGAGGUAUGAGGCAUACACACCUUUGAACGCCACAUGCGUGGCCAUUUACCCCAGCAUAGCACACCUGAUACCGAAGCCAAAGCCGAGGCACCUGGAUUACAAGUCCACGAAGAACACAGGCACAUUUUGUUGCUACCACGAGUAUAACGGCCAUGACGGUGAAAAGUGUAUCACCCUUCGAGAUCAUAUUGAAGCUUUGGCAUGUGAAGGAAAAAUUGAUCAAUUCCUCAUUCACUCUUCAAGGGGUAACCGUAACCAACCCCAGGUGAAUGUGAUAUAUUCCAUAAGUGGUGACACACCCAUAUCUAAAUCUUCCAACAGGGCCAUGAAAAAUAGUGAACGAGCUUUAAGGUAUGGCCACCAAGUGUUUCACGUGGAAGACAUUAGGGGAGGCAAGCAUCAAAAGCCUAACUGGGAUCUAAUAUGUUUCUACCUUGAGGAAGAAAGAGGUAUCAUCUACCCUCACCACGACCCAUUGAUCGUGGAAGCUCACAUAACCAACUUUAAAGUACGACGAAUCCUAGUAGACACGGGGGCUUCGGUCAAUAUCAUGUUUGCCGAAGUUUUCAGGGCACUUAAUGUAGCUGAACACUUGCUCGAUCGCUCGAUUUCCCUUCUGAUAAGCUUCUCCGGUGAUAUCGUGCAACCUUUAGGGAGCAUACACUUACCUUUCACCAUUGGUACAUACCUUUACACAUCUACCAUUACCACUAACUUCCUGGUGGUUGAUUGCCCAACGACAUACAAUGUCAUCUUGGGACGCACAUGCAUCAAUGAUCUCAAGGCCAUGGUAUCCAUAUAUAUGUUGUUGAUAAAAUUUCCAACCCACUAUGGCAAUGGUUACAUCAGAGGAGAUCAACUUAGUUCACGAUCAUGUUACAACACUUCGGUCAAGCAACAACACCUGCAUGUGCCCAAGGAAACCCUUUCUAUACAUGACCAAGUCAUAAAAACCAGCCCAGACGAAGCCAACUUGGAUCUUCACGGUGGCAACAGUCAACCCGAUGAUCCUCGAGAUGACUUUUUUACCCAGCAAGCACAACCCACUGAAGAGUUGGAGAAGGUCUCUAUAUUAAAAGAUUAUCCGGAUCGCAUGGUGAAGAUUGGCACCACCUUGUCACUACCCAUUCGGUUGGCAUUGAUCUCUUUUUUGCAAGAGAACACUGAGGUUUUCGCCUGGUCAUACGAGGACAUGCCAAGCGUCUCUCCCGAUAUCAUUUGUCAUCGCUUAAGUAUUGACCCCAAAACCAAGCCAGUGAGACAGAAGCGAAGAUCCUAUGACGUUGAAUUUGUAGGAGACAAUGAAGGCAGAAGUUGAAAAAGUCAAAGGCAUAGGCUUCGUCCGCGAAGUCAAUUAUCCAAUGUGGGUAGCAAAUGUUGUCCUUGUUAAGAAGAAUCCGACCAAGGAAAGUCUCCUACUCCAAAAGGUCUUGUGGAGAAUGUGUGUCGAUUACACCGACCUAAACAAAGGAUGCCCGAAUGAUAGCUUUCCUCUUCCUCUCAUAAAUAUACUUAUAGACUCUACAACAGGGUGUGAACUCCUGAGCUUCAUGGAUGCUUACUCAGGAUACAACCAAAUCCUUAUGAACCCUCUGAACCAAGAACACACAACCUUCACUACUGACAGGGGACUAUAUUCACUAGUACAAAAACAUGUUUGCGCGACGAAAACUUACGCGACGCAUAAAAUUACGUCGCGCAAAGCCGUUUUGCACGACGUAGGUGUACGUACGUCGCGCAAAACGUCUUUGCGCGACGUAAUUUUACGCGAUGCUGUCCUUCGUCGCGUAAACUUUUGGUGCCAAACCAAAAGAAUUUACCGUUUUUUCCCAACUUUGUGCGACGCAUGCCCACUUACGUCGCGCAAAGUUGUUUUGCGCGACGUAGGUGGGGAUGCGUCGCGCAAAGUCAACAACUUUUUUUCUUUUCAUUUGAUCAGUUUGGGAGGCAGAAACUGCAUACCUAGCUGCAGCAACUACCUCCAUUGCCCAUCUCUCUCUUCAAAACCGUCUACCAGAUCAGGUUUGAAGUUUGAAUUGAUAUCAAUUCUUUGUAUUUUUUCGAUUGCAAUCCUUCCCCUUUGCUCUUAAACAUGAUGUAAACUGAAUUAAUAAUAUGUAGAUCCUUCAUGUGAUUCAUUUACGAAAUUGAAAUUGCAAAAUCAAAGGAGAUAACUAUCUUGCUGAUUUUCUUUUUCUCUAUACACCAGAUCUCUUCUUUCUGUAGCGACUUAUUUGUUCGUACAUAAAAGCAGAGGUGAUAAAUUAGUUGGGGAAGACAAAUAGGCUUAUAUCCAGGUGAGGAGGACCCUGAGCACAGCUUAAGAAAUUACUAGGAAUAGCAUUGUGAGGCCUAAAUGUCAAUUGGCCAGGACUCCAUACAUGCGCAAUUUUGGUCUUUAGUAAAAACAUCUAAAUGAUGAUGGGUAUGUCCUUGAUGAAGUACCCGGUUAGCUGUUUUUACGAAGGACAAAAUACCGUAUAUGUAUGGAUUCAAACGCCACCAUCAAAUGGAUAAGAAAUUAGCGUCCAAUCCAUCGAAGCAAUUCAUGAUGUCUCCAACAUGUUGGAAGAUUUAAUUGGCAAUGGGAAGUUAGACCCAUUGAGAUGACGAAGAUGGUUUUCUCACGACGUUAAGAGUAGAAGUGUCAUCUUGAGCUCCUAAUCAAUUGUUAUAUUCCUACUGUAUAUGGUUAAUUUAUGUCUCCACCACUCAUGUAUCAUUCUUUGCAUGCGAUCCAAAAAUAAGGAUUCAAUGACCAAAAAACAUGGUUGUUGCAAAUUCAUCCAAAUUCAUGGGAAAUAAAUUAUGCUUAUAUCUUUCUCAUGAUGUGUACAUAUUAUUGAAUUGAUCUAUUCAUUUGUCAAAAAAGUGAACUAGUCGUGUUUAAUUACAUCAAAUUUGUCAAGCUGAUGUUGCCUAGCUGGUAUUCGUGUCGCCUACUUGCCAAUACGUUGAAAAUACACUCACUACUUGCAUAGAAUUUCAUAAUUGUAGGUUGUAUUUGGCUUGGAGACAUUGUGUUUUUACUUUCUUUACCAUAUUUUGGUUCAGAAAACCAGCAGUUCCGAUGACUGGAGGAAAGUCACUCUUCAGCUGGUACUCACAUUAGUUACGCGAACAAGAGCUACUGCUUACGUAAGGUUAAUGAUGGUGCUUGUCUUACUAACAGUUUCACAAUAAGUGAAUCCGUGAUAGGUGACAUGGUUUUCUGAUAAGUUGCAGUCUUUUGGAUAUUAUGCAAGCUAUUGCAGAUAUGAAUGGUGCAGAUAUUCGUCUUACUCUUCAAUCAUUCAACAGCCACUGAGCACAGCUUAAGAAAUUACUAGGAACAAGAGCACGGCUUAGCGGCCUUCUUUUAGUGUAGAUAAUAUCAUUUGUUAGAGAAAUUUUUUAUAUAUAUAUAACAAGGAAGAAAAUGAAAGAGGACAAAUAAUAAGAGAGCAGACACACGAUCGCCUACAAACUUCCAUGUAAACCCAGCCUGCUUUAUUCGUUUUUUCAGACCGAUUAAACAAAGCACAGAACUUAUUCCUCCUUUUUUAAUCCCUUAUUAAUCCCAAGUCUAUGUCUUAAGACAUUCUUUAUCUUCAACUACUUGCAUGUUUGACAUAUCUUAAUAAUAUUUCGUGUGUAACAUUUAGCUCUGAGUACUUAUCAAACAGACAUUAAGAUGCUGCCAAUCCUCAGACUGCAGCCUAUCAUCAUUUGAACACUUGUUCAAGUUUACAGUUUUGAUCCCCUGUCAACACCUACUCCCUUCUUUGUUUUGAUCCAACACCUUAUUUCAAAUCUGCAAAUAGUCACUUGCUAAGAGAAUGAGCAAUGUAACUGUUGCAUUUAGAAGUCGGAUUGUGUCAGUCGAGUGUAAGCAGGCAAUGAGCCUUUUAGUAACGCCAUCUUCUUAUGUUCAUAGAAGUCAGCAGUCUGCAAGUUUAAGCACCUUGUUUGUACAGUUUUACGUUUGUGUACCUAGUUCCAUUCAUAAGUCAGAUUUUAUCAGUUGAUUGCAAAUGCAAUCAGCAAGCAGAAUAUGUCAAUGUAUUUAGUAACAAAUGUCUCAUGCUUAGUAAAUGACUUGCGUAUUAUCUUCGUAAAUUGGCUUUCAUAACUUGUAUAAGAUUAGCAGCAUCCAUAAAUUUCUGUAGGGAAAGUUUUGAAAUUGGAUUUGUGCAUGAUAUGGGAAUUUGUGAGGAUGUAUGUUUGCUCUUGUUGUCUGUGGUCCUCCCCUGCCUUUUUCUUUAGGUUUGGUUAAAGUCUAAGCUACAUCUCUUUCUUAUUAUAAGUCGCAUGCAGAGAGAGAAGAUGAUGACGAUGGUCCUGUAUGUAUAUAUAUAUAGCUACCUCUUCUUUAUUUUUAUGAUUAUAUGAUUACUAAUUAGUCAUUUUACGUUGAUCAUAUUGAUUAAUCUAGAAUGUUAAAUCUAGUAUAUUGUUCUUGCAGACUUGUAUUUUGAAGGUGAGCAUAUGUUGUUUAGGGGGUUCCAAGCUAUGGCCACCCCACUUCACUAAGCUGUGGCCUCCCAAGUUCAUAAAAACAAAGACGGCUAUUACAUGUUGCAAAGGAUGUGCUCACAAAAUCAAGAAGAAAUUGCAGAACUUAACGGUACAAAAUCAGUUUUUUACUUCCCUCUUGCAGUUGAUCAUCAAAUUAGGAAUAUCUGCACAGAUAAAACCGGUUAAAAAUUCUUAACAAAAAUUAAACUAGGAAACGAUUUUAUUAGAACUUUGUAAUUGGUUCUGUUUGUUCUUAUGGUAUUAGUUUGUUUCUUUUCACUUGUUACUGCCUUUUGUAAUCAACUUUUUCACUGUCAUUAUUUACUCUGAUUGGUGAUGACAGAGGCAUGGCUAUUGUAUCUCAUAUAAGAGGAGAACUAAUAAGGAGAACUAAGGACUAAAUUAAGAGAUAGAUACGUAAAGUGAAAUAAAGGGUGCAUAAAUCACUUUAUAUUAAAAUGAAGUCUAAGAGACAUUUAACUACAUUUGAGAUGUCACAGUGUACAUAAAUCACUUUAUUUUCUUCGCUAAAUUAAUUUUUAUUAAUUUUAUCUAUUUUAUUUAGUUUUAGUAAUUAUUGUGAUUUAGUUUAUUUGUAUGCACAUAUUUUUGUACAUCACCUACAAAAUUGUUUUGUGUUGUACUAAGUUAAUACUACUUAACUUCAUACCCUUUUCUCAGGAAAAGCUUAGUUUCCCGUUUGAGAAUUAGUUGGAUUUCGUGCAUGGAUGUGAAAGCAUGACUGCGGUCCAAUUAAUUAUUGAAUUGUCCCAUUUUUUGGACAGUUUGGGAAUGCCCUAGUUAUGUGUUGUAGUUUGCGGUCCACAGAUUAGCUUUCGAUAGUGGAAAUUUUGGUAACAUUUCCCGAUGUUCUUUGAGUACACGGUGGAUAUUAUGUAUCUACGACGUGCACUUGAAGAACUGUAAGGAGAUGCUGGGAAAUUAGCCCACGUCGAAAUUUAAUCCAUUGGAAUCGUAAAUUACGGCACAUAACUGUGCAUUCUUGAAUGGGAUAGGGCCCUGACCAGAGGAAUAAGGUGACAAGACAAUAGUUUUCAUGUCCUAAUCUGUCUCAUAAUUUGCUUCAAUUGUACUUAAUUCCAAUUUUUGAAUAAAAUGAAUGAAUGCCAGCAGCGGUGUAGAUUUUCAAUGGCAUCCAAUUUCAUAUAGUUUAAUUAGUUAUAUCUCCAUUUACCUAUAUACCUAUUCAUUCCAAUUUUAUAUGAUCGCUUGAUGCAAAACUUUUCUAGAUAUUAUUAGUUGUAGCAGUUGCAUCUCUUAAAGAUCUAUACAACUUAUUCUCACUGGUUCACGGUGGAUUUUGCAGUUACUUCUCGAGCGUGGGGAAGCACGAAGGGUUAUUCCUUGGUAACACAUUUAUAAGGAUUCCGUUGUAGACGUUGUUGUAAUUCUUGUACUUUUAUUCGGAUUGCAGACAAAAUGGACAAACAGUGGAUACAUAAUCAUAAUAGAUGUGUUGUUGAGUACUUGGAUGGAAUACAUGCGUUCAUUGAAUUCGCAACUAGACAUAACCUAGGUUCAACUCAUAUCCGAUGUCCAUGUAGGAGGUGUAACAACUCAACGUGGGAGACAUUCAAGAAUGUUUGAUUUCAUUUAGUAAGAAAUGGGAUGAUGGAGACCUAUACUACUUGGUGUCAUCAUGGAGAACGAUUAGACCAAGCUUCGUCUUCAUACGUGACACGAGUGGAAACUGUUGAAUCAAAUGUGGAUCCUAAUGAACAAGUUAUGAAUAUUCUAAAUGACGUUUAUUCAUACGCCUCGAGCAACACCAAUCAGGAAGAGGGAGAAGAGGGAGAUGACGGCCGUCCAACCAUGGACAGUGAGGCAUUCAAAAACUACGAAAAACUAUUGAAAAAUGCCAAGCAAGAAUUAUAUCCAGGUUGUGAGAACUUUUCAAUGCUCACAACAAUUGUGGAGUUGAUGCAUGGCAAGAUCAAGUUUCGUUUGUCAAACAAGUGUUUUGAUUACUUUUUGGGAGUUAUCAAAAGGAUGGUUCCAAAGGAGAAUUGUUUACCUAAAGAUCAUAAAAGUGCCCAAAAAGUGUUGAAGGGUCUCGGAUUGGGGUAUGAAAAAAUUCAUGCAUGUGUAAAUAAUUGUAUAUUGUUCUAUAAGGAGAACAAAGCAUUGGAUAAAUGCCCUGUCUGCAAUGAGCCGAGGUUUAAAAUGACAUCACAGAAUAGAAACACCAAGAUUCCACAAAAAGUAAUGCGCUAUCUUCCAUUGAAGCCUAGGUUGCAGCGAUUGUACAUGUCGAUGCAUACCGCAACCGACAUGAGAUGGCAUAAAGAAGGAUGGGUAAAUGACGAUGUUAUGAGGCAUCAUGCAUAUGGAGAGGCAUGGAAAGAAUUCGAUCGGAUGUACCCUGAUUUUGCAGCUGACCCGCGCAACGUCAGAUUGGGACUUGCCACCGAUGGAUUUAAUCUGUUCGGGGUUUUAAACCUAAUGCACAACACUUGGCCGGUCAUCGUGUUUCCUUAUAAUUUGCCACCUUGGAAGUGCAUGAAAAAAGAAUACAUGAUGUUAAUUCUAUUAAUUAACAAAGAUCCAGGAAAGUCCAUUGAUGUUUAUUUGCGGCCGUUGGUUGAUGAGCUAAAAGAUUUAUGGGAAAACGAUGUUUGUACAUACGAUAAAUAUACUGGGCAGAUGUUCACCAUGCGAGCGGCAGUGAUGUGGACAAUAAAUGAUUUUCCCGCUUAUGCAAUGGUUUCUAGAUAGAUGACUAAGGGUUAUUUGGCAUGUCCAAUAUGCAAGGAGAACGUAACAUCAUCUUGGCAUGCAAGAAAAGUUUGUUAUCUUGGUCAUCGUAGAUGGCUCCCUUGGGACAACGAGUGGCGUCAGAAUGAUAAAUCCUUCGACAGCACAAAAGAAACUCGGCCAAGACCAAGAGAAUAAUCCAGAGAUGAGAUUUUGGAUCAGUUAAACCGUUUGGAAUUUGGUCAUUUCGGCAAAGGGGUCAGUAACCCCAAACCAACUACACAUCUGAACUGGACACACAAGAGUAUGUUAUUUGAGCUUCUGUAUUGGUCAAAGUUAAAAUUGAGACGCAACCUCGAUGUUAUGCAUAUUGAGAAAAAUGUGUUUGACACUUUGAUCGGGACAAUUCUAGACAUUGAAAGAAAAACAAAAGACACGAUCGAAGCUCGCCUCGAUUUGGAACGAAUGGGUAUUAGGUCAUCCUUGUGGAUGAAGAAUGUCGGUGGUACAUUGAAGAAAGGCCAUCCCUUUUUUACAUUUAAGCCGAAUGGGAAAAAAGAGUUUUUCAACUUUAUUUCUUCUGUAAAGUUUCCAGAUGGGUAUGCUUCCAAUAUCUCGCGUUGUGUGAACGUGAAGGGGUGUAAAUUUCAAAACAUGAAGAGUCAUGAAUGUCAUGUGAUACUCCAACGCCUUCUUCCAGUUGGUAUUCGACACUUAUUGCCUCUUGAUGUGGUGAAACCAAUCGUGUUGUUGUCGAGAUUUUUUUCGCAGUUGACUGCAAGGUGUUUGUGGAAGUCAGAUGUUAAACAAUUGCAGGACGACAUAGUGAACGUCUUAUGCAAGUUCGAACAGAUAUUUCCCCCAGCUUUCUUUACAAGUAUGAUUCACGUGAUGAUUCACUUGCCAGAUGAGGCAUUGCUUGCCGGACCAGUGAACUGUCGAUGGAUGUAUCCAAUAGAAAGGUACUUAAUUAAGCGUCUAUAUAUAUAUAUAUAUAUAUAUAUAUAUAUAUAUAUAUAUAUAUAUAUAUAUAUAUAACAUAUUCAUGAUCAACGAACGCUUUGAAUAAUUUGUAGCAUACCUUUUAUUUGUGCAUAUAUCUUGGUGAGUUGAAAACUUGUGUUCGAAACAAGGCAAAGCCCGAAGGAUCACUUGUGGAUGCAUGGGUCACAUAUGAGUCACUUACUUUUUGUGCAAUGUAUCUUGAAGAUGUUGAGACAGCUUUCAAUCGUCCAGAACACAAUAAUGAUGGUGGUGUCAGAAAAGAGAAACUGUCUAUUUUUCCCCAAAUUGCACGACCAUUCGGCGAUCCUGUAAAAGACGAAUCGUUUACCAAAAAGGACAUGGAGGUAGCGCAUUGGUUCAUACUCAACAAUUGUGACGAGGCUUUGCCAUACCUUGAAGAGCAUGAACAAUUGAUGAAGCGGGAACAUCCUUCACAUUUAUAUGCCAAGAAGCACCGUGACUUGUUUCCUUCGUGGUUUCAUGCACAUGUAAGUUGUAUGUGGUUUGAAUUGAGCAUAUUUUCCAACUUGUUCAUGCCCGUCUUUAAAUUUGGUUAUACUAACAAGUUAAUUUUUUGUAUAUGUUAUAUUAGAUGAACAAAUUGAAGGAAUUGAAUUCACCCUCUUACGAUGAAGAAUUAUAUAACUUGGCGAGAUGACCGCUUCACGUUGAAUUGUUCUCAGGUUGUCAUGUCAACGGGAUCAAGUUCUUGGGGGAAACACGUGAUGACAAGUUGUCUACUUAAAAUAGUGGUGUCCAUGUCCCAGGUGCGGGUGAUAGUGAAGACAUUGAUUUUUUUGGCAAACUAACUAGUGUAGUACAAUUGCUUUACAAAGAUAGGUGUCAAGUGAUAUUGUUUAAGUGUCUUUGGUUUGAUACAAACCCACAUAACCGAACGAGUGUUAAGCGAGACCAUGGUUUACUAUCAGUAAACAUUAUGAGACAUUGGUACGAUGAAGACCCAUACAUUUUGGCAACAAUGGCAAAACAAAUAUUCUAUCUAGACGACCCUAAAGCUGGCAAUGGUUGGAAAGUUGUUCAAAAGAUUGAUCGAAGAGGGCUAUAUGAUAUUCCAUAACAAGAUCAUGAUGACAAUUACGAUAACGUCGCUGACCAACAGUUAUCAUCUUCGAUAGAAAUUGGUGAAGAAACACUCCGGGAUACUAAUAUUGUCCAAGAACCGUUUGACGUAGUUGGAUUUCCUGAAUUCGAAAUAUCAAUUGACCUUGGUGAUCUACCUCAAUACAAUGCAUCGGAAGAGGAAAACGAAGAUGAAGACAAAUGGGAAUCCGGAAAUGAUAGUAGUGAGGAUAGCGAGAGUAAUUAUUGUAGUUCAGAUGAUGAUUAAUAUAAACUUGUAAAGAAAAAUCGUGCUUUUUCGUUUAUAACCGUCAAAAAGUUUUGUCCCUUUACAUAAUCUCUGAAUGUUUGUUUUUUGCAAUUUUUGGCGUCUGCGAUCUCGAAGCAUAUACAAACAAGUUUGACGGUUGGAUAGUUGAAAUUAGUUUUGUACAAUGCGUUUCCCAUCAAGUUCAAUGGUAUAUAUAUUUACUAAGUUGAUUUUAAUUUAUUUAUUUUGUACUUAUAACACUUAAGAAAUUUAAUGAUAUAUAUGUAAAAAAAAAAUUAUUGUGAGUUUUUGUUAGAAAAAUAUAUUAUUGUGGGGUUUAUGUAAAAUAAAUUUGAAUUUGAAAGAAGUAAAAUCACAUUUUUAGUAAUUUUUAUAAUAUUUAAAAAAAAAUAAAAUAAAAAAACCUUGCGCAACGUCUUAAUGUAGUCGUUGAGCAAAACUACUUUGCGUGACGUCAAUUUGUAUACCUACGUCGCGUCAUGUGAUAAUUUUGGCGCUCUAAUAGUGAAAAAUAGGCGUUUGUUUUCAAUUUUCCAAGUUUGGCAAACUUUUGAACCCCAUAGAUCUCUCUCUUCCCGUAUACCUCUCUCUUCCCACUCGCUCUUUCUUUCCCGCACGUAGACAUGCAUCUCUCCCUCUCGCUCUUUCUUUCCUGUACGUAGACCUGCAUCUCUCCCUCUUUCUCUCUCUUUCCCGUAGACCUCUCUCUCCUCUUCGCAACCUUCAACCCCCAAAUCUCAAAGCCGACGCGACGUAGGUUCCCAAAAUCAAGGUAAGGGUUUCUCAUUUUCGAUGGGUUUUUGUUAUUUAGGGUUUAGGGUCAAAUUGCAUGUUGAUUUCUGAGUACUUUGUCGAAAUCUCCAGAUAAAAUUGGAUGUUGGUUCUGAUUUGAUAGGGUUUCAGAUUUGUGAUGGUUUGAGGUUAUGUGGGUCUGUUGAUUUUGUUCAGUUGAUAGGGUUUGAGGUUCUGAUUUAGCACAGUGGUGGGUUUUCUCGAAGAACCUUAAAAGCAUGAAUCCUUACUCUGUCGUCCCUGGUACAAAAUUUCAACUUAUUUUUGUAUAUUUCUGAACCAAAUAUAUAUAUAUAUAUAGCAUCUUGAUCUUCUUCUUCACAGGGCAUGUUCAUCGGCUGUGAGGUGGUGGUUAUCUGUCAGUCUCCUGGUGAAAUUCUCAAUCUUUCUCUCUUAAUUAAGUGUUAAUCAUAGCUUUUAAACUGUUUUUCUUUCACUCAUCAGUCAUCACAUCCACACUCAGCUCAUCCUUCUCCAAAUUAAACUCAUUUUCUGGGUUUUUUUUUCUUUCAAAAGGGAAAUCUCAGUCACAAGGACAUGUAAAGUUCAUUACCCGUAAAUUUCAUUUGGUUUUUGUUACAAAUGGAACAGGAAUGGCUUACUUGCAAUUUAGGACUUGUAAUUUGAUAAUAAUAAAAGAAGGACGUCUGUUUAUUGAGAGAUGCCUAGGACUGGUUUGAUGUUUGUCAACGAAAGUAAGCUUUGAAUUUCAGUAGGCGGUGCUACCAAGCUUCGAACUUAAUUUGACCUACCACCAUUUGUUUUACUUCGAAUUAAAACAUGGAGAGAUCCUGCUAUAGAUUUGUAAAUAUUAUGCUAGCAAAGUCUUUUGAGCAUUAUGAUUUUCUUGUCCUGUAGCAGCAUAAUAAUGCUCAUAUAUGAUGCUAACUGUUACAUCCCAGACUCAAUCGUCAGUUAAUUAUAUUAUGAGUGAGUUCGGGAAUAACAUGAACCUAAUAGGUAAAUACCUCAGAAAUUUUCCUUUUGCUUAUUUAAUUGGCAUUGACUUGCAUAUAGUAUUCAUGCAUGUUAGAUGUAUUCUGGAAUAUCUUGUUCUUUUAAAUAGUUGUUGUGAAAAACCUGUAUUCUUGUUCUGAAGAAUGAGCCCUGCAUAUGGCUUUUCCAGAUUUGUAGGAAGUGUUAACUUUUCACAGGGGAUUGAAACUAGAAAACAUUUGAUGCACAUACUUAUAUAUGAUAUGCCUGAUUGCUUAACCCACUGCCUCAAGCUAUUACGGUAUUACCUUAGAUGAGAAUUUUACUUGAAUAGACUUAAGCAGUGCAGGACCCGACCAUUUAAAUACUGUACUUUUGAGCAGUUGCAUUAUAACCCACAUAUCCCAUGUAAAGUUUAUUCUAAACCUUUCAUGAGGUGGAACAAAUUAGUGAAAAAAUCUAUCAUUUUUGCUCACAAAAUACACAUACUGCCACAGUUUAACUAAUUUGAUCCUUAUAUAGUGAUUCUCUUUUAGGGUUUGUUCAGAUGCAAGAAAGGAUUAGUUUAAAUAUUCUUGUAUUGAUAUUAUUGCUCUAAUUACUUAUAUUACUUUGGUUGCUAUUUUAUUAGUUUCAAAUGCAAGAAAUGAUUAGUUUCUAAUGUUAUAUUUGUAUGGUUCAUAAAGUGUAUAGAUGUCGCAGUUGAUCACUCGUCGUCGGAGUGUGUCCAAUGCAGCUCCUGCAUUAUCAGCAUCUAGUGCUCCAGGUGUGAGUGCUCCAAGCGUGAGUGCUCCAUUGAUUGGGGAGCCUACACCCCUUACGGAGGCUACUCCUACGACGUCCCAGGUGCCCGUAUCAUCAACGUCAUCAGUGUCAGUUCAACCCCUCAGUGCACGGCGGCCUCCCUAGCGCCGCCGCGAGCCGGAGCCUUCUGAUCACACUUCCUUGUCCUCCAGAGUCGAGGAUGGGGCCUCCCAACCAGGUAGUUUUUUUUCUAAUUCUCACUACGUUGCAUUUUUUUUUCAUUUCAAAACUAUUACUUUUAUGAUUGUGAAAAUGUGUUGCGGGUUGUGAAUUACUGUUUUAAGGUACUUUUAUGAUUAGGGGAGGUUUUGCCGAAUUUUUUGUACAAAUUUAAGCUUAGGGUUUUUACCAUUAAAGUUUUUUUGGGUAGCUAAAAAAAAACACCAAGGGGCCCAAUCGAAUGUUGAAGGAGCUACAGCUUGUACGUAUGUCUGCCUCCUUGAUCAAGAUUGCGUAUGAUGAGCGACAUUGUGGAGCGGUUACCUCACAGCAGCAUAACAGCGUCGUUAAUUGCUGUGGUUUUAUUAUUAGGAAUUUUUGUCCUAUGCGGUGGGAGAGUUGGGCAAAAAUUCCCGAUGAGACGAGGACCCUGGUGCGAGAUAAUUUGGAGGUUAGUAAAUUAAUUUUUAGCAAAGUCAACAUCUUUCUCUGCUUAAACUAUUGCAGGGCCAUCAUCUUGAUUAAUAAAGUCAAGAUCUUUCUCUCAAUUUCUGUUUGGUUGCUAAGAAAAUGUAGGGGGGAAAGAGAAAUCAGGUGCAUUUCAUUGUUUUGCACCUGAUAGCCGAGUGUUGUUGUGGUGAAUAAUUUGGUCAUGUAUUUUGCACACUCUUCUUCUAUUCAUAAUUGGGAGCAGGUGUGGUCCUUUAGUUUUGGUUAAUUUCAGUGAUUUGCGGCACUGUUCUUUGUUGUCUGAAUGCUUCAUGGGAAGGAAAUUGAAAAAUAAUUCCGUGAACCAAUGUUAAAAUAAUGAUUAUGUUGGUUAGGUGGAAGGAUUACUAUCUUAUCUGAUGCAUAUUUAUGGGUUUUUAGUUUUGGUCUACGUCCUUGCUUAAUGAUUUAUGAUAGUGUUUAAGUGAGUAUGCAUGCCGUCUCUAGUACAUUGCUUUGCUUGUGUUGUGCAUCAGUUAACCUGAUCCAUAGUAUCCACUGGUUGAGCAACAUCGUGAUACCUAAACAUUAUGCCUAUACAUGCUGUUUUGUUUUAAUCAUUAAGUGCUUCUUGGGACUGGCUAUACUAAUCAAAUAAUCUAUCUUUUACCGAGCGAGUCCUAUGUAUGGUUCUUGACUUUGCCUCAAUUUGAUAGUGAAUUGUUUUUAGUUGUUGUCCUGGUUUUAUUUAUUAAAGUGAACUACGAAAGCAGCCUUAAAUAGUCGAGUUAAAUCCUUUGUUGAGAAAUUGUGCUAAGGAAAGGAAUUUGAUAAAUAAUUUGAGUGUUAACCUUAUGGUUUGAACAUUAAAGGUUUGACACUUGCGUGAAGCUGAGGUUUGACACUACUUUCCGAACUAGUAUGAAUGAUCCUAUAUAUAAAAAUUGUUUAUAAUUUUGUAAGCUUCCUGUAUAUUACUGUAACCACUUUCUACACAUUUACUUACCUUCUUAUGAAGUUUUUCUUCGAAUCUGCUAAUAUUUGUUGGGUCAUUUAGAAAUGACAUGCUUACUACAUGCUAUUCUUAGUGGGUUGCAGUUGGACAAGAGUCUCAUAAACAUGUUACACAAUUUGAUUUCUGUAGUUGCAGCAGCAUAAUUUUCAUUCUGUCAGUUUUACUACUUCUGGAUUGUAAGCACAACCAGUUUAAACAGGCAUGAUGUUGUAAAUUACUUUAACGAAGCUCACAUCUUAAGGGGUAAAUUGGUUUUUGGUUGUAAAAAUUAGAGCAUGUCCUUAGUAACAGCUAUUUGGAAGCCAACAUGAUUAACUGACUGUUAAAGUGGGAUAUGAAAUGCUUGUAUGCAAUAGGUUACCUUUAUGGAAUUGCAUUAAAUUGUACAUGCAUGACUUUUUUUUUCUUUUUGGGUAAAGUAUAUAUAAUAGUAGUUGGCUUACAUCCUAACAAAUCAUUUAACAUGCUACUGGAAUAGUUGAUCUUGAGUUACAGUCAGUGCAGUUACAACCUCUCUAUAAAAUGUUGAAUUUCCACCUUUGGUCUCUGUACCGGUGGAAAGAGGCUCACAUGGGAGAUCAAAACCCCACUCUUGAGAUCUUUCAUAAUAUAAACAUUAUAUUGUUUGCUUCCUAACAAAUUAAGAUUCUAGUUAUUAUUGUAAACCGACAAACUUUAUCAGUAUCUUAUAAACUAGUUGUCAAUUAUUCUGAUACAUGGUCAUUUUGUUUGUCAUUUUGUUUUUCAUAUUUGUAGGUCGUUUUUGAAAUGGAGGACAUAUCCCCUGAGGUCAGUGCCUACUUAGAGGAGACCUUUGCAAGCCGGUACAAAGAUUGGAAGAGCACUCUUCACAAGCAUUUUUAGCUAUGGGAAUCUCCGGAGAUUGCUCGCCUACAGGGUUGCCCACUCGAGUAUAAGGAGCGGCGAGAGGAUUGGGAGUGGCUCUGCACACAUUUUACGGAUCCAAAAUUUGUGGUAUGUACAUAAUACUUUAAUAAUAAUUUAUUGUUUUUGUUAUUUCAUUUAAGCUUUUUUUAAUAAUUUCUUUCAAAUAGUCGCACUAACAUGUAUAUUGUAUGUUUAACAGAAUAAAUCUGUUGUUGGCAAGAAAGCUCGGGACUCAAAGACACUUCUCCACCAUUCCAGUUCGAAGCCCUUUUCGUAUAGGGUUGAGGCACGACGUGAGGUAAAAGUAUAUUAAUUUUGAAAUUUUAUACAAUCUAUUUUUUAUUAUUGAUUAAUAAAAUUUUCUUAAUGUUUUUUUUUUCUUUAGAAGGGUUCUAAGUUCCCACAGAUUGACCUGUUCAAGCAUGUUUACGUUCAUCCCAACAAUGAGAAUAGUGACCAGCUUUAUGUAAGUAUAUGUAAUUGUUAUUUUUCUUAUUUUUAUGAAUCGUUCAAAUAUUAUUUAUAUUUUGUUAUUAAACAUAGUGGAAAAGAGCACUGCUAUUCUCCAAGAAGCAACAUCGCAGCUUCCCCCAAAGACCCCGAUCGAGGACGUCAUUGUACCCAAGGAUGCAAAUGUUCAGAUCGUGACUGAGGUCCUGGAUCAGAAGUUCGGUCGUCAUCAUGGUAAGGUUGUUAGGUGUACGGGGAAGGCGGGGGUUCGUGAAACGGGUGCCUCUUCUUCCAGAUUGUCCACAGGAAAGGUCAAUUCCUUGAAGGAGGAAGUGACAACCCUAAGAGGUCAGGUUACGGCCCAGGGCGACCACAUUAGGGCCCAGGACGAGAGGAUGAAUAUGAUUGUUCAGGCCUUAGCGAUGUCUGGCCUCCAAAUCCCGACGAUGCCAACACCUAAUGUUGCUCCACCUUCGACUUCCCAGCCACUUUACCCAGAUGAUACCGAGUAGCAUGAUGUAUUAAACUUAGAAGACUUGUAGUUUUUUAAUUUCUUGUUCGGACAAACGUACAUUUUCAUAUAUUCUAUAAUUAAUUACUUUUUCUUGGUUUAUUAAUUAUUGUUUAGAAUUUAAUUAUAAUAUUUAUUAAAAAUUAAAUAAAAAAAUAUAAAUGACAAAAAAAAAGGUUUGCGCUACGCAGUGCCUACCUACGUUGCGCAAAGCUACUUUGCGUGACGCAGGACCUACGUCGCGCAAAUUUACUUUGAGCGACGCAGUGCCUACGCGACAUAGGACCGUCGUCGCGCAAAGUCAAAAAUACGUCGCCCAAAAAUUAGCUAAACGAACCUUCAUCGCGCAAGAACCGUCGCGCGAAGGUAGUGAAGGAAGGGUUUGUGCGACACAGUGCCUACCUACGUCGCGCAAAGCUACUUUGCGUGACGCAGGACCUAUGUCGCAUAAAUUUACUUUGAGCAACGCAGUGCCUACCUACGUCGCGUAAAGCUACUUUGAGCGACGCAGGACCUACAUCGCGCAAAGUAGCUUUGCGCGACGUAGGUAGGCACUGCGUCGUACAAACCCUUCCUUCACUGCCUUCGCACGACGGUUCUUGGGCGAUGAAGGUUCGUUUAGCUAAUUUUUGGGCGACAUAUUUUUGACUUUGCGCGACGACGGUCCUAUGUCGCGCAAAGUCUUUUUUGUACUAGUGAUUGCUAUAAAGUCAUGCCCUUCGGCCUAAAAAAUGCAGGAGCGACUUAUCGGAGACUGGUCAAUUCAAUGUUUGCCGAACAGAUUGGGAAGAGGAUGGAAGUUUAUGUUGAUGAUAUGCUAGUCAAGAGCAAACAUGCUAACCAACACAUCACCAACCUAUCUGAAACUUUCACCAUUCUGAAGAGGUAUCGAAUGAGGUUAAACCCCAACAAAUGUGCCUUCGACGUAGGCUCUGGCAAAUUCUUAGGCUUCAUGAUAAGCCAACGAGGUAUUGAGGCUAAUCCCGAGAAGAUCAAAGCAAUCAUCGACAUGAAGGAACCGGUAACCUCAAAAGACAUCCAAAGCCUUACUGGCAAGGUGGCAGCCUUAACUAGGUUCAUCUCUAAGGCCACAGACAGAUGUGCUCCUUUCUUCAAAGCAUUUAAGGGAAGUAAAAAGUACAUUACAUGGACUGAUGAAUGUGCUGAGGUAUUCAAGAACCUCAAAGACUACAUGAGUAAAGCCCCUCUGCUCUCCAAACCUGAGGUUGGUGACACUCUCAUUAUCUAUCUGUCGGUAUCAGCUUCAGUAGUAAGUUCCGUUCUCAUUCGAAAAGAUGGUAAUGUCGAACGGCCUGUCUACUACGCUAGCAAGGCCUUACAAGAUGAGGAGACACGAUACUCCAACAUUGAGAAAUUAGCUCUAACAUUGGUCGUGUCUGCUCGAAAACUUCGCCCUUACUUCCAAGCACACUCCAUCAUCGUGCUUACCAAUCAUCAUCUUCGACAAAUACUCCAAAGUCCUGACACUUCUGGGCGAAUGAUCAAAUGGGCAAUAGCAUUGGGUGAGUUUGACAUCUCCUACUAACCAAAGCCAGCUGAGAAGGGCCAAGCAGUGGCAGACUUCAUCGCCGACUUCACAUAUCCUAUUAACAUUGUUUCUACGCCCAAAGAAGUGGUUUCAUUACCCUCGGAAGCUCAGAAAACAGAACCAACAGCCCCAGCAUGGAGACUAUAUGUUGAUGGCUCAUCCAACCAACAGGGUUGUGAAGCAGGACUAGUCCUUACGACCCCUGACAAAGUGGCAAUGAAGUAUGCUAUUCGUUUCAAAGUUAAGGAGUCGAACAAUGAGGCCGACUAUGAAGCCCUCCUAGCAGGCUUAUGUUUGGCCAAACACCUUGGGGUUAAACGAAUUGAUAUCUUCAGUGACUCUCAAUUGGUGGUUAACCAAGUCACCAACAACUUUGACGCUAAGGAUAGCUCAAUGGCAGCAUAUAUGGCACAAACACAAUUGUUGCUCAAGCACUUCCAGUACCAGAUCACCCAAAUUCCUCGAGCGGCAAAUAGUCAUACAAAUGCUUUGGCUCACCUCGCCUCAGCGGUGGAAGACAAGAUUGGGAGAAGAAUUCAGGUCGAAUUGUUGGCAGCACCAAGCACCAUGGUUGCGGAAGUGUGCAACUUACAACAGGGGGAUAGUUGGAUUACCCCGAUUUAUAGAUUCCUUACUCAUGGCACCCUUCCAAAUGACAAAGUCCAAGCUAAGCAAAUUCGAUACAAGGCUACCUGUUACUUGAUCAUUAAUGAUCAACUUUACAAGUGGGGUUUUAACCUACCAUACCUAAGAUGCCUUACGCCCGUAGAGGCGAAAACUGUCCUUCGGGAAAUACAUGAAGGAGUCUGCAGAGAUCAUGCUAGAUCUCGAUCCCUAGCACACAAGGCUUUUUGCCAAGGAUUACUGGCCGACACUCUACCAAGAUGCCAUCAAAAUAUCCCGCUCAUGUGAUAAGUGUCAACGCAACGUAAUUAUUCCUCACUCCCCUCCCGAGCAGCUCACUCCUAUGAUCAGCCCUUGGCCUUUCGCCCAAUGGGGACUUGAUUUGAUUGGCCCAAUGCCUGCAGGGAAGGGCAAAGUUCGCUAUGCAAUCGUUGCAGUUGACUACUUCACAAAGUGGGCCGAAGUAGAACCCUUAGCAACCAUUACUAAGGCAAAAAUAGAAGACUUCGUAUGAAAGAACAUCCUUUGCAGAUUCGGCAUUCCCGAUGCGAUAGUCAUUGACAACGGGCGACAGUUCAACAACAAUAAGUUCAGGAUGUUCUGCUCUAAGUUCAACAUCAACUUAUGUUUUGCCUCCCCAGCUCAUCCCCAGUCUAAUGGACAAGUUGAAGCUAUCAACAAAAUAAUCAAGCGAACUUUGAAAACCAACUUAGACAAGGCUAAAGGUUGUUGGCCAGAAUUUGUACCCCAAGUUUUUUGGUCAUACCGCACUUCGUAUUAGACAUCAACACGAGAAACCCCAUUCUCACUUGCCUUUGGUACAGAGGCAGUUGUCCCAGUUGAGCUUGAAUAAGCAACAUUUCGAGUCCAGAACUACGUGCAAGGCGAAAAUGACAAACAACUUACCCUCAACUUAGAUCUAGUUGAGGAACACAGAAACCAGGCUCACUUGAGGAAUGUCGCCUACAAGCAGCGCAUCUCCAACUACUAUGACUCAAGGGUCAAACCUCGUUCUUUCAAAGUGGAGGAUUGGGUAUUAAAGAAAAGAUUACUCUGCGACAGAGUCCCGAGUGAAGGAACACUUAGUCCAAACUGGGAUUGACAGUUUAAAGUUGUUGGCAUCAGUCACCCUGGCUCCUACAAGCUUAGAAGCUCCGAUGGCAAGACCAUUGGCCAUCCAUGGAACGCUGAUCACUUGAAGUACUAUUACAAGUAAACUCACAUUGUACAAGUGUUAAGCUUCAACAGUUCAUCAUCCUAUGUAACGAAGACUAUUUGGCAUGAAUUCAAUAAAGAGGUGAUUUAGAUAACUCGGUCCUAAUCCUCUUACAUUCCUAGCAAUGAAACACUCGGGCCCAAAGCUUCAACUCCAAAGCUUCACUUACAAAAGCUUCAACACAAAAGCUUUACCCACAAAAGCUUCAUCAUUUGAGGACAACUACGAAUUCUCAAAAGCUUUACACUAUCUUGAUCAAGAUAGUGUGAAGCAAAAUCAAUUCAUGGUACCCAACAAAAGCUUCAACUCCAAAGCUUCACCUACAAAAACUUCAACAUAAAAGCUUCACCCAUAAAAGCUUCAACACAAAAGCUUCACCCAUAAAAGCUUGACCCACAAAAGCUUGACCCACAAAAGCUUCACCUACAAAAGCUUCACCCACAAAAGUUUGACCCACAAAAGCUUGACCCACAAAAGCUUGACCCAUAAAAGCUUGACCCACAAAAGCUUGACCCACAAAAGCUUGACCUACAAAAGCUUCAACACAAAAGCUUCACCUACAAAAGCUUCACACUAUCUUGAUCAAUUCAUGGUGCCCAACAAAGCUUUAACCUCAAAGCUUCACCUACAAAGCUUCAACACCAAAGCUUCACCUACAAAGCUUAAAAAUAUAUAUAUAUUUUUUCAGAAAUUCAAAAAUUCAAAAAUUCAAAAAAAAAAAUUCAAAAAUUCGAAGAAAAAAAAUUCGCCUAGGUCUCCUCUUCUUUAGGCCUAACAACUUUCAUAACAAAUAUAUAUAUGAAUGAGGAGUUUUGGGCUACCAUUUAAAAAGGAAAUGCCACAUUCGUCAACUCCCUCGACCGGAGACUUGGGGGACACCUACCAUAUGCUACUGCACCUUGAUAUUCAGAAGUCUCACGACCACUCAGUGACUUGGAUUUUUCAAGUCUCCAACCGAGAAGUUUUCCUCACUCGGGAAAUUAAGGAAGUACUACCUCAACAUACAUGUUUCACUCUCAAAGCUUCAACAUACAAGCUUCAACAAAAGAAAAAAUUCAAAGAACUUAGUGAAGAAGGCCUUGGUGUAUUCAACACAAUACGUUGAAAUGAAGCAAAGCUUGUUUAUUGAUAUCUUCGAUAAGUUACAAAUAUGUAUAUAUACAUGAAUCAAAAUAAACAAACAAGAGAGAGCCUUCACAAAGGUUGCUCAUGAGAAGUCUCAGCAGUCGGCAGAGCCCCAGAAAGAGUAGGCAUCAGAAGGUGAUCAUUCGGAGCCUCAGUACUGGUAGAGAACCCUAGAAGGAGGAGGCACCAAAGGUUGAUCAUUCGGAGCUUCAUUACGUGGUACAGCCCCAGAAGACAAAGGCAAUAAAUGCCUUUGGAACAAACCCACAAACCUCUGAUUAUCAAGCAAAAUCUGACCAUCAGAUUCCUGCAGCUGGUCAAGCUUCAUCUUCAUGUUUGUAGUAUAGUCAUGUGCGAGCCUGUGCAACUGUUUAUUCUCAUGCUUGAGCCCUCUGAUCUCCUGUUUGAGACUUAUCACUUCAGCCGCCAAUUAUUCAACUUGGCGGGUUCAAGCAAAUAGGUGUUGGGCCAUAUUAGACACAGAACCUGCACACUGAACACUGAGAGCCAGAGAAUCCUUAACAGUCAACUCAUCAGACCGUUUGGAAAUUAGUCUGUUAUCUUUAAGAGUGAGAAGGUUCUUGGCCACCACCGCAGCGGUUAUAUCAUUCUUCAUCACAGAGUCCCCAACGGUAAGAGGACCAGUAAGGGAUAAGAAGAAUGGGCGCCAUAUGUUGUCUUGAGAAGGCAUGGCUGCCUCUUCACCAAAGUUCAAGUCAAAACGACGGUCGGAAGGGCCAUACAUUCUCAGAAAUGAUGAAGGAGAAAUGAGGUGCAAUAAAUCUCUGAAGUAAGGGGAAAAUUCAUACAAGCAAUAACUCUCUGAAUGUACUUCUUGCACACAAUUGGUGCCCUUAUAAAAGAAAGGGUAACAAGGCCGUUGGUUCAAAAAUCGAAAAGGCAUCACUCUUCGGAUUUCAAAGAGACACCACUCUCCACACGCAACAUCAGCUCCUCGGGUACCACAGAUAACUUUGCCAAAGAUCUCUGACAAAGUUUAGACAUAUAAAUUUUGAAGGUCCAGCUACCCUACUAUUACUCACAAGGGUAAAGGAACAACACCACUACUUGAUAACUGAAGAGUCCCUAUGUGUGUCAACCUCCGUGCUCCGUGGCAAGGUAGAUUGGCAAAAAUGCCCAACCUUUACUCAUAUUCGAGAAAACACUCCCAAUAAGAUUACUUUCUAAAAAAUUGAAGAGGCACCGCUCUCCGAAUCUCAAGAGCCAGACUCCCAACAGGAUUGUUUUCUCAAAAAUCGAAGAGGCACCGUUCUUCGAAUCUCAAGAGCCAGAUCCCCGACAGGAUUGCUUGUUCGAAAACCGAAGAGGCAUCGCUCUCUGAACUUCGAGAGCCAAAUUUCCUUGGAUAAAGCUUGUCUGCAAUCUUCACACGCAACAUCAGCUUUCCAGAUACCACAUACCACUUUUUCAAAGUGCUCUGACAAAGUUAAAACACGUGAAGCUUGCAGCUCCCACUACAUUGCUACGACCAAGAAGGGUAAAGGAAUAGCAUUAUUACUUGCUUAAAAAUCAAAGAGGCACCGCCAUCUGAAUCUCUAGAGCCAGACUUCCAACAAGAUUACUUUCUCAAAAAUUGAAGAGGCACUGCUUUCCGAAUCUCAAGAGCCAGACUCUCAAUAGGAUUGCUUUCUCAAAAAUCGAAGAGACACCGUUCUCCGAAUCUUAAGAGCCAAACUCCCAACAGGAUUACGUGCUUAAAAAUCGAAGAGGCAUCGCCCCUUCGAAUCUCGAGAGCCAGACUUCCAACAGGAUUACUUUCUCAAAAAUUGAAGAGACACUGCUCUCCGAAUCUCGAGAGCCAGACUUCCAACAAGACUGAUUUCUCAAAAAUCGAAGAGGCACAAUUCUCUGAAUCUCGAGAGCCAGAUCCCCGACAGGAUUGCUUGUUCGAAAACCGAAGAGCACCGCUCUCAGAACUUCGAGAGCCAGAUUUCCUUGGAUAAAGCUUAUCUGCAAUCUUCACACGCAACAUCAGCUUUUCGGAUACCAUAGACCACUUUUUCAAAGUGCUCUGACAAAGUUAAAACACGUGAAACUUGCAGCUCCCACUACAUUGCUAUGACCAAGAAAUGUAAAGGAAUAACACUACUACUUAUUGUUAGGGAUACUCCUAUAUAUGUCGACCUCCAUCCUCCAUAGCCAGGCAAACCUGCAAAUAAAAAAAUGCUCAACUUUUCUUCACAUCCGAGAGGGCACUCUCAGCAGAGUCUCUCGAAAUACUUAGCUUUUUUUCCUCCCGAUAAUAUCUCUACAAACAAGCCACGCCAGAGCAAGAGUAUCUCAUAUCACCAGGGUUAAAAGAAAGAGUAUCCCAUAUCAUGUUUUUUCCCUGUCUUUUCCUUUGGCCUUAUUCUUACCUGCAAGACAAGGAGAAAGAGAGCAAUCAGUCAGCACUUAGAAUCAAGCUUCCAGUCAGGAACUGACUGCCUGGAACCCCUUGCUUGAUUACUUACCUGACAUUGCUCUCGAGUAGUCAUCUUCAACAUCUUAUGCUUCCAGAGAAGAUACCACAUCUGCCUGAGGAACAGAUAGGGCAAGUGAGAACGAUACAAGAAAGCAUGCGAAGACAAGCGUAACAGAACACGUGCCGAUAUAUCCACUACUUUGUCAACAGCAAAAGUAUCUCAUAUCAUCAGGGUCGAAUGUACUCUAGAUUUGAUGGACUUGUUUUGACCCUCAAAUUCUUAAGUUGGCCUUAUACUCUUGAAGAAACCAGAAAACCCUCCAGCCCAGUUUAAGAAUAAGCAUGCGGAAAGUUACUUGUUCAAAAGCAAAAGUAUCUCAUAUCAUCUCUUAUCCAUUUGCUUCUCAUUAUCCUUAGUGCUAUUUACGACAUAAGGAGAAAGAAAACAAUCAACCGGAAGUCGAAGUCGAACCUCCGAUCCAGGUUGCUUACUUGGAAGUCUGAUUGCUUACCUUGUCUGUUACCUCCUUCGGCAAAUCUCCUAGCCUGGCGACUUAGGGGACUCAUACUAUAGGGUUUGUAUCGCACUUGACCAAGCCCGAAACUACAAGUAAGCUUCAAGUGAAAUUGAUACAUUACCUUGUGCAUCUUCAUCGGUUAAAGAUACCACCCCUGGAUGGAGGAAAAGUACUUCCAGAGAAGAUGCCACAUCUACGUAUGAGACAGAUAAGGCAAGUGAAAAUGAUACCACACUUCGGUACUUAGAAGUUUCGUGAUUACUCAAUGGCUUGGAUCUUGCAAGUCCCCAACCGAGGAGCUUCCCUCACUCGGGAACUUAGGGGAGCACUGUUUGUACCAUACUUGACCAAUCCUGAAACUACUAAGCACUGGUCAACGUUAUACCGUCAAGGACCUAGAAGAGUUUCCCUCCAACCAGAAGGCCAAUCACAGUGCGACACGUGUUGACAUCAGAAGCCAAUCAUAGCGCAACACGUGUCAACAUCAGAAGCCAAUCACAACACGACACGUGUCAAUGUCAGAAUGAAACUAGAAACUCUCUUCUAUAAAUAGAGAUCAUUCUCUCACAAUAUUUCCUAAUGUCAUUUGUACUAAAUCAUUCACUAGUACUCACUAAAAGAGAGCUUGAACCUAUGUACUUGUGUAAACCCUUCACAAUUAAUGAGAACUCAUCUGCUCCGUGGACGUAGCCAAUCUAGGUGAACCACGUACAUCUUGUGUUUGCUUCUCUGUCUCUAUCCAUUUACAUACUUAUCCACACUAGUGACCAGAGCAAUCUAGCAAAGGUCACAAACUUAACACUUUCUGUUGUACCAAAGUCCUCACCGAUUUUGUGCAUCAAAAUAGAUUAACAUGUAGCAAGAGAAAAUUGUCAUGGAGAAACGGUUGCCCAAACUUAAGGCUGCAAUUUUGAGUGCUCAGAAGUGCUUGGAAGAUUGCAACUAUGUUAGGGGAUUGGUGAGUGACCAUCAUGUGCAGAGUUAGUCUGCAUUUUUUAGUUGUAUAGUAGUUGUAUAGACAGUCCAUUUUUCUACGUUAGCAGUACAAAUUCUUUUUGUUUUCAUCUUGUUUUUCCUCUCUUUAAUUGUCUGAACUGCAAUACGUUUCUGCAACUUGAUGAAUGGUGGGACUGAGAGAUGAAACCAGAAAUUUUACUAAAAGGGGGCACCUUAAAAUUUUUGAGCUCCUUUUUUAGACAAAUAAAGCUAGUUCUUUUACAAAUGCUAAUUUUGUCUUUAAUUGUUGACAAUAUAAUGCUCAUUUGUACUAAUUAAUCAAGAGAGCUGUUAUUCCCACCCCCAAUGUCUUAUUUUUUCACCCACCUUUUUAUGAAUUUUUUAAUUACAAAUUUGUCAAUUUGUAAAAUGACUAACAAGGACCUUAGUUACCCACUUUUGCAUUACUUUUUUUUUAUAAAAAAUAAAAAAGAAAAGUUUGGGCGUGAUAAUUCUCGCACUAUGUUUAGACGAUUUGUCUCCCUUAAACCCUAACUCAUCAUUCCCAUCUCUUUUCAUUCAGAGAAAGCAAAAAGAAUGAACUUAGCAAAUGAUGUUUUUAUGGAAGAAGUAGAUGAUUAUGUUUCCGUCGAAGAGGUAAAAGAUAAUUUUAUGUGGGUCAUCUUGAUUUGUCGACAUCAUAUAAUUGAAGUAUAGCUCUGUGACUUUUUAUCUCUAAUUAUAUAUAUAUAUAUAUAUAUAUAUAUAUAUAUAUAUAUAUAUAUAUAUAUAUAUAUAUAUAUAUUAAGGGUUAUUAGGAAUAAUAGUGGGUGGGAAAAUAACAUUUUAAUUUUUUACCUUUUUAUAGUGGGUGUAAAUAUAACAUGGGUGGGAAAAUAAGACAACGGGGUGGAUCUAGUAGCUCCCUUAAUCAAAUACAUGCAACUCAACAAGGUUUAGACAUUAGUGCGUGAGAAAAAUAUACAAGACAAAGGGACAUUUAAAAACUAAAAGAGGAUUCUCACUAUUUUAAUAUGAUUAAUUGAAUAAUCCGCAAAGCAAAAAAAUUGGGAAUGAUUAAUUGAAUAAUUUGUAAUGAAAAAAAAAAGGAUGGGAGGGGGCAAGUGCCCCCAAUAGGCCUUACCUCCCUCCGUCCAUGGUAGUGGGACUCCCACCCACCAUAACCGUUGCCCAUCCCUAGGUAGGAGCAACUAGCAGCAACUGUUGUUGACUGGGUCUGAGUCGAUGGAUUAAAUGUUGCUGCAUGGUAUAAUCAUGUGAAGCAACUCCUUGAAUUUUAUGAUCAGGAGCACUUGUGAAUAUUAUUUGAGUACUCAGCAAACAAUAUUUUAUGGGGAUCUAAUUAGUCUUCCUGUUGGCAGUCCCACAUCGGUGGGGGAAGUCAACAAUGGUGAUUUUAAAUAUGAGUACCCUACUUUAAUUAAUAAUGAUGUCUUUUAUGGUAAAACCCCACACUUGACAGAUUAGGCAGGUGGUAAAGUUGUCGAUCUAAAAAUUUCAACAUGGUAUCAAAAACCCAUGAUUAAGGGCAUGUGCAAGCCAAAAGCUUGUCACCAGGAAGUGUGGGAUUGGAAACAAGCUUGGACUCUUAACAUAGAGCCAGUCUCUGAGUUCUUAAGAGGCACUUCUUGAACAGAUUGAAACAAGUCUGGACUCCAUUGGAGCUAACCCUUAAGUUUCAAUUGAUGAUCCUCUUCUUGAAAAGAGUGAAAACAAGUCUGGACUUCAUUGGAGCCAACCUCUAAGUUUCAAUUGACGAUGUGUGGAUCUCUAUAUGUGAACCACUAAAUGGGGUUACAAGUGAGGGGGCAUGUUGGUAGUCCCACAUUGGUGGGGGAAGUCAACAAGGAUGGCUUUAAAUAUGAUUACCCUACUCUAACUAAUACCGAGGUCUUUUGUGAUAAAACUCCACACCUGACGGAUUGGGCAAGUGGUAAAGUUGGGGAUAGUAUCGGUAUCAUUUUCUUGAAAAGAUUGAAAACAAGUUUGGACUUUAUUGGAGCCAACCUCUAAGUUUAAAUUGAUGAUGUGUGGAUCUCCACGUGUGAACCACUAAAUGGGGUUACACGUGAGGGGGCGUGUUGGCAAUCCCACAUCAGUGGGGGAAGUCAACAAGGGUGGCUUUAAAUAUGAUUACCCUACUCUAACUAAUAUUGAGGCCUUUUGUGGUAAAACUCCACACCUGACGAAUUGGGCAGGUGGUAAAGUUGAGGACAGUAUUGGUGUCGUUAGGGGGCUCCUCGAGCUCGUUGAUCUAAAAAAUUCCAACACUUCCUGGAUCAUAUUUGCCACUUCUACAAAGCCCUUGUUUCAUUCAUUCUCGCAUCGCUAAAAAAACCUACAAAGGCUUAGUAGAAACUCAAGCUCAAAUUUAUGCUUGAAAGGUAAAUUUAUUAUCUCUUAUUGGUCGGGCCACUUUUGUUCAGUCUGUCACCUCCGUUGUCCAGUAUAUGCUUUGCAGACAAUAUUACCAAUUACCAUUACAGAUAACCUUGAGUGUCAAAGAUUUUUCUAAGGCAAGAGAAGUUUGGCAAAAGUUGGAAAGUAUAAACAAUAGUCAGACCACAUUGAUUUUCAUGAUUGGCUUCAUUUUAAUCUCACCACUAAUCACUCAUAUUGGGGGGGGGGGGGGGGGGUUUAGAGUAGAUGUUAGUAUUUUCCAUUGCUUGUUGGUUUAUUUGGUAUUGGCGAAAUAAAUUUGUUUUCGAGCAGGAUUUUGCAAUGUUUGAUGAGCUUACAGUCGCUAUUUGUGCAUAUUUUCAUGAAUGGUUAGCAUUCUAAUACUCACAAGAUUGAUAAACGCCGUAAGAUUGAAUCUUUGCUCCACUGGAAAGCUCUUCAUUCAAAAUUGAUUUAAACUUAAUGUUGAUAGUUUUAAGAAGGAAAAUAAUAAUCCUUACAUAAAUAACUGGCAGCCGUGCCAGAGGCAAUACGUGUAUGGAAUCAUAUACUGAGGAUAGGGUAUUUGGAAAACAGUCCAUUUCUAUUGAGCCACAACGAAGGGAGUGCAGAAAUUCACAGUUUCGUUUUUGGAUUUAACAGAGAGAUAAUGGAAAUUUGGUUUUUGAGCUUAAACCUAACGAACUUCACCAAAAGGGUUUAAAACCGAAUUUUUUUUACCACAUGGCUAUCUUCAGAAUACCCUAUCAUCACGAGGACUAUUUAUACGUGAACUUUCUUCAUUGAACGUGAAUAUCACAUGCUAAAACUUCUCUUCAUUGAACUUUCUUAAAAGCAAAAAAUACUAAUCGACUCAACACCUACUUGUGCAGAUAUUGGCUAAACCAAACAUUAGAUGUGAAAAAUUAGCACUUUGCCAAAUAAUAUUCCGAGUGAGCAAAAGAGAGAAAAAUAUAACAAUGGCACACAGACAAAAUAUAAAAGUUGAGGAGCCGGGUGAUAUAAUAUUAGACAUUGCAAUUGUAGGCUCGGACGACUUAAGGAGAAGAAGGUUGCCUGCACCACUAUUAGGAACAUUACAAAUCAACAUUUCAGAGGUAACAUGCAUGGUCUUCUCUUCUGCCAUGAAAAAUUCAUGCCUUCAUAUAAUUAAUUAAUUAAUUAACUAGUUAUUAGUGUUAAUUAUCUAGAGAGCACUCUCUAACAUUUCCAUCCUCCAUCGUUUUCUUCUUCUUCAGAACAAAGUUUCAAUCAAUUUUUUUUUUUAAAAUACCUUUUACUUUAACAAUAUUAGCGAUUAGUUUUAGGUUGCCUUUUAAUUAGCUCGUGUGCUUCUGUUGCAGGGCGUGUUCGAGGAAAAAGGGAGCAUACUUGAACCAGCAGAGGCUGUGGUAGCAUCUAUGAAAAAACUUUAUGAACUCUUUGUAGCGAAACGACGUAGUUUGACUCGUUUCAUUUUUAAAUUUUUGUUUCCUCGGGUGCAAAGCAAUGUUGUUUGGCUUGGGUUAAAAAAAAAUAAAAAAAUAUAAAAAUAUAAAAAAAUAAAAAAACUAAAACGGAGCAACGCCCUGUUAGCAGUCCAGAAAAGCAAUGACUUUAAAUAGGAAUACUCCACUGUAACUAAUACCAAUAUCUUUUGUGGUAAAUACCAAUAUCUUUUGUGGUAAAACCUGACGGAUUGGGCAGAUAGUAAAGUUGAGGACAGUAUCAGUGUCGUUAAAGUUGCCCCCCCCAAAGCCCAUCAAUCUAAAAAAUUUCAGCAUGGUAUCAGAGCCCACAGUUACGGGCCUAUGCAAACCAAAGGCUUGUCACCUGGAAGUGUGGGCUUGGAAACAAGCUUGAACUCAACAUAGAGCCAGCCUCUGAGUUCUUAAGAGUCACUUCUUGAAAAAACAAGUUUGGACUCUAUUGGAGCCGAUCUUUGAUUUUCAAUUUCUGAUGUGUGGAUCUUCACGUGUGAACCACUAAAUGGGAUUACACAUGAGGGGGCGUGUUAGCAAUCCCACAUCAGUGGGGGUAAAGAAAAGCAAUAACUUUAAAUAGAAUUAUACCCCACUCUAACUAAUACAGAGGCCUUUUGUAAUAAAACCUCAUACCUCACAAAUUAGGCAAGUGCUAAAGUUGAAGAUAGUAUCGGUGUCGUUAGAGCGCCCCCCUCGGACCUGUCGAUAUAAAAUAAUUUCAACACGCCCCACUAUAGAAAACCAAAAUGCAGCACCAGAGCAAAGGGGUGAAAACCUGGAUUUUGGGAACAAACUUCAGCGACUAGAGGUGCGAGCACACCUCUUUGCGUCUUUGUAGCUUCGCCAAUGCACGUCUCGAUAUUAUUUAUGAGGAGUUCUUGAUAAUUACUUUAAAGUGUUAAUAACAGUCUCUUUCUUAUUCUGUUAGGUCCAGUACACCCUACAAUCUUAAAAUAUGCAUAAAUUCACUCAUAGAAUGAGAAAAUGCCUUGUGUCAUUUUCAAGUUUGGAAAAGGAUCCUCCCCGGAUCCUUUUCCUUGGGAUCUUAAGAAUCCCUUGAUCAUGAUCAUGAAUCGUACAUUAUACGGUCAGUUUUUGUUUAGUACUAUUUAUAUUUAAUUUUAAAUUUUAAAUUUUGAAAUGAUUUCUAACUACACGAUAUACGAUGAACGGUCACGAGAUCCCUAGAAUCCCCAGGAAAAGGAUCCGGUGAGAACCUUUUCCGUCAAGUUUGACACCAUUUGAAAAUUGGUGAGACAUGAAAAAGUUCUUGAUCCUCACUCCCCCCCACAAGGCAAGCUUAAACUCGCCCGUGAUAGAAUUUGUACCCGCGCGUUGCUGCAGGGUUGAAAAUUAUAUGAAAGAUAUUGGAAAAGGUUACCACUUCAAUGCUUAUAUACAUCGAACUUAAUCUUAGAUAUAUCCAUAGAAAAUUGGAUGAGAACGACGACCACACAACGGCCUAGGAUCUUGCACAAAGAGAAUAAAAGUAAAAAAAAAAAAGUCUAAAGAGAGUGAAAAAAAACAUUAUAUUUCAUUGCAUUCUAUUACUCUAAUUAUACACUUCACAACGGCCUAAGGAAAGUGGUUUCUUAUUGAUUAAAUGAAGCCUCACUGACUCACACAUACAGACUGAUCUAAACUAUUCAAGAAUGUGCAUCUUCUAGAGCUCACUUGCCAUUGAAGCCUCAUAGUCCUAACCGAGUUAAACCAAUUAAUAAAGCUCAUUUCGAUAAAACUUGCACACAGAAUGAGAAGCCAGUCUCAAGUACAAAUGCUUACUUGAGUAAUAUGAAAAGCCUGCUCAAGACGCUGAAUUUGAAUCCAUUGUUCACCAAAAAAUGUUGUUCAUCUGCAAGCAAAGACAAAGAAGCCAAUUGCAAAAUGACACCAUACUCAUAGUCUCAUAGACCGAAGAUUGUAGGAAGCAUAUCAGCAUAUAGUAUACGACCUUUUGAGCAUGCGAGGCAACUGUUCCAAGUCGAUCCUUAGCAUCCCGUGCUUUCGACGAUCAAAGUUGAACCUUCUAGACGCCUCCCAUAAAAUCCAUACCUAAAAAGCAAUUCCAAAACUUAUUUCUCAAAGUCCAACACUGGAUUGAAAAAUUGCAAAAACAAACUGGAAAAUUCGAAAGAAUUUAUAAGGCGGUGGGAUGUUGUACAGGGUUGGUACCUGGAGCUUGAGAAAUCAAAGAGCUUGCCAGUUUGGGAAAAGAUGAUAACAACAGCUUCAGAUUCACACAGAAUGGACAGCUCUCCAGCAUUCUUCAAAUCCACUCUUCUCCUCUUUGAGAAGGUCACCUGCCUUGCCGGCAAGUAAUCGAUCUUCCUGAUCUUGAUCUUCUCCCUCAUCAUUUUCUCCAAUUCUUCCUACCCCUUUCAGAAACAAUAAUUCAAGUAAAAUAAAAUAAACCAACUACUUCGAAUUUCCACAUAUAUAUAAAUGUCCACAAACUCAAAAACUACGUUAUAUUUUCUGGGUUUCUGAUAAUUUUAAGGAUUAUUGACCACAAAACCUAGCAUUUCAAAUCUAAAUAAGUAAAACAAAACCCAGAUCAACCCAUCAACCACAAUCAACUGUCCAAUAUUUCGUAUUUACCAAACUUGAUUAACACCCAAAAAAAAAAAGAAGCAAAACUCCCUAAUUUUACAAAAUACAAUCAAAUCAAUAAAACCCAGAUGAUUUCAUGAAGCAAAAAACAAAUUCAAUCAGAGGCAGAACCAUAUAAACCCAGAAAGAAAUUCAAACAUUCCAAAUUUCUGAAGCAACAUAUGACCAUAGAGAUUGAGCGGAGAAGACCAAACAAAACUCUAAAAUCUUGAAAUCACUCACCUUAAAUAGAUAGGGAUUUGAAGGCUGCAAACAAAAGCCCCAAAUCCGAAGAACCAUGAUUUCCUAAAGAAAAAAAUAAAACAAAAGUAAACACCAUGAUGGGGAAUCCAAAGCUAUAAACAAAAUCCCCAAACUUAUACCGGGUCACCACGCCCUUGUCUAUGGAAUCCGACGGAACCCACGCUGGUGAACCCCUUUGAUUUUCUUAUGCUAAGCAGGAGAAAUGGAGGGUGAAUCGGUGCUGUAGCUGGUUGCGAGAUAGAAACAGAGAAGUCGAUGGAAAAUAAGGAAAAGAAAAGUGCCGAGGAAAAGAAGAGCAAGGAAGCAGGGGGAACACCCCAGCUCUUUCAGAGCACUUUCAGCUUUGGCUGGAGCUCGGGGGACAAGCCAGCAAAUAGGGCCUGAGAGCCCGGCUUAUUGACUCCAGCUUGUGGGAGCCCGAGGGACAAGCAGGCCCGAGCACCAGGCCUGUCACGAAUUGCCAACUCGUUAGCCCAAAGGCUAUUUGACGCAAGGCUAACAUCAGCUCCUUUUUUAUUUUUUUCUGUCAGACGCGUGCACUGCACCCGUGCUUUGGGCGCGUCACCCGAAAUGUUUUCAGCGAAUGGGGCAUGCGGCGCAGUUUCAAAUUAUUACCGUUGGGAAACCACGUGGCUUCCCAUGGUCCGUUGGAUCUCAACAGCAAGAAAAUGUGGACCGUCAAAUUUGCAACGGUAAAAAAAAUAAAUAAAUCUUAUUUAAUAUCAACCGUUUGAUCUGGGAUCAACAAUUUAUAUUAUUUUCCUUUAUAAAUAAAAAAAAGAAAAAGUAGUUUUAAAAUUCAGAAAUGUUACCAUUGUGCCAUGUGGCACAAUCUGGAGUGUUGGAAUUCAAUUUUUUUUAAAUCCAAAGGCAGAGAUUAAUUAGUUGAAAAAAAAAUUUAAAAAUAAAUAAAAAUCCGAAAAAAAAAUUUUGAAAUUUUUUAAAAAAAUUUGUUUUUACUUUUCUAUAUAUACCUUCUCAUUAUCAUCUACCUUACACCACAAAUUUAUAUUUUCUCAACUAUUUUCAACCACAUUCUUAUCUUUCUCUCAAAGUUUCAGUCCAAAUUUUUUUAACAAAUGACUACUAAUGCAGGUACGAAUAUGACGCUUCUUGAAGAUGUUGCGUUGUGUACUAGCUGAGAUGCAGUUGCGAAAAAUGUGGAGUCUUAUUCAUACCAAUUAUCUUGAGAAAAUGGGUGGGAAAAGAACCAAAGAAUCAAUGACUCGACAGGGCCUGCAAAUCUAACCCACAACUUGGAUGACUCGACGGGAAUGUGAGGCUCUGCCCAUUCUUGCUUCGUCAUCUUUCCUUCUACACUCUUCAUCCUCUUCCCUCUCAUUUUGGGCCACCUGGAGAUUGAACAUUCCUUCUUAUUGGUUAAACAAUUAUUCCUCUUGCUGAUCGAUUUCCCACAUCAUCCUUGAAGAAGAAGACAUUGUAAAAAUGAAGCAGAAACUAUGAAUAAUGAUAGAGAUCUUGAGAAAAUUGGUGUGAGAUUUGUGAGGAUGGAUGGUGGAUUAUAUAGAGGAUUCAGAAAGGAUUAGGUUGUAGAUAAUGUCACGUGGCAUGCCUUCAUUCGUUAAAAAUCUAAUGGAAAUCUAUCCUCAAAGAUUAUGACACGUGGCGCGACGUGAUUGGUUAAUAAUCUUAUCGGAAAUCCAUCACCAAUAAUUGUAUUUUCGGAUAAUGACACGUGGCGCAACGAGUAUGAUUAAAAAUCUUAUCGGAAAUCUAUCACCAAUAAUUGUCUUUUCGGAUUUUAUGACAUGUGGCUCAACGAGAACGAUUAAAAAUCAUAUCCGAAAUUACAAAUAAAAUUAUUUUGUAUUAUUUUAUAACUUUUCGGAUAAUAACACGUGGCGCAAAGAGAAUGAUUAAAAAUCUUAUCGAAAAUCCAUCACCAAUAAUUGUCUUUUCAGAUUUUAUGACACAUGGCGCAAGGAGAACGAUUAAAGAUCUUAUCCGAAAUUACAAAUAAAAUUAUUUUGUAUUAUUUUAUAACUUUUCGGAUAAUGACACGUGGCGCAAUGAGAACGGUUAAAAUUCUUAUCCGAAAUUACAAAUAAAAUUAUUUUGUAUUAUUUUAUAAAUAAAUAAAAUACUAAUAUUUUAUUGCCUAUUGCUAGGGCUAUUGAAGUGCAACGGUGGAAAUGCAAAAGGCGAUUACUGUUCAAUGGGUGGAUAGCAUAGUGUAUUGCCUGGGGGGUGUUCCCACGCUGGAACUGCUCUCAGCCUGCUUCCAUUUCACUGAUGACAAACACGUGUAAAACAUGGCGCAACUAAAAUCAAAUAGACCAAGCAGCGGCAAAUCCGCCAUUUCACUGUUAGUGAACAAUGCUCUCUCUCACAUGAUGAACGGUAUUUUUGUUGCUGAGUUUAGUAUAUAUAAAUAAAUGUCUUUUGUGAAUGGCAGGGAAUUGGACAAAACCAUCGCUUCUUCUUUUUAAAAGCAUCCUUUUUUUAAUGGGAAUUUUAACAAAAAGCUUUCAGUAUUGUUCAAUUUAACGAAAAACCACAUUUUUACAUUAAAAAGUCAAUCCUGGUACUAUUCACUUUACCCUUUAUUUUGUUUUUAUUGUUAAAACUCAAAAUUUUCAAGCCCUUUUUAUUUGUUUUUCCUUUUUUUUUUUUUUUUUUUGUUAAGUAAAAGCAUCCCCUUUUUUAACUUCAAUGUGCAUUCUCACUUCCUUCCUGACUAUUUCGAACACAAAACAUCAAUACAAGUAAACAGUGAGUCAACACUCUUAGUAUAUUAGUAAAAUGAAAAAAACUUCUUUCUUUUAUUCAAUAAUUAUUAUGAGUUGUGUAUAUUGAUCAACCUGUAAGUAGAUACAAACACUAAUAAUGCAGUUAGUUAGAAAAAAAAAAAUCAUUUUGUUUUCUUUCAAGUUUCUCAACUAACCGGGACCCAAUAUUCCCUUUGGCAUUCUUACACCAACAAAGAAACAACAACGAAACACACAGGAACACAAAAAUUAGGGACCUCUUUUAUCUACUUGCCCACCAUCACAAAUAUUACCUUUUUUUUCUUGUACGGUUUGGUGGUAGGGAAUGAAACCUAGCUACAUUCACUUCUUCUGAUUUGCAGUUGACUGGUUUUUCCAUGAGUGUAAUGCUGAAGCUCGAUGGACCCCAGGCUGUAUAAUAUUCGAAAAUAGUCAUUCCUUAUUUGUCUGUCAAUCACAAUCAAUUUGAUGAGUUUUGCGUACAUGUAAAGUGUGUAUAAUCCUACAGAGAAUAUUUACAUUAGUUAUAAGGCCUCAGCAUUUGAUAUAACUAAAAGACAACCUGUAUCAACUCAUUCUUCGAGUCAAGAAUAUCAGAGCUUUCUUAGAGGGGGAAUAGAUAGGCUCUAAAACCAUGUCUUGGUUUUUUUAUAGUUAUCAUUCUUGUUACUGCUCUUACAUUUCAUACUCCUUCAGAGGCUAGCCAUGAGAAGAACGAUCCUUCUGCAGUUGUUGUGGGCACUGUCUACUGUGACACAUGUUUCCAAGAGGAUUUCUCACAUACCUGUUACAAUUUGGUAAGGUUAAUUCUAUGGAAGAAGAGAAGAUGAAUAGUUUUGGAAUGAAACAGGGAGAGAAGAAUGAGGUUGUUCUUUUCUCUGCAAAGUUACAGAGGAAUAAUUGAUUUCAUUAAUUGUCUCUCACUAUCUUGCACACAACGUGCAAAGAGAGAUAUAAUGCCUUUUACAAAACUGAGCUGGAUCAGUACAAAUUGAAAUAGAUCUCAGCCACACAUUCAGCUAAUAGCUAAGAUCAUCACACAUGGCACUCAUGGCCUUUUAUACCUAUAUACCCUCUCACUUAGUAUUUAACAUAAGUGCAUACACAUAUUAACAUCACAACUUAUUUCUAAUCAGAUUUUGGACUUAUACUUCAACACUCCCCUUUAAGUCCAAAGCUGAUAUAACUCUUAGCUUGUCCCUGAGAUAGUUAAACCUGUCCUUUGGUAAUGCCUUGGUGAAAAUGUCUGCCACUUGUUCUUUGGUAGGACAGUAAACCAAGUCAAUUAUCCCUUGCUGCAAGGCAUCCUUGAUGAAGUGAUAUCUCCUGUCAAUGUGUUUUGUCUUUUGGUGAAACACAGGGUUCUUGGAUAUUGAGAUUGCAGAUGUGUUAUCACACUGCAGAGGGGUUGCAUCAACUUGUAACUCUCCAAAAUCUUCCAGAACAAAUCUGAGCCAUAUGGCCUGAGCUGUGGCUUCAGAAGCACUGAUAUAUACUCGGCUUCUGCAGUAGAAAGAGCAACACAGUGUUGUUUCACAGAGGCCCAUGAGAACACUCCACUUCCAAAAGAAAAUGCAUAGCCUGAGGUGCUUUUGCUGUCUUCAAGAGAUCCUCCCCAGUCACUAUCGCAAAAACCAAUUAAGACUGCCUUCUUGCCUUUCUCAUACUUCAAACCAUAGUCCAAUGUGCCCCUAACAUAUCUGAGCACUCUCUCUUAGCUGUUCCAUAGUGUUUAUUGGUAGGACAAUGCAUAUAUCGAGCUAAUAAACUAGCUGCAUACAUUAUAUCUGGUCUUGUAGCAGUAAGAUACAGUAAACUGCCUACAAGCUUUCUGUAUUUCUCUUCAUCUGCUGCACCACUGCCAUCUUCUUUACUCAACUUUUCAGUAGCCACAAGAGGUAUAGAGACAGAUUUACAUUCUUUCAAUCCAAACUUAUCCAACAGGGAAGAGGCAUACUUCUUUUGAUGAAUGAAGAUGCUAGAUUCUGUUUGAAUUAUCCCCAUUCCCAGAAAAUGAUGAAGAAGGCCCAAGUCUGACAUCUCAUACUUCUCCUUCAUAUCUUCUUUGAACUCAUCCAGCAUGUCUUGAUUGUUUCCAGUAUACACAAUAUCAUCCACAUAUAUGGAGACUAUUAGUAUAUCCUUUUCUCCCCUUGUCUUAGUGUAGAGAGUUGCCUCACUUAAGCUUUUCUCAAACCCACACUUAGUAAAAUAACUGUCAAUCUCUCCAUACCAGGCUCUAGGUGCCUGUUUUAACCCAUAAAGAGCCUUAUGCAAUUUGUAGACCUUGUCCUCCCUGCCAUUAACUACAAACCCCUCAGGUUGAUCUACAUAUACUUCUUCCUGCAAUUCUCCAUUCAGAAAAGCAGAUUUAACAUCUAGUUGAUAUAAUUUCCAGCUUCUCUGUGCAGCAAGAGCUAUCAAGGUUCGGAUUGUGUUCAAUCUUGCAACCGGGGCAAAAGUCUCAUUGUAGUCAAUUCCUGGUUUCUGCACAUACCCCUUGGCAACUAGUCUUGCCUUGUUCUUUUGGACUGAACCAUCUAAGUUCAACUUAGUUUUGAACACCCAUUUAACUCCAAUCACCUGCUUAUCACUUGGUCUGUCAAGCUCCCAAGUUCCAUUCUUCUCAAUCAUUUGCAGUUCUUCUUCCAUUGCCUUUAUCCAAGCCUGAUCUUGUGCAGCUUCUUCGAAUUUUUCAGGUUCCACAAUACAGAGAUUGCACUGUGCCAUAAUAUCAUUUAUGUUUCUCCAUUUCACUGGAGUAUGAUCAUAAGACUGAGGGAUCUCAACAGAUUCUUGAAUGCUGCUUUCUUGUUCUUUAGUAUGAGAGGAGGUAUAUGAACUGGAGGCACUGUCUUGAAUCUCAUCCAACUCAUGUGAAUUCUGAAUGUGGGUCACAGCAACAGAAUUCUCUGAAUGUUUCUUCCAAUUCCAGGUUAUAGUUUCAUCAAAAACUACAUCUCUUGAAAGAAUUAACUUCUUAGUGCAUGGAUCAAACACUCUGUAUCCCUUCUCACAUGUAGCAUAUCCAACAAACACACCUUUGACACUCUUAGCAUCUAGCUUCUGUCUUAUUUCAGAUGGUAUAUGCAUAUAGCAUACUGAUCCAAACACCUUUAAAUGGCCAACCCCUGGUUUUCUGCCACUGUAAGCCUCAAAUGGUGUUAAAUUAUUGAGUGCCUUUGUAGGUGAUCUGUUCAAAAUGUACACAGCUGUGUGUACUGCUUCUGCCCACAGAAAGUAUGGCAUGCUUUUAUCAUGAAGCAUUGCCUUAGCCAUUUCUACAACCGAUCUAUUCUUCCUCUCCACUACUCCAUUUUGUUGUGGAGUGUAGGCCAUAGAUAACUGUCUUUGAAUCCCUGCAUCUUCACACAGUUUGUUGAAUUCACAAGAUGUGAAUUCUCCCCCUCUGUCACUCCUCAAACAUUUUAUCUUAAAGUCACAUUGUAAUUCCACCAUGGACUUGAAUUUUCUAAAACAUAUCAAUGCAUCUGACUUGUAUUUCAGAAAAAAUAAACCCACAUCAUUCUUGUACAGUCAUCUACAAGAAGCAUGAAAUAUUUGUUGCCCGCAAGUGAAUCAUUCUGCAUAGGACCACACAAAUCCACAUGCACCAGUUCUAGAGGUUUACUUGCUCUCCAUGCUUGAUUCUUUGGAAACCACUCUCUAUGUUGUUUUCCCAAACUGACAACCUUCACAAACUUCAUCCAUUUCUUCUAAAACUGGGAGACCAUGCACCAUUUCUUUGUUUUUAAGCUGCUGAAGACCCCUAACAUGCAGAUGGCCUAGUCUCUUGUGCCAUAUCCAAGUAGACUUAGAAAUACCUGCCCUCAGUACAACCUGAUCAUUUGGUAUCAGUGUCAAGGGGUAACACCUGUUCUUUUUCAUUUCAACUUUGAGUACAAGACAAUCCAAUGAAGGUCCAUCAAAAAUACUGCACAUCUUUCCCCCAAAUAACAGAUAGUAACCGUGUUCAUCCAUUUGCCCCACACUUAACAGAUUUUCCUUCAACCCAGGUAGAUACAUUACAUCUUUGACAUAUUUUCUGCCUUUGCUAGUAUCUAUCAUAAGUGUUCCAAAACCUGCCACAUUCAUGAGUUCCCCUGUGGGCAUUUGAACCUUGCCAACCACAUUUGUCUUCAUGUCUAUUAACAAAUUAGAAUCCCCUGUCAUAUGGUUGCUACAACCACUGUCUACAUACCAUUCUCCAUUCACUUUUGAUUCAGUGAUUGUGCUAUUUGCAUAAAACAGGUUCCCUGUCACCUCUACCUGAUUAGCACUAUUUGCCUUUUGCACUAAUUUACCUACUGUGCACUCUCUAGCCCAGUGACCAAACUUUUCACAGUUAUAGCAUUUAGGUUUCCCUUUAUACCUACACUCUCCAAAGUGAAACUUAGAACAUACCCUGCACUGUGGUUUUGUACCUAUCUGCCCCAUUGACUGUGCAUUAUGUGCAGGACUAGCAGGAAAUUUCUGCUGAAACUUAGGUUUUGAACCCCAUUUCUUGCCCUUAUUAUUCCAAUUUUUCUGGAACUGAGAUGAACCAGAUUGACCUUCACCCCUAUUCUGCUCUUUUGAAUUCACUGAGAAAGAUGAGAAUGCUUUACCAGUAGUAUCAACAGUAUGCAGAUCAAACCGUUGUUCUUGACUCUUCAAGAUUGCAACUACUUCCUGCAAUUCUACAGUCUCUAGACACUUUUUGUGUUUUCUAUAACCAAACAGAUAGAAUCAUAAGGUUUACUAAGACUAAUCAGAACCUUCUGCACAAGUCUCUCAUUCGACAGAGAUUCACCAAAUGUUCUCAUUUGAUUAAUUAGCUCAUUCAGCCGUGUAAGAUAGCUAGAUAAAGACUCAUCAUCUCUCAUCCUAGCAUAUUCAAACUCUCUCCUAAGAUUCUGCAAUUUCACAGAUCGUACCUGAUCACCACCAUGAUACUCCCCGUAUAACAAAUCCCAUGCCAUCUUAGCUGAUUCGGCAUUGGCGAUUCGUGGGAAGAUCUGAUCCGAGACUGCAUUUUGAAUGAUUCCUAGAGCCUUCGCAUCCUUCAUGAACACAGCAGCCAUUUCUUCAUCGACUGCAUCGUCCGAUGACCCUUCAACUUCCUUCUUCUUCGAGUCAGGGGUUGUAAUCCCUUUGUCCACCAGCUUCCAUAACCCAAGCGAUUUGAAUAUCGUUACCAUCUUAAUCCGCCAGAACUCGUAGUUCUCACCGGAGAAGAUUGGGGUUCUCACCUCCGAGCUUCCAGAUCCAGACAUCUUGAUCCGUCUGUUGCUUUCUCGCCUCAAAUGAAAACUCCGGCGACUUUCACCGAGCUUUGACUUAGCUUAGUGACUUCACAGCUUCACGCCCAGAUUCAAUUGAUCGAAAAUCGGCUCUGAUACCAUGUUACAAUUUGGUAAGGUUAAUUCUAUGGAAGAAGAGAAGAUGAAUAGUUUUGGAAUGAAACAGGGAGAGAAGAAUGAGGUUGUUCUUUUCUCUGCAAAGUUACAGAGGAAUAAUUGAUUUCAUUAAUUGUCUCUCACUAUCUUGCACACAACGUGCAAAGAGAGAUAUAAUGCCUUUUACAAAACUGAGCUGGAUCAGUACAAAUUGAAAUAGAUCUCAGCCACACAUUCAGCUAAUAGCUAAGAUCAUCACACAUGGCACUCAUGGCCUUUUAUACCUAUAUACCCUCUCACUUAGUAUUUAACAUAAGUGCAUACACAUAUUAACAUCACAACUUAUUUCUAAUCAGAUUUUGGACUUAUACUUCAACAAUACCAGCCAUUUCAUUUCAGGUAAAUUCAUCUCAAAUUUUCAACAAGUUCUUCAUCAAAUUUAUUUUUAUAUUGUAAUCCGGCUAUAAAACAGACAACCGUUCAAUGAUUUCCGUACACCUUCUCCUCAUAAACAGACGUCCGUUCAAUGAUUUCCUUACACCUUCUCCUCCAUACACUCAUGUUUAUUUUGUAAUUUCUAAAUUCAAAUGAAUCAAAGAAAAUCAAAAUAACGAAAAAAACAAGUGUACAAAAUGAAAAAAAAAAAGAAAGCAAAAUCCAAGAAAAUGACUAAAAACCUUUAUACAAGUAUUUCCUAUAUCUGAGUCAAAUAUACAACUAUGAAAAGUAAAUAACAAAUCAAUUACAAAAAAAUCUCGCCUAACUCCUUGGUUGUAAGGCUCUGCAUUCAAUCACGAUUUCUUUCCAGACAACGAGUGGUAAGGAUAUUAUUUCUCUUGAAGAAAAGUUGGAGGAUAUGUCAUUUGUAUGUGUUGAUAUCAUUGUCGCCACAUAUGUAUGUCAUCAGUAACUUUAAAUGACUUAUCCCCAUACAAAGUAUAAUAGUUGGUCUAAAUGAUUUAUCCCCAUACAAAGUAUAAUAGUUGGUCUAAAUGAUUUAUCCCCAUACAAAGUAUAAUAGUUGGUCUAAACCCUAAUUCCAUAAACGACCAUACUGUUUAAAUGAAAUAAUUGCUCGGUUCCAUUUUACCCCCACAUUUUCUGCUUUUGUUUUGUUGCAAGAGUUUAACUUGUUAUUUGGAAUAUAUUGUUCACAGAAAGCACAUGUUCAGAAAUUUUUGGCUACUGAAGAUGCACUGAAAAAAGCUGCAGAAGUUAGGGAUCUAUGUCAAAAACUUAUUAAACGCUUGCAUGGCAAUACUGAUGUAAUUUCUUCAGGAACAUCACAAAAUGUGGGCAGUCUUAGGCAACUUGAGGUAAAUCUUCCUUGCAUAUUAAAAGUAUUAACUACCAAUAGUUUGGGUGGAAAUAGCACCAUGGGUGACAGGUUUGAUUAGUUUCAGUCUUUUGAUCCUUUUCAUAGUUGUAUACUGUAUACUAGGUUACUUUUAACCUGCACUGUGUUAUCAUCUGGUUUUUUACAGUCUUCCAUUUUCUUUGUGUAGCUGGAGGUUUGGGCCAAGGAAAGAGAAGUUGCUGGCUUGAGGGCUAGCUUGAAUACACUGAUGUCUGAAAUACAACGCUUAAAUAAAUUAUGUGCGGAAGGGAAAGAAGUUGAAGGUUCUUUGAAAAAGAAGUGGAAGAAGAUUGAAGAAUUUGAUUACCGCAGAUCAGAACUUGAAAUCAUAUAUACCUCUUUACUAAAAGUUAACAUGGUAAGGAUCUCAGCUUCAAUAGUGCUUAUAAAUUUACUAGUAACUUCAUAUACUGGCAUUGUAUAAGCCAUGUCUCGUCAUUCCAUGAAGUGUCGGCUCUUUUUCUUUAAGUUCCAGGCAAAAGGUCAUAUAUAUAAUGUUGAAUUGUAAUCUUGUCUUGGCCCAAGACAAUUGAUCAGGCCCAUACACAAAGAAAGAUUCAUGCACAUGCUAGAGAGUUCUAGCAAAUUCAAGUUGGUGGAAUGCAUGCAUAAAUAUCCAAGGCUUUUUGUAGAAAGAUCUAGAAUCUUGUAAAAUUGUGUGGUUGUUAAGCACUAGCUAGAAAGUUCUAGCAAUGUCAAAGUUGGCAAACGUUGCCUAUAAAUAGGUGAGGUGCUAAGCUAUGUGAUGUAACAACCAAGAGAGCAUGUAGUGAGAAGUGAGAGUGCCAAGUGAGAAGUGAGAAGAAGCAACAAAGCUUCUAAGAGUGUUUGAGUGUUUCCUCUUGUACUAAGUUUGUGAGUGAAUAAAAAUCUUGUGUAAUACUUUUGAGUAUUCUUUCUUUCUCUUGCCUAUCAAUUCCGCUGCAUUACAUUCUUCUUUGAGAGAUAAACAUCUCCAAAGUAGUGAAAUCUUUUUAAGCCCCAACAAUAUGCAUGCUCUGAUGUCUUAUUUUGUUCUAUUUCAUUGUUUGUGUGCCUGCUUAAUGGGUGCUUUCAGUUCGAACUUACAUUUACUGGAUAAAAGGUUUGGAGGGUUCAGACGCUGCCCUAGCAUCAAUCCUAGAGUCCCUGGAAUUCUGUUCGAAACUUCGUGGUUCUGAAGCUAGUGUGUUGGAGGACAUGGUAAAGGCAAUUAAUUUGGUCCAUACACCACAGGAUCUUGUUGAAAGUGGUCAUGUGUUGUUGAACCAUGCCUAUAGAGCUCAACAAGAAUAUGAAAGGUAAAACUUCACAUGGCCUUAUUUUACAGGAAACUAGACUGUGUUAUCCUCCAAAACCCGAAAGUUUCAGUAAGCGGAACUCGGUCAAAUAAUACAAACUUGAAUUCCAUUUUGAGCAUUGUGAGAUGAAGGAAAGUGCCAGAAACUGCUUUCUUAUUUCAUUUAAGAUUCACAUGGUUUGUUGCUCUGGAUGUUCUGAAUUUUUUUCAUCCAGAUUCUAAAUAUAUUACAGUUUGCUCUUUGUUCUAAUCUGUUGUCAAAACUCAGGAUGCAUAGCUCUGGUGUUACGUUAAAUUCAUUCUAAAUAUUAAACCAUUCAAAUAUGUGAUGGUUAUUAAUUAGCAUUUUAGGAUCUCUGACUAUUUGUUAGAUUAACAUGCACUUAAUUUGUAUCUACUACUCUGCAGGACAACGAGCUAUUGUUUAAAUGUGGCUGCUGAGCAAGAGAAAAUUGUCAUGGAGAAAUGGUUGCCUGAACUUAAGGCUGCAAUUUUGAGUGCUCAGAAGUGCUUGGAAGAUUGCAACUAUGUUAGGGGAUUGGUGAGUGACCACCAUACGCAGAGUUAGCCUGCAUUUUUUAGUUCUAUAGUAGUUGUAUAGACAGUCCAUUUUUCUACGUUAGCAGUACAAAUUCUUUUGUUGUCUUGUUUUUCCCCUCUUUAAUUGUCUGAGCUGCAAUACGUUUCUGCAGCUUGAUGAAUGGUGGGAGCAACCCGCAGCAACUGUUGUUGACUGGGUCCUAGUCGAUGGAUUAAACGUUGCUGCCUGGCAUAAUCAUGUGAAGCAGCUCCUUGCAUUUUAUGAUCAGGAGCACUUGUGAAUAUUAAUCGAGUACUCAGCAAACAAGAUUUUCUCGGGAUCUCCCUGGUCUUCCUGGAUCAAAUUUGCCACUUCUACAAAGCCCUGGUCUCAUUCAUUCUGGCAUUACUAAAACCACCUACAAAGGCCUGGUAGAAACGGCUCAAGCUCGACUUCCUGCUUGGAAGGUGAUUCUAAAGGGAUAACUCAUAGCUAACAGUUUUGUAUAGCUGUGUUUUACAGUUUUAGAUUCAGUUGUAACAGUUUCUGUAACUAAUCUAUGUGAUUAGAGAUUUAAUUAAGCACAAUUAGUCACUAAGCUUUAUUAGGAAAGUGUAUAAAUAUUGAGUUGUAUUUUCCUUACUCAUUAAGAAAGAAAUAAUACAAGGCUUAUUUCUUACAUGGUAUCACCACCUCUCAACUUCACCGCCUCUCGAUCCUUCUUCCUUGCGAUUUCUUCUUCGAUUGGUGCAUCUGCAAAUUCCUCUCGAUUUUUUUUCGACCUUUGAUCUUCGAUCAUGGCGUCUUCGACUUCGUCUCCUGUGCAGCCUAAAGUUGUUGCCCCAAAUCCUGCAAUUCCUUCCCCCAAUUUUGCAGCGAUAAACCCUAAUUCCUCAAAUUCUCUGAUCUCGUCGAUUUCUUCCAUCACUGUUCAGAAUAUCAGUUGUAUGGUUCCUCCGAAGCUUAAGCGUGACAAUUACCUUGUCUGGAAAGCUCUUUUCACUCCAAUUUUCCGACGAUAUAAACUUACCGGAAUCAUUGAUGGAUCUGAAGUUUGCCCGCCGCCUUAUGUUCUUGAUCAAUCUAGUCAAAACUCUGGAAUUCCAAAUCCUGACUUUGAAAUUUGGUAUGAAAAAGAUCAUAAUAUACUGAUUUCGCUGAAUUCUACUCUCUUUGAGGAGAUUAUUCCGUUCACCAUCGGUGUCACAUCGUCUCGAGUACUCUGGCUAAAUCUCGAGCAUCGAUUUGAUGGCGUUUCAGCUGCUUAUAUUCAUCAGCUUUGUUCUCGUCUUCACUCUAUUCACAAAGGUGAUCUUCCUAUCUCGGAUUAUUUACAAAGAAUUAAAGGCCUAUCUGAUUCUCUAAUGGCUCCUAGAGCUUCUGUCUCUGAUCAUGACUUGAUUAUUGCUACGUUAAAUGGCUUACCUAAUGAGUAUGAGUCGUUUAUUGACUCUAUCAUGGUCAGGAUUUCCACCAUAACACUGGAUGAACUUCAUGGUUUGCCGAUCAAUAAGGAAGUCUUCAUGAAUCGUAAAAAGAAAGGCAUUGCCUCAUCUGGUUCUGUGCCUUUUCAUGCCUUUGCUGUGCAGUUUCAACCUUCUCUUCUUCCUACACCGUCACAAUAUUACAAUUCUCCUCAUGCUCAUGUUGCUCAACAGUUUAAUCACAAUGCUCCACCAAAGUUUCACAACAACAAUUGACACGCCCCGAUCCCGAUGUCCUCGAGACAUCGGGAUGGUCACGUGCUGGCCAACACCCGAAGGGUGACGAAAGCCAUUUGAUUUAAGUAAAAGCUGAGAAAUAUACUAAAACAAGCAAUAGGAACUAAUAAUACAAAACUAAAGUUCAACUGCUAAUUAAUAAAAUUAUGGUUAUACACAUAAGUUCAGAGCAUACAUCUAUUACAGAGUACAAGCAGAAUUUAAGAUAGAGAAAUGCUAUAUUACAAUAGGUGUCGAAGCAGAGGAAAUAUAGCACUGAAUCACUGGUAGGGAAAUGCCUCGUAGCUCAAAUCGUAAUCCUCGUUCAUAGGUCCUGAAGGGGGCGCAAAACAAACAUAAGUGGACCAAUUUGAUAUAUAUAUAUAUAUAUAUAUAUAUAUAUAUAUAUAUAUAAUAAAACAGUUAUCAACCUACUAACCCCCAGAUUUAUGAAAACAUACAUAUAAUAAAAACAUAGGUUUUCCGAAACCUAGCAUGUUGUGUAAUGUCUCAAAUUCAUAACUUAUAUAUAUAACAAGCACUAGUGAUUUGUCCAAUAACCUCCAGGCCCCAUGCCGGCUCUCCGUCUUUGAGCAGACAGUCAAAGGAAAAUACACUUCAGGCCCCAUGCCAGCUCCCCAUCUUUGUGCUAAAUAGCCAGAGGAAACACACUCCAAGCCCUAUACCAACACCAAACCGUUGCUCGGGACGGACCAGAAUCUAUCCCUACGUCCCGUAGCGGAAAUGAUCACUAGGUAAGUACAAAACCAUUGAAUAUAUCUAUUUUGAAAAACAACUUCAUAGUAUAAAGUCAUCCAUCAUUUAUACUAUAAAGAGGUAUUCUAAACAUGUUCUAAAUAUCAUAUCGUCAUCCAUCAGAUAUUCUAUAAGAACAUGGGUUAUAUGAAAAAUAGUAGUAAUUUAAUCUAGCCUCAGUAAGCAUGUUAUCUCACAAAACAUUUCAUAAAACAUAAUCAUUAAAUCAUGCUUUUCAUGUAUGCAUUUCUAUUAUUAAAACAUGAUUUCACUCACCGUACACCGAUGGUGCAAAGCUGUACCAAAAAGGAAUAACGGAAUCACCGUUAAUAAUUGCACAUAUUCACAUAAAGGGGUACCUUUAGUCAAACUCUAUUCAAACGAUUGAAUUUGGAAAAAAAAACAUACUUCAAAAACAGGUCCAGGACGUCGAAAUUAGCCUAGGAGAGGUCCCGGACGAAACCCAGAAAAGUCAACUUAAAAAGUCAACGUUAACCGUUGACAGGUCAAAGUCAAAGUCAACGCUAACCGUUGACCAAGUCAACAGUCAACUGGGUCAAACGGUCAAAGUCAGACUGGGCUUGGAUUGGGUUGGGCCGAUUGGGCCCUAAAGGUUUGGGUUUGGAUUAAAGGUUAAUGGGUUUGGGAAAGGGUUGAAAGCCCAAGCUCUAAAUGGCCCAAAGGCCUUAAAUAUAAAGGUUUCUAUACACUCGGGCCUAAGGCCCUGAAUAAAAUGGCCCCAGGCCUUAAUUCUUAAAACUAUAAUUAAACAAAACCUAAAAAGGUUUUGGGUUGAUCUAAUGGGCCACAGGCCCUAAAAGAAACGGCCCGAAGGCCUUUAAGGGUUUUAAAGAAAUAAAACAAAAACAAAAACAAAAUAAAAACAAAAGGAAACAGGCUGGGCUAAAACCAAAACGGGCUUAAGGCCCAUGGGUUGGGAAACGACCUGAAAGGCCUUGGGUGCGCCGGGGAAGAACGCCGGAGCUUCUACAGCUCCGGCCGACUGCAAACCUAGUUUUUUAGGGUCCGAUCUAGGUAUCAAAUUGAAGUACAAGACGAGAAGAACAACGUUAUACCUUCCUUUUGCCGUAAAACGGUCGGAGGUGACCGAAAACUCCCUCGACACCCACGGCCUCCCCGGAGCUAGGUGUGCCUUCCCCCAACCUGAUUCCAUUCUAAAACCUCAACAACAACGUAAUACCUAAUUAAAACACAUUCACGCAAGAUUCUAAGACGAAUUAGGAAGAAUUCGAGGCUUACCUAACCAGAGGAAUAGGAAAUCUCGCCGGAGAGUUCCUUGGUUUCAUCCUCACAGCACGGGAAAGAGAUAGAGAGCUGAUGAGGGAUUGAUGAUGGUGAUGACUCCUUCUAGCACGAGCGUGCCUUUGCGUGUGAGUGUGUGUGCGAUUUCAGUGAAGAAAAGGAAAGAGAUGAGGAUUCCGAGAGAGAGAGAAGAGAAAGACAGAAAGAAGAAGAUGAAGCUCACGGGAGGGGUAGGGGACAGAGAGAGCAAUGAGAAAAGUCUUGGGGUGCUGCCAUGUGGCAGCUUGGGAAUAAUCCUGAAUGGGUAGUCAAAAUAGGACUAAAUUGAUAAAUUCAUAAUAUUUUGGGGAUACAUACAUAAUUAUAUUUUUAUAAAUGGGGGUGGGUGUAACAACAAUCGUGGCCAAGGAUCUUUUCAACGCAAUAAUCGUGGCAAUUUUCACAAUAACUUCAAUAAUCCUCGAGGUAACUUUCACAAUUUUGGUGGUAAUCAUGGCAACUAUAGAAACAAUUUUGGAAAUCGUAACAAUUUUGGUGGAAAUCGCUCUAAUUCUGGUGGAAGAACUCCCUGUCAAAUAUGUCAUUCCUUUGAUCAUGAAGCUAUUGACUGUUAUGAGAGAAUGAAUCAUGCUUUUGCUAGAAAAAUCCCUCUUACAAAACUUGCUGCUAUGUGUGCUCACACUAGCUCUCAGCAAUCUCAUCCUAUUUGGUUGAUGGACUCGGGUGCUACAUCCCAUAUUACUAAUGACAUAUCUGCAAUUCAAUCUCCAUAUCCAUACUCUGGCGAAGACAAGGUGUACAUUGGUGAUGGACAAGGUAUGGAUAUCCAUCACAUUAGUAAUUCUAUCAUUCCAACACCACAUGCUAAUUUCAGAUUGAGUAAUGUCCUUUAUGUUCUACUGAUGAAAUUCAAUUUACUCUUUGCCUAUCAAUUCUUAAAAGAUAAUCAUUGCUCUUUGACUCUUGAUUCUGAUGGUUCUGAAAUCAAGGAUCAUUCUUCUGGGAUGACGAUUUUUCGAAGGCCAGUUAAAGCAGGAUUUUAUCCCUUUCAAGGUCUCUCCAAUGUGCCCUUCUCACAUUCUGCUAUGUUCAGCACUAAAGCAUCAUUGAAGACCUGGCAUAACAGGCUCGGUCAUCCUUCUUCUGUUAUGUUUAGACAAGUAUUAAAUAAGCAUAAUCUUGUUCACAAUAGGGACAAGUUUGUAUCUUUCUUUUGCACAUAUUGUGCCAUAGGCAAAAAUCAUAAGCUAUCAUUUUCUUCCAAUACUAGUUCUGUGUCUACUAGUUUAGAGUUGCUACAUUGUGAAGUUUGGGGUCCAUCUCUAGUUUCUUCUGUCAGUGGUUACAAGUUUUACUUGUUGAUUGUGGAUGAGUUCACCAAAUAUACUUGGAUGUUUCCUAUGAAAACUAAAUUUGAGGUUUUCUCUAUAUUUGUAUCUUUCAAAGCUUAUGUAAAGAACAUGAUUGGCAAUAAAAUAAAAAUCUUGCGAUCAGAUUCAAGGGGUGAGUUCACUAGCUUUGUGUUCAACUUUUUUUUUAUAAAAUAGUGGUAUUUCUCAUCAAUAUAGCUGCCAUCAACUCUUGAACAAAAUGGAUGUGUUGAGAGGAAGCAUAGGCACCUUACAGAGACUGCAUGGACUCUAUUGGUUUCUUCUCAAGUCCCACACAAAUUCUGGGUUGAAGCCUUCUCUACUGGCAUUUAUCUCAUCAACAGAUUACCAAUUUCAAGACUGGACAAAUCUCCAUGGGAACUCCUCUUCAAGACAACUCCAGAUUAUUCAAAAUUAAAGGUGUUUGGCUACAGCUACUGUCCUUGGCUUAAACCUUAUGUUUCCUCAAAACUGGAAGGCAAAAGCAAGCAUUAUGUCUUUCUUGGUUAUAGUCUUCAGCACAAAGGAUAUCGGUGUUUAGAUCUUCAAUCUUAGAGAAUCUACAUUUCAAGGCAUGUAUUGUUCAAUGAGGGGCAUUUUCCCUUUCAUGAUGCUUAGAAGUUUUCUACCUCAUCAACACCACAGUCUCCAGUGCAUGCUUCUUCCAUAAAAUUUAAUCUUUCAUUUCCUAUAUCUCAGCAUGUUUCACCAUCUUCCACAGUGCCUGCAUCACAGUCAGCAGCAUCUCCAUCACUUACAACAUCUCAGCAACCUCUAUCUUCACAAGUACCAUCUCAGUUCUCUCUACAAGUAUCAUCAUCAUCUCAUUCAUUACCUUUGCAACCAGAUCAUUCAUCUUUAAUUCAGCAAUUGAUUCCUACCAACUCUCAUCUUAUGAUUUCAAGGUCUAAAGCAGGUAUCUUUAAAUCAAAAGCUCUAUCUGCCACCAAACAUCCAAUUGAUAUUGAUACUUUUGUGUCUACCAUUCAUCUACAAGCCUCGAAGCAUGCUCAUUGGAAUCAAGCCAUGCUCGAAGAGUUUCAGGCUCUAAAAACACAGGCACUUGGACCUUAGUACCUCAAUCUCCACAUCAAAACAUUGUAGGCUGUAAAUGGGUGUUUCGGAUAAAAAGAAAACCUGAUAAUACAUUUGACAGAUACAAGGCUCGCCUUGUAGCCAAAGGAUUUCACCAACAAAAAGGUAUUGACUUCACAUACACCUUUAGUCCAGUUGCCAAACCAGUGGCCAUUUGAAUUCUAUUAACUCUUGUUGUUCAAAAUGAUUGGUUUCUCAAUCAGUUGGACAUUAGUAAUGUAUUUCUUCAUGGUACACUCAAAGAAGAGGUGUUUAUGCAACAGCCUUCUGGUUUUAUUGAUGCUUCUCAGCCUUUAUUUGUUUGCAAGCUCAAUAGAUCUCUUUAUGGUUUAAAGCAAGCCCCUCGUGCCUGGUUUGAUAAGCUUGGUCAUACAUUACUGUCUCUUGGUUUCACUAACUCUUAAUCCGAUUACUCCUUAUUUGUGCAUACAUAUCCUUCCUUUGUGAUUGUAUUAGUCUACGUUGAUGACAUCUUAGUCACCAGUCCAAAUGCAUCCGAUUGUCAAGCUUUCAUUCACAAGCUCAGUUCUUUGUUUCAUGUCAAAAACUUAGGGCCUCUUCACUACUUCCUUGGUCUUGAAGUUCAUAGAUCAUCUGAAGGUAUUUUCUUGUCACAUGGUAAAUAUAUCAUAGAUCUUCUUAUCAAGAUCAAAAUGGAAGGAUGUAAACCUUGUGCCACUCCUCUUGGCACUCAUAAAUUGGAUCACAUUGGAACCUUAUUGUCUGAUCCAAAGGAGUACAGGUCUAUUGUUGGUGAUCUUCAAUAUUUAACAUGGACAAGGUCGGAUAUCUCUUUUGAUGUGAACCAUGUGUGUCAAUUUCUUCAUUGUCCUUGAGAUACUCACUUUCAGGCAGUUAAACGUAUUCCCAGAUUUCUCAAAGGCUCAGUUGAUCAAGGACUCUAGUUUAAAAAGAGUUCUCUGCAGCUAACAACUUUUUCGGAUGCCGAUUGGGCUGGAUGUGUGUUUGAUAAAAGGUCUAAAUCUAGAUAUUGUAUUUACUUGGGUUUCAAUCUUAUAAGUUGGAGUGCAAAAAAGCAGCCAACUGUUACAUGAUCUUCAACUGAAGCCGAGUAUCAAUCCUUUACUUUUACUACUGCAGAAAUUACCUGGAUCUGCAAGAUUUUCAAGGACAUCACUUUUCCUCUUUCUCAUGCUCCUACAUUAUGGUGUGACAAUGUUUCUACCAUAUCUUGGCUUCAAAUCAUGUGUUCCAUGCAUGAAUAAAGCAUGUCGAAGUUGAUUAUCAUUACAUCAAGGAGGUUGUUCUUGCCAACCUAGUCAAAAUUCUGUAUGUCAACUCUGAGCAUCAGAUUGUAUACAUUCACACUAAAUCACUGUCCAAGGCAAGGUUCAAGUAUCUUCAGUCCAAGUUUUCUCUGGGUUCCCCUCCAAUUAGCUUGAGGGGGUGUAAAGGGAUAACUCAUAGCUAACAGUUUUGUAUAGCUGUGUUUUACAGUUAUAGUUUCAAUUGUAACAGUUUCUGUAACUAAUCUCUGUAAUUAGAGAUUUAAUUAAGCACAAUUAAUCACUAAGCUUUAUUAGGAAAGUGUACAAAUACUGAGUUGUAUUUUCGUUACUCAUUAAGAAAGAAAUAAUACAAGGCUUAUUUCUUAUAAAUCAGUCAUAUCUUGCUGGUCGAGCUAGUCUUGUUCAGUCUUGUUCAAUCUUCCACCUCCACUAUCCCAGUAUAUGAUAUGCAGACAGGGUUUAGGGUUUAAAGUUUAGGUAUGCAGAGAAGGUUGGGCCAAGUUUGCCUUCCGAAGUCUCUUGGUGGGCUUGGCUUGAAAAACAUAAGAGUUAUGAACAACUCUUCUUGCUAAGAACUCUUGGAGAUUGAUGGAGGGGAUAAUGGUCUGUGGGCAAAAGUUUUUAGUGGCAAGUACAUUGACCAUUGGGUCAAUUACUCAAAGAUCAAACUGCUUUAGGCUCUUCUUGCACUUGGAAAAGUGUUCUUGAAAGGACUAAACUUUCGUACUACUUUGGCGAAUUUGGAAAUGGUAACACGGUAAAAUUUUAGACUGACAGAUGGGCUAAAUGUGGUAUUUUGCUUCAUUAUGGUAGCUGCCUGCUCUCGGACAAUAUGCUUAAGGUUACCGUAGCUGAUUAUUGUUACAAUAAUGUUUGGGAUAUACACUACUUGUUUUACCAAAUGAGGUUGUUGAACAAAUUCUUAGCAUUUUAGUUGGUUUUGAUACUUUGGAGGAUAAGUGUAGCAGGUGUGGAACACAAGUGAUGUUAAUAUGUUGGCCAUUAAUUCUAGUGGUUUUCCUAAUUUGCGAUAGAAUCUCAUUUGGAAUCUUCAUAUUCAUUCGAAAGUUUAGAGUUUCUUAUGGCUGCUCACUCUUGAUAAGCUCAUAACUAAUGAUCAAAGGCUGGAGGGAUUACGACUGAUAACCCUGAGUGUUAAAGAUGUACAUGUGGCUUUAAAUCAACGCCUCAUGUUUUUAAAGAUAGUCAUAAGGCAAGCAAAGUUUGGCUGAUGUUGAGGAUGUAUAACCAACUAAAUUGAUUUUCAUGAUUUUCUUCAUUUUAAUCUUACGACUAAUUCACUCAUAUUGGGAGGUUUAGAGUGGAGGUUAGUUUUUUCGUUGGUUGUUGGUUUAUUUGGUAUUGGCAAAAUAAUUUUUUUUAGCAAGAUUUUGCAAUGUUUGAUGAGCCUACAGUUGCUAUUUGUGCAUAUCUUGUGAGUAUUAGCCUUCAACCAUUCACGAAGAUUGGUCAAUGUCGUAUAAUUGAAUCUUUGCUCCACUGAGAAGCUCUUUAUUCAAAUUGGUAAUGUUGAUGGUUGUAAGAAGGAAAAUAAGAAUUUUUUACCUAACCAACCGACAGUAGACAAAGGAUAUGUUGAUGUUGAUGUUGAUGUUGAUGGUUGUAAGCUCUCUUCUCUUUUUUUUCCUCCCCUCCUGUUUAAACGCUCAAAAUUUUAUCUUUGUAAGGAGAAAGAAGAAAAAAAAGUAGAGAGGGAAGAGAAAUAUCUAGGAAAGAAGACUGGAGGGGAGAAAAAAAGGGAGGAGAAAGAAUACCAUCCUUAUAACUUGGUCCCUUAUUGAAUGAAAGGACAGGCUUCUGCUUGGCUUAAUACCAACUUCAGUCCAAUUGUCUUCUUGUUUUGGAAAUUGACAACUCCAAGUGAUGAAAAAACAUCACAUGUAUUAUUGUACGGAUGAAAAGUGUUGCUUUUUGCACUAUUGCAUUUAAAGUGAUUAGAAAUUCCGUGAAAAUUUCCAAUAUCUCGUUGCAUUGAUGAACGGACGAGAUAUAAAAAAAAACAAAAUUUUAUACCUUCAUCUACUACGUUGAUGUAUUAUAUCCAAAACCCUAAAAUUCUCCUCAUGAAUGAUGAGUCUAAUAUUUUUCAGAGUUGUUAUCAGCACUUGCAAACAGUGUUUUAUGCAUGUCGGUCUCGAAGUUAUCAAUGAGGGGUCAUGAUAAUUAUUUUAAAUUGUUAAUAACAUUAUCUUUUCUUAUUCUCGGUAGGCGGCUACAUCCCUACAAUCUCAAAAUAUGUUUAAAUUCACUCAUGUACAAUGAGAAAAUGCCAUAUGGCAGGUUUGACACAGUUUGGAAAUUGGUGAGACAUGAAAAGUUCCUUAAUCCUCCCUCGCCCACACGGCAGCCCUCAACUCGACCGUGAUGAGAAGACAUGACAUGUCUUUUGCGAAUGACAGGGAAUUGGACAAAACCAUCCCUUCUUUGUUUCAAUAAUUGUUAUGAAUUAUCGUAUAACUAUUAACCUAUAAGUAGAUAUGAACAACGACUUAAUUGCCACUCAUUUUCACUAUAAAAGGAAAACAUUUCAUCACAAGAUUGCAGUGGGGACAGAGAGGGUUGUGGUUGUCGUAGAUAAACCUAGAUUUGGAUAUGAUCUGGACCUCAGUGUCUGGAACCUGCAAGUCCACAAAUCUUGAUCGAUGAUUGGUGUGCAAGUCAAAUCAGGGCCGUUGGUUGUGUGUGGUGGGCUAGGAAAAUGAAUUAAUGGAGACCGUUGGAUUCAAUUUGUGCGGCCAAGAUUUGUUGACUUGGAGGCUCCGAACACUAAUGUUUGGAGUGGAUCCAAAUCCAAUAAACCUAGGUUUCAUCACAAAGCAGGAAAUUGAAUUCAGAACAAAACAAACAGAUUGUGAGUAGGAAAAGACAGAUUUUUUAGUGUGUCAAGAACACUGUUUAGUACACUGAGUGUAAUAAUACAAUUGGUUGGAAACUUGUAAAAAAAAAAAAAAAAUUUCCAACUUUUUAUAUCAUAUGAUGUAUCAGACCGUGUUUCCAACAUCAACGAGAUUUGGAUGUCACGCAUACAAAUAAAGACUUGUUGGGGCUUAAAAAGACUUCACUACUUUGGAGAUGUUUAUCUCACAAAGAAAAAUGUAAUGCAGCGGAAUUGAUAGGAAAGAGAAAGAAAGAAUACUCAAAGUAUUACACAAGAUUUUUAUUCACUCACAAACUUAGUACAAGAUGAAACACUCAAACACUCUUAGAGGCUUUGUUGCUUCUUCUCACUUCUCUCUUGGCACUCUCACUUCUCACUACUUACUCUCUUGGUUGUUACAUAGCUUAGCACCUCACCUAUUUAUAGGCAAGGUUUGCCAACCUUCCUUAUUUCUAUAUAUUUCUCGCUUUUUCCUAAUGUCCACAUAAUUUUACAAGAUUCUAGGUCUUUCUACAAAAGACCAUAGAUAUUUUAUGCAUGCAUUCAACAUACAUGCUUUUUCUAGAAUUCUCUAGCAUUUGCAUGAACCAUCCAUUGUGGUUAUGUUGCCUUUUUCAACAUGGGUUGGAUCCAUUGUCUUGGUCCAAGACAAGAUUACAAUUCAACAAGCCUUUUAUUAAUGUCACAUUAUUAUGUCUUGAUUGUAAGAUUAAACUUAUAAAAAAAUAUAAGUUAAGAGAUUAAGCUCAUGAACCACAAAUGUAUUCAAGUAUUAAAAUCACAAUUCGAUAAACACAAUGACAAACUAACCCAUAAACAUAGUAGAAGAAAAAGCCAAAGCAGACUUCUAAACAAUGCACCUUCUCCUCUCUUGCAAAACCAAAAGUACUCAAACUAACAAUAGGUCUUAGUUCAAUAUUGAGUGUGCAUUUUGUGAAAGCAGUGGCCACUAUUUAUAAUAGAUUAAUCCUAAUAAUUCUCUUAUUAGAAACACCAUAGGAUACCAACUAUGAAUCCAAAUCAUAUCUGAAUUACAAUCCUACAAGAAUUAGGAUAGUUUUAAGCUUUCUAGCAAGACUUUUCUAUGUCAAUUGAAACACUACAACCGGCUAUAAUAUUUAAUUUCAUACUCAUGUUCUAACAUUCUCCCACUUGAGUAUGAAACAUAUUAAUCACACAGUCUUUCAUAUUCAUAGAAGUGAUCGCCAAAUCUUUUGGAUAGCAAAAGCUUAACCUCACAUACAACUUACCAAUGCAUUUUAAAGUAUGGAACUUAAGAAUCUUUUCUGUUUUAUCACAGAAUUAACCCAAAAAUCACAACAUACUUAAUUUGCACUUUGUAAUUAUGUGAAUGUUGUGUAGCAAAACCAAACCAAUUUGCUCCCACUCAUCUAGGCCAUACUUAACACAACCAAGUUAAGUACAAGUUAAUAUCAACUAUAUUAACUAACAAUCAUUGCAAUACACUGAAUGACUUAUCAGAAUCAAUACAGUGAAUGACUUAUCAUAAUCCACAUAGGAAACCAAAUUCGUGUAGUUGCAAUCUUGUUCCUUAAUUAGCAUUCUUAUCAUAUGACCUUCUAUUCUAGUUUGAAUCAUACAAGCUGUCAAAAAUCAAUCCCAGCUUACUAUCAUGCUCAUAUCUUUAUAUCUUAUAUUCUCCCACUUGAGCAUGAACUAAGCUAAAUUUUCAGCUUCGCAAACUUUUAAUAGAAGUGAUCAAUGUGAUCAAUUAGUCUCAUCGCAUAAGAAAUUCACAUCACAUAUAUUAUAUCUAUACAUUUCAAAAUGUAGAAUCAAAGAAACAUUGCUGCAACCAAUAUGCAAACAGAUUCCAUGAUCACAUGCAUCCAAUUUGUAUUUAUAACAAUGUGUUUUUACUUGACCAGAACAAACACAUAAAUUAGUUUUCUCCCACUAUAUCAAGUCAAGUUUAGCUCCAACAAAUAGCACUAAACUUGUCAUUACUUAAACUAAUUAAGUAAGAUAAAUAAUUCAACCAAUUGCUUCAAUAAAACCAUAAAUUGGUUUUCAGCAUCCAAAUGAAUUAUAAUGACUGGCUUAAAUACUCUUAGCCUUAUGCUUACAUUCGAACAUAUGAUUCUCCCACUUAAGCAUAAGCAAAAUGUACUGCACAACCAAUAAAGAAACCGGAGAUAUGAACCAAUUGGUUCCCAAUUCCUCACCAAUUGCAUAAUCUCAGUUUAGUCAAUAUACUCCUAAACCAUUAUGCAAACAGUCUAUGUAUCAAAAGAUAGUCACAAUCCAUUCAGAAAAACUUAUCUCACAUAAACUCAAAAUCACCAGUUUCAACAAUGAUCAAAAUCAAAAUAGCAAGCACAAUAUUUUUGCAUUCAAUUUGAUCCUAGUUCAAUAUCCAUCAAGCAAGAUCAACCAAAUUUUGAUAAUGUCUGGAUAUAUAUCACAACAAUAUGUCUUGAUUAAAACGAGAUAAUCAAGACCACUAUUUCUUUUGGAGAACUCAAAAUUCAUUUUCCUCCCUAUUUGAGAUUUCAAUGAAAACAUAAUUGCGGAAGCAUGCAUCAUAAAUGAAAUCACAAAUACACCUAUACAAUAAGAAUGCAUCUUAAACUCCAUGAUUUUCACAAUACAAUAAGCACAUGCUUUCUUACGAAUUCAUAAAUUAAAUCAAUAUGCAUUCGGCAAUGUCAAUUUGUGUUGUACAAAAAUAUGGACAACAAGUCACAUAAUCUAAUUUGUUUCUCAUUCCUCUAUAUAAAUGACACAAGCUAAUUCUCAAAAUUUAUAGCUUGACUUAUAUAAUCAUACAAGUAAAUUUUUAAGGCUACGAUCAAUAUAUAUAGCCACAAAAUCUAAUUUGGGUCAACUAAUGAAAAAUAAGAUCAUUACAAGAUAAAACCCAAUUUAUACCAAUGUAUACAGAUUCGCCAUAUAUGCACAAUAACGAUUCUAGCCAAAGCAUAUUUCACAUAUAUAUGUUCAUUCAUCUGUUCACAUAUUUUCUUGUAUGCAUGCAUCAAUAUGCAAAUAAACUUAUGCAAGUUCUAUUUGAUAUAGAUACAAUAAGAUGUGCAUGUGCCGCUCCGUAUAAUUAUAUAUAUAUAUAUCGAGAUUCAUACGGGAAACAAUGCAUAACAUACAAAUCGUUAGCAUUCUUUUAAGCCGUCAGAAAGACUAAGCAUAUUUGCUUCAUCAUGACAAUCGAUGAGACUCAACCUAUACAAAAAUCCUUAAUCAUAUAUGCUCAUAAGUUCAAAUUUUGGCUUAACCAAUGUGAAUGGCAAAGUAGAUACAUGCACCAGCACACUAUGCAUCCAUGUAUAUAUUGAAAUAGAUUCGUGUUUGUGCUUCUUUAUACUUGGAAGCCCCUUGAUAUUAUAUAAUAUAACUUUUAUUAUAUAAUAUCCAUCAAAAUAUAAUUGAUGCACGACACUCAAUUUUACAAGCAAAAUGACAUGAUAUAACAAAUGUUCGAAACUGAGAAGAAAGGUUUAGCAGAAAAGGAUUCAAGAUAAAACCUUAUAAAAGCCCUAAUUCAAUUCAAGAUAAAACCUUAUGAAAGCCCUAAUUCAUCAUGCUCUAAAUCAUCACAGUAUAAUCAUGCAUAUAAGAGAACAAAUUAAUCAUGCAUGAAACAAUGAACUAAGUUACCUAAAUGCAUCACUGGACCUAUAUUCGUUGACCCGACCGAGAUUUCUCGACCACAAAUCAACAAAACAAAUUACUCAUCAAUCCUCGAGACCCAUCCAUGUGGAUUGUCAUCACCACCAAUUCCAGUGGACCCGUAUCAUCGCAGAUUAUCGAAGUACAUCGCCAUUGUUACAUACCCGCCGAACCCAUCGCCAAAGUGAUGGCCCAAAUCCCAUCGACACAAAUUCCCAGCAAAAAGACAAACCGUAAACGUUAAUAUCUCUUGGACAAACAAAAAACUUAUUAAUGUCUUCAAACCAAGAUUUCAUAUUUCUUUUAUCUUACUUAUAUUUGGUCUGUACAAGGCAUAUUUUAUGAACAUCUUUAUAAUCAAAUUCAUUAAUCCAAACCGAUCAGACCCACGAAAACAAUAGCUUAUGUACUCGCAUUCCAUAAUUACCCAAUGAAUCCUUGAUUAAUUCUUAUAAAAAUUCAUCAUCAUGGAAUCAAACACAUAGAAGAAAAAUUAAUAGCUGUUGAAGCUUAGUAGUUCAAUUUUACCAAAUUGAAUUCAACAUUUAGCCAUCAUUCGUUUGGCAGGCAAUCGUAAAUAUUACAAACCUGUAUUGCGGCAAACAUGAUAUGCAUAUAGCAAACUCAUUCAAAACCUACAUAUUAUCUCACAAACUAAGCUUGACAACUGCUAAUUUACCAUCACGUCUUUUGCUGUUUGUUUUUUUAUUUUUAUUUUUUUAACUUUCAAUUUGAAUUCAAGAGCAACAAUCUUAGGCUCUGAUACCACAUGUAAGAUUAAACUUAUCAAAAAAUAUAAGUUAAGAGAUUAAGCUCAUGAACCACAAAUUUAUUCAAGUAUUAAAAUCACAAUUCGAUAAACACAAUGACAAACUAACCUGUAAAUGUAGUAGACGAAGAAGCCAAAGCAGACUUCUAAACAGUGCACCUUCUCCUCUCUUUCAAAACCAAAAGUACUCAAACUAACAAUAGGUCUUAGUUCAAUAUUGAGCGUGCAUUUUGUGAGAGCAGUGGCCACUAUUUAUAAUAGAUUAAUCCUCAUAAUUCUCCUAUUAGAAACACCAUAGGAUACCAACUAUGAAUUCAAAUCAUAUAUGAAAUACAAUCCUACUAGAAUUAGGAUAGUUUUAAGCUUUCUAGCAAGACUUUUCUAUGUCAAUUGAAACACUACAACCGGCUAUAAUAUUCAGUUUCAUACUCAUAUUCUAACAUUGAUAAAAUCUUUAUUUAUUCCCUGCAAGUACCAUAUAAGAAAUGCUAAAGAGACUCUCUAUGGACUCUCUAUCUGUCACUUCAUGUUUUUGACAUAAUGUUUUAUAAUGUUAGCACUAGAAUGACUGUAAACUGUAAGGUGACAGAGAGUCUAUGAAGAGUCCCACUUUAAGAGGGUCUCCUUAAUAUUUCUCAUACCAUAUUCUGACACAAUGGAAAGUAGCCAUUUUUUAUUGUAAGUUUUAGUUUUCACAUGUAUUUAUGUUAUGCGAGACAACCACAAAUAAAUCUUUCUGUAUGUACAACUUUUAUCAAGUUUAAGAGUUAUAAUUAAGAUAUUCCCAAUUGUAUAUAUUUAUAUGUUUUUAGUCAUUAUAGUUGGAGCUCAUCAUUUGUGUGUACAUGAUAGAUAUCCUCGGUUACACGAUAGAAUUUCACAGGAAUGUCAUAGCCAAUAAAGUAGGCUCCUAUGCAUCAUUUGUUUCUGUGCGAAGAGAAAACACGAAUAAAUACAUGCAACAACCUAUUGUUGCUGAUAGUGUACGCUUCAGACUCAUGAAAUUUGUAGCCACUCUACAUAUCUCGUGUGUAGAGUGGUACAUCAAGUAUGUUGGACUCGAUACAUCAAGUGUCGUAAUGCAAUUGAUUAGAAAACAAGAUUUCAAAUCUUUUUUUCAAGUUUCUCACAUAACCGUAGGCCUGGCAAACGGAUCGUGUCUGUAGUGUUCGUGUCGUUUUCGUGUAACACCUGUUAUCUUAACGGGUCGUGUCAUGUCACACCUGUUAUCUUAACGGGUCCUUAAUAGGUCGGGUAAAGUGACCUAACCCAUUAUGACCCGUUAAGAAAAGAAAAAAAAUUUCCUUAAAUUUGCACAUACCACACAUUGCCACAUGCGAUCUCGAUCUCUGAAUGUUUGUUUUUUGCAAUUUUUUGCUGAUACGAUUUCGAAGCAUAUACAAACAAGUUUGAUGAUUGGAUCGUUGAAAUUAGUUUCGUAGAAUUCGUAUCCCAUCAAGUUCAAUGAUGAAUAUAUAUAUUUAUUAAGUAGAUUUAAAUUUAUUUAUUUUGUACAUAUAACACUUAAGAAAUUGAAUGGUAUGUAUAUUUAAGCCGAUCCAAUGGUCACCAAUUUUUAAUAUUUAAUAUAUAUUAUAGUUUUUAGGGCUAUAAAAUUGUUAAAUUAAUAUAUAUAACUAUUAUAGUAUUUUUUUUUAGGGUUAUAAAAUUAUUAAAUUAAUAUUUUACUUAUCGUGUAUCGUGUUACUCACAUGUAUAUCUGAACCAACCCGUUAUCUUAACAAGUGCUUAUCGGGUUACCCGAUAACGAUCCAAUUCGUUAUCGUGUCGACCCAAACACUUGUUAAUUUCAUGUUGUGUCGUGUCGGGUUAUCAGGUCGUGUCAGGAAUUGCCAGGUCUGCCUAACCGAAACCCAAUUAUUCUAUUUGGGACUUUUACAGCAACAAAGAAACCACCUCAAGGCUCAAUCUACUUGCCCACCAUCCCACACCUUUUUUUCCUUGUCUGGUUUGGUGGUAGGGAAUGAAACUGAUCUAUGUUCACUUCUUCUGGUUUGCAGCUGACUGGUUUUUCCAUUAGUGGAAAAACGAAACACGGAUACCCUCCGGAUCCAUCCAUUAUGUGAGGAUCCUACGGAUCCCUGUGGAUGCAAAUUUUCGCCUUCUUUUUCUUGGACAAAAUUGCAUCUACAAAACAAUUAACACCUUAGGUCAAGGCCAAGAGCCUCACAUGCCCACGAUGAAUGGGGGGGCUUUGGCGGAAGAACCUCCGAUGCCAAAGUUAGAAUUUAGAGAGAAAAGUAUUUGGAGAGUUUUUGGAAGUUUUGCAAGAGUGUGGAACUAGGUUUUUAGAGAAAAUGGAGUCCUAUUUAUAGAGCAUGACCAGCCCUCUUUGGAAGAAAGAGUGGCCGACCCUUGGGUAUUUUUUGGGGUGUAAUGGAUGAUUUAAUUGGUAAUUAAUGGAUUAAUUAGGAAUUAAUCCAUUAAUUAGUCAUUUAACCUCCACUUAAAUGGAAUGUUAUGUAGGUUAUAAAAUAAUUACCUAAGAUGAGGAUGGAUGAGAAUAUAUUUGAAUUUGUUACCUAUUUUGGACACUUUUGACUUGAUUGACGGAUGAUUGUCUGCUGCUCGCGCGUAGGAAUCCCGAUAUGCCUCAAGGGUAUAUUUGUCCUCUUUACCCAAAAAUUCACGUGUCACCUUGUGAUUAUUUUUUGCUGCACAAUCUCCACAUCUCAGCCGUUCAUCGUGAAUCAUGUAUCAAUUUUUGUCAGGUACUAUUUGUGUUUAAUUUAAAAUAAUAAAAAUAAAAUUAUUUAUGACCACACGAUUCAUGAUAAACGAUUAAAAUGUAGAGAUCCUUAUGAUUCUUGCAUAAUGGAUGGGAUCCGUUUCAGGAAAAACGAAGCUUGAUGGACCCCAGGUUAUAAUAUUCCAAAAUAGUCAUUCACAAUUAAUUAAUUUGUUGACUUAAUUUUGUUGUGUACUUGUAAAAUAGCCAACCACAUAAUGGAUGGGAUCCGUUUCAGGAAAAACGAAGCUUGAUGGACCCCAGGUUAUAAUAUUCCAAAAUAGUCAUUCACAAUUAAUUAAUUUGUUGACUUAAUUUUGUUGUGUACUUGUAAAAUAGCCAACCAGUGUCCUUUUUAUAUCUAAAACAAUUGUAUAAUCCUACAGAGAAUAUUUAUAUUAGGCCUCGGCAAUUGAUAUAAAAGGCAACCUGUAUCAACGCAUUCUUUGAGUCAAUAAUAUCAGAGCUUCUUAGAGGGGAAAUAGAUAGGUUGUAAAACAAUGUCUUGGUUUCUUACUGUUAUCUUUCUGGUUACUACUCUUACAUUUCAUACUCCUUCAGAGGCUAGCUAUGAGGAGAUCCAGCCUUCUGCAGUUGUUGUAGGCACUGUAUACUGUGACACAUGUUUCCAAGAGGAUUUCUCAAAUACUAGCCAUUUCAUUUCAGGUAAAUUCGUCUUGAAUUUUCAACAAGUUCUUCAUCAAUUUUAUUUUUCUAUUGUAGCCCGUUCAAUGAUUUCCGUACACCCCUUCUCUUCUUCUAUAUACACUCAUGUUUAUAUUUUAAUCUUUAAAUUUGAAUAAGUCCAAGAAAAAUUAAAAGAAAUAAAUAAACAAAAGUGUACAAAUGGAGAAAAUGUAAAAUCUAAAUGACUGAAAACCUUUAUACAGGUAUUUCCUAAGAGUCAACCAUACAACUACGAAAAAUUAAAGGAGAAAUUAGGUUCUCAUCCUUCCUUUUGCUACUUCAUUGAUUAAAAUCAUAUUCUUUUUCAAUUUUUUAUCAAGGUCUUUGGGUAUUAAUAACAUCAUUAAUUAUUUUAAUAAUAAAAUAUUUUUUUAUUUCUAAAUAUAUUCAUUUAAUGUUAAAAAUGUUACAAUUAGUAUAUUUAUAUUUAUGACUUAACAUAUAUUUUUAGUUUUAGUUUGUACCCAUUUUUAAUUUGUAAUUCUUUUUUAAUUUGUAUCAAUUUUCUUUUCAAUUUUAAUUUGUACCCAUAUAUUAAUUUAUUUUUGUGCCCAUAUUUUUUAAAGUUUAUUUGUAUUUGUACCCAUAUUUUUUUUAUUUGUACUUUUUAUUUUGCUAAAUGUACCCAUGCUAAUUAUAUGUACCCAUUCAUUUAAAACUUUUUAAUCUUCAAAUGUACUCAUUCUUAAAUAUACCAAUUUGUUAUAUGUAAAAUGUACCAUUUUUUUUAUAUAUAAUCUAUUCAAUUUUUUUCUAAUCCAUUUUUAAACUUAUAUGGGUACGUUCUUUUUUCUUUGAUUUUAAAAUGUAUCCAUGUCAAGUUUAAUCGAAGAAAUUUACUAAUGUUAUUAAGCUAUUAUCUUCUUCUUCUUUUUUUGUGAUUUUGAAGAAUUUACCCAUGUUUUGAUACAAUAAUUUUUUUGGUUAAUUUUGAUGAAUGUACCCAUGUUUAUAUAUAUACACACACAAUAGUAUAUUUAUAUUUUAAUAUUUUUAAUCCCACAAAUUAUGAUUUUUUAUUUAAAAUCUCAUUUAUAUAAACAACUAAAAUUUCUAAUUUUUAAUUUAAAAAAUAUAGUAACGUACAUAGAAAUAAAUUAUCACAUUAAUUUCAGGGACCUCGAUCAAAAAUUAAAAAUCAACAAGGUUUCAAUCAAAGAAUAUUCAUAGCUAAAGACCACAUCCAAAGUCUCCCAAAAUUAAAUAACACAUAUCAACUGCAAAAAAAAAUCUUGCCUAAACUAACUCCUUGACGGUAGGAUUCUACUUUCAAUCACGAUUUCUUUCCAACAGACAACAAAAUGUCCUGACAUGUUAUGGAUGCAUUAUCGACAAUAUCAAUAAUUUUGUGGGGUUUUUGUGCAGAGGCUUCUGUUGGUGUGGAAUGCAAAGAUGGGACUUCAACAAAACCAAGUUUCAACGUAAAAGUGAAAACAAACAGCCAUGGGCAAUUCAAAGUCAAUCUGCCCUUCUCAGUGAGCAAAGAUGUCAAGAAAAUUGAAGGAUGCUCCGUGAAACUAAUCCGCAGCAGUGAACCCUACUGUGCUGUGGCCUCAUCAGCCACCUCAUCUUCCCUACACCUCAAGGCAAGAAAGCAAGGGACUCACAUAUUCUCUGCUGGUUUCUUCACCUUCAAGCCUCUCAAGCAACCCAGCUUAUGCAACCAGAAACCCAGCAUUCAGAAUUCCAAGAAAUUAAACUCCCAGAAGUUCUCAGAGAUGGCAUUCCCAUCCUCCUCUCAGGUGGACCCCAAAAUGCCUGAUCCCUCUCUCAACCAAUCUGAUCUCCUAGGUCUCCCAAUCGAUCUCCCAGGACUCCCAGGUCUCCCAGGACUCCCAGGUCUCCCAGGCCUCCCAGGCCUCCCAGGACUUCCAGGGUUGCCCCUUGCUGCUGAAAAAACUUCAUCUAAGUCCUCCAACUCCAAAACUUCAAAGAAUGGGCAACUAGGUGAUAAUAAAGAAGUCGCCCAUCCAGAUUCUCCACCAGCAGGUUCAGCACCAUGAUUCCCAACCUGCAACCUAUCCUGGUUUCUGCUGGGUUCCUAUCCUAUUGGGCGUAACCCGUUUAAGUAUAAUAAGCCCAUUUAGGUCUUCUGAGUUGUGGUUUCCUGAACUACUACGUAUAUAGUCUCUUCCUUCUCUUUUGAGAACUAUGAAAAAUAUUAAGGGAACUACGUGAAAUGUUGAAUGUUUAAGUUUUAUCUUCUUUUCCCAUUUUCUCUCUACUUUUCCCUCUUUCUUCCCUAACAAGAAUGUGUCGUUCAUAGACAGCUACAAGUACAAUAAUAUAAUACGAUCCAAUUAUUACUUAAAUACAAUGAUUAUCGUUGAAACUCAAAAUUUCAGGAUAAGAGAGCCGCAUGGAUUCAUUCAGAGAUAAAAAAUUUUAUAUAUAUCAAUUAUUAUUGAAUAUUAACCAAGGUUGAAAAAGGUUAUGGGUAUUCUUUGCCGAAAGAGGAAAAAAAGAAGUGGGUUUGCCAUGCUUUUACUAUGUGGGCGCCUUAGAGAAAACCUGUUAAAAAUGAACCGUUUCAUCAGAAGGAGGCAAAUAGGUGUACGGAACGAAGACGUCCCUGAAUUAGGUCAUCUUCUUCGAGUGCGACGAGCCGUCUCACAUACCUUUCCUAUUUCCAUCGAGUUUGAUCGACUUCAACUCCUAUUUCGACCGAGCAACAGGGUAAUGAUUAUGGGAAAAAAAAUUUAGGGUUAGGGUUUUGGAGAAUAAUUUUGUGACUAGGGUUUAGGGUUUUGGAUUGUUUUCACAAAAUCGUUCUCCACUGGGGAAAUAAAUCACCAUAAUAAUAGCAGUAGGCUAUGAUUUUAACUUAAUCAGUACCUAAAUGUAAAAUUUUAUGCUUAUUUCCGCAAAUACUAUUAACAAUUUAACAUGGAGUUUUAAUUUUUUAUGAAAUUUUUGUAGUUGGUUGGGUUUGUAUGAUGAAUAUUAGUGUUCUGAGACACACUUGUUAGUCCAACUUCAAGCAAAUUUGCAAUCAGCAAGUCCAUUCUCUCUAGUUGCGACCUUCCUUGCAAAGGGAGGAAUCUUAACGGAGUCUUCAGCCCUUCCCCGCUAUGAAUAAACUCUUUAAAGACGACGGUCCAAUUAAGCCCACUAACCUUGACCUUAUUGUUAUCGGAACGGCCUCCCUGGAUCAGUGACAGCCGCCGCAGCUUCUACUGCCGGAAAAACUGUUCUUCACGUACCUUGACACUAACCACUUUUAUGGUGACCACUGCGCCUUUCUUCCCAUUGAUGAUUUGACUGUCUUCCUAAAUUCUCAUGCUUCCCAACCCUCCGCCACUACUACCACCAAUUUGAUCACCUCUACAAGUACAAGCCAUGAUGGUUGCAUCGCCUUACCCCUCACCCGCCAGUUGCUGUACGCCGAUACCGUUACAUAUGCCCCUCAAGUCCUUGCACAACAUAAUAUAAGCAAACCUCGGUCAAAUAAUAUAAACUUGAACUCCAUUUUGAGCAUUGUGAGAUAAGGGAAUGUGCCAGAAACUAUUAUGUUAAAUUCAUUCUACAUAUUAAACCAUUCAAAUAUGUGAUGUUUAUUAAUAAGCAUUUUAGGAAGGCUUUUUUUAUUAGCACCCCACGUACUAUUAAAUACACCCCACAUUCAAAUUUGAUAUUAAAUGACUUAUACACUCUACUAUGCAAUGCCAAUUUUGACCUUAUUAGGUUUAAAAAAAAAAAUUCUGAAUAAACCCCAAAUCACUUUUAACGUAUUACUUUUUUUGUCUUCCCAACAAAUGCAAGCAAAAUGAUGAAACUGCCAUAUUAGAACUUGAAUGGAGUGCAAAGAAAUUAACGAUAUUUCAUUGUGUAUGUCAUCUCACAGCAUAACCCAAAUUUAAAGAAAUGAUAAUAUUAAUAAAAUGGCUAAACACAAUCUCUGUUCUACAAUUCAACACCAAUAAAUAAAUAUGUUUUUUUUUCAUACAUCUGAAAAUGCAAUGAAACUACAUCAACAUUCAGCUACGUUUUUGCCAAUCUGGGCAAAGUCCUAGUGCAAUUCACAUUACAAGAGACCCUCUGAUUGUUCUCCUUUCCCUUGCUGCUUUUACCCUUGAAUUUUUGUCAUUAAACCUCAGCGUAUUACCUCAUCUGCCACCUUCAACAGAGUCUCAGCAGCCUCAUCUUCCUCCAAUCUUGAUUGUGAUUGAGUAUUAUAAGACGUGAAGAAUGUGGGGUAUAUAAAAAAUGUAGAGUGUAUAUAGAAAAUGUAAGGUGUAUGUUGAGAAUGGGGUGGGAGGGUAAUAUGAGGAAGUAAAUGGGGUGUAUUAAGAUAAAUUUUAAUUGAAAAAGUAAAUAUGGGGUGUAUUAAGUAUGUGGAGUUUAUUCAACAAUAUGUGGGGUGUAAAUAUAAUAAGCCUUUUAGGAAUAUCUCUGACUAUGUUUUUAGAUUAACAUGCGCUUAGCAAGAGAAAAUUGUCAUGGAGAAACGGUUGCCCAAACUUAAGGCUGCAAUUUUGAGUGCUCAGAAGUGCUUGGAAGAUUGCAACUAUGUUAGGGGUUUGGUGUGUGACCAUCAUUCGCGGAGUUGGUCUGCAUUUUUUAGUUGUACAGAAGUUGUAUAGACAGUCCAUUUUUCUACGUUAUCAGUUGGAUGAAUGGUGGGACUCCCACCCACCAUAACCGUUGUACAGUAGUUGUAUAGACAAAUUCUUUUUGUUUUCAUCUUGUUUUUCCUCUCUUUAAUUGUCUGAACUGCAAUACGUUUCUGCAGCUUGAUGAAUGGUGGGACUCCCACCCACCAUAAUUGUUGCCCAUCCCUAGGUGGGAGCAACCAACAGCAACUGUUGUUGACUGGGUCUGUGUUGAUGGAUUAAAUGUUGCUGCCCGGCAUAAUCAUGUGAAGCAGCUCCUUGAAUUUUAUGAUCAGGAGCACUUGUGAAUAUUAUUUGAGUACUCAACAAACAAGAUUUUCUGGGGAUCUAACUGGUCUUCCUGUUGGCAGUCCCACAUCAAUGGGGGAAGUCAACAAUGGUGGCUAUAAAUAUGAUUACUACUCUAACUAAUAUCAAUCUCUUUUGUGGUAAAACUCUAUACCUGACGGAUUGGGCAAGUGAUAAAGUUGGAAACUCUAUCGGUCUUGUUAGAGUGGCCCCCAACUCAAGCUCGACUUUAUGCUUGGAAGGUGAAUUCAUUAUCUCUGGCUAGUCGGGCCACUUUUGUUCAGUCUGACACCUCCGUUGUCCAGUAUAUGCUUGGCAGACAAUAUUACCAAUUACCAUUACAGAUAACCCUGAGUGUCAAAGAUUUUCCUAAGGCAAUUAAUUUUCAUGAUUGGCUUCAUUUUAAUUUCACCACUAAAUCACUCAUAUUGGGGGGUUUAGAGUAGAUGUUAGUAUUUUCCAUUGCUUGUUGGUUUAUUUGGUAUUGGCGAAAUACAUUUGUUUUCGAGCAGGAUUUUGCAAUGUUUGAUGAACCUACCAUCGCUAUUUGUGCAUAUUUUCAUGAAUGGUUAGCUUUCUAAUACUCACAAAAUUGAUAAACCCCAUAAGACUGAAUCUUUGCUCCACUGGGAAGCUCUUCAUUCAAAAUUGAUUUAAACUUAAUGUUGAUGGUUGUAAGAAAGAAAGCGGGAGCAUUUGCUCGGGGGACAGUGGAUUGAACAGUGGGUUGUUGCCCGGCGGACAUGCUCCAGCGUUUGGGAGCCCGAGCGACAGGCCCGGCAGCGAUUGCCAGCCCGAGAGCUCGAAGGUCAUGUGACACAAGGCUGACGUCUGGGCGACGUCAGUCAUCAUCUCCUCUGUAAUGAUUGAGAUCCCCUUCUAAAUUGCCUGGAUCCAGGAACGCUAUGCUCAUCAGGAAACCCGGUCCGGUGAACAGCCAUAGCUUCUUCCACGAAAAAGGUGGGACAGCCAUGGACUCGUCAUCGACGGCAUCGUCGAAGAUCAGGAUCUUCUCUCGCGCCUCGAACGCAACCUCCUCCUCCUCGUCCCAUGUCGACGACGGCAGCGACAGGGACUGCAGCUGCAGCAGGCGGUUGGCUUCGUCAUCGUCCGCACCGUCUCGCAGCUUCGACAACUCGUCGUCGUGUUCGCGCAAUUGGGAGCUCAUGGUUUCUGUCUCGCAGCUUUCGUGCAUUUUUUUUUGUUUUUUUUAGUUGUGGUGAACUGUUGGAGAUAGUGUUGGAUUCCUUUAUAAUAUUAAUAUAAUAUUAAUUUAUACAAAGUAAAUAAUAUAAUAUUAAUUAUAAAUAAAAAAAAUACUAAUAUUUUAUUGCCAAUUGCCAUGGUUAUUCAGUGCAGAGGUGGAGAUGCAAAAGGCAAUUGCCAGGGGAAUGCACUAUUCAUUAAGGGCAGUUACUGUUCACUAGGUGGAUUAAAUAGUGAAUAGCCUGGGGGGAGGGCUCCUACACUGGAGUUGCUCUUACAUAACUAACCGGCAGCCGUGCCAGAGGCAAUACGUGUAUGGAAUCAUAUACUGAGGAUAUCGUCACUUCUAUGUUACGAUUUGAGGAGAGAAAGGAAGAGUAGGGAAGCCGGCCGGGAGGAAAGGGCAGGCUUCUGCUUUGAAUAAUACCACUUCAGACUUCAGUCCAAUUAUUGUCUUCCUGUUCUGAAAAUUGACAACUCCAUGUGAUGAAAAAACAUCUCAUGUAUUAUUGUACGGUUGAAAAUUGCUGCUUUACACUAUACAUUUAACGUGAUUAGAAAUUCCACGAAAAUUUACAAACAAGACCACAUAGGGAUGUGUCAUAGGCUGAAAAGGAGUAAGGAUGUUUGUACAUAGGCUGAAAAGGAGUAGGAUGUUUGUACGUUCCUUCCCCACAGCAAAACCACAUAGCAAAAGGAUUACAAACACAGCUAACAAAUCAAUAAACACAAAAUCAUCAUUAGGUCAGCGAUUAUAUGAUUAUAUCACAUGCACGUGAAAUAACAGAAAAUUGAUUUUUGGGCUUAAAUCAUAACGGACUUUCCCACAAGAACAUAAAUCCGAAUUUUUUUACCACAUGGGCUAUCUUCUGAAUAUCAUAUCAUCACGAGGACUAUUUAUACAAUUAUAGGUCAAUCUUUUUUAAGGUGAAUAUCACAUGCUAAAACGGAGGAAGAUUAUCUCCUCUCCUAAUCUCUCUCCUAUUCCCCCCUCUCCUACUUGAACGGUUAUGGUUAAGUCAUAUCAACAUUUUAUAUUGAUUUUUUUAUAAAGACAAUAAGAUAAAAAGCAAUGUGUGAGAGAAGAGGAGGGAAGAUGAUGUGAAUAAGAGAGGAGAAAAUCCUACUCCUACUAAAAACAAAAAAUAAUGAUCGACUCAACACCUAAUUGUGCAGAUAUUGGCUAAACCAAACAUUAGAUGUGAAAAAUUAGCAUUUUGCCGAAUAAUAUUCCGAGUGAGCAAAAUAAAGAAAAACAUAGCAAUGGCACACAGAAAAAAAAUAUAAAAGUUGAGGAGCGGGGUGAUAUAAUAUUAGACAUUGCAAUUGUAGGCUCGGACGACUCCAAGGAGAAAAAGGUUGCUGGCACCACUAUAGGAAAAUUACGAAUCAACAUUGCAGAGGUAGCUGUUAGAGAUAUGUCAACAAUAUGUGAUAAAUUUAUAUAUGCUAAUAAAUAAACAGUAUAUGAACAAUAAAAUAAUAUUAAACAGAAAUAUUGAAGAUCGAGGCUUGCGUACCGCAAUGUCCUUGAACAUAAAUUUCGCCCCUACUCAGUGCUUGUAGUUCUACGGACGUCUGCUUCACCAGAAUUCAACGAUCAAGUUAGAAUUCCAGCACCAGAAAACUUAACUUCUGGCGAAUUUUUGUGUGGUUCUCUCAAAAAGGAUAUUUGUGAUUGUAGAAGAAGAAUAUUGAUUUUUCUGUGUCUUAAAUGCCAUACAGAUGGAUGUAUAUAUAGAUGUUCGCAACAAGUAUGAGAAUGGGAUAUGACUGUUGGGAGACAUCUGUUCAGAUAGGGUGCUGUGUUCUCUGCGUUUUUUCAUUAACUUUAGACUUCAUAUGAAAAGAUGAGUCUGUUCAAAUAAAGAAUAAUUUAAUUUAAUUCAAAAUUAAUUAAAGAAUUUAAUUUUCAAUUGAGUCUGUUCAAAUAAAAAAUAAUUUAAUUAAAUUCAAAAUUAAUUAAAAACAAUUAAUUAAAUAAUUUAAUUUGCAAAGUCCCAAGCCCAAUUAACCUCAAGAGUGAGCCCAGUUUUAUUCUUCAAGGCCUAUUACUCUAAUUACUUUCUAUAAGGGACAAAGCCUUAUAAAAUUAGAAAAUCUUUUGGGAAUGGCCAAUGUGGGACAAAAAAAUUUCUACUCAAAAUUUCCAACAGUAACAUGCAUGGUCUUCUCUUAUGCCAUGAAAAAUUCAUGUUGCCUUCAUAUAAUUAACUAAUUAACUAGUUAUUAGUGUUAAUUAUUCUCUAACAUUUCCUUCCUCCAUCGUUUUCUUCUUCUUCAGAUCAGAGGGGUGGAAACCAGGAUUUUGGGAACAAACUCCGGCGACCGGAGGUGCGAACACACCUCUGUGGCUUCGCCAAUGCAAGUCUCGCAAGUCUCGAUAUUAUUUAUGAGGAGUUCAUGAUAAUUACCUUAAAAUGUUAAUAACAAUCCUCUUUCUUAUUCUUUAUGCUAGUAGGUCUGGUACAUCCUACAAUCUUAAAAAUAUGCAUAAAUUCACUCAUAUAGAAUGGGAAAAUGCCAUAUGUCACCAUUUGGAAAUUGGUGAGACAUGAAAAAGUCCUUGAACCUCGCUCCCCCCGCAAGGCAGGCUUAAACUCGCCCGUGAUGAGAGAAGACAUGUCUUUUGUGACAGGAAAUUGGACAAAACCAUCCGUUCUCUUUUUUUGUUAGUAAAAGCAUCCCAUGCAUUCUCUCUUCAUUACACUGACUAUUUCGAACACAAAACAUCAAUACAAGUAAACAGUCAACAUUCUUAUUACAUUAGUAAAACGAAAACUUCUUUCUUUUAUUCAAUAAUUAUUAUGAGUUGUACGUGUAUUGAUCAACCUGUAAGUAGAUACAAACACUAAUAAUACAAUUAGUUAGGAAAAAAAGUCAGUUUUUUUUUUCAAGUUUCUCAACUAACCGGGACCCAAGUAUUCCCUUGGCGUUCUUACAGCAACAAAGAAAGAACAACGAAACACACAGGAACACAAAAAUUGGAGACCUCUUUUUAUCUACUUCCCCACCAUCACAAAUAUUACCUUUUUUUUCUUGUAUGGUUUGGUGGUAGGGAAUGAAACCUAGCUACAUUCACUUCUUCUUAUUUGCAGUUGACUGGUUUUUCCAUGAGUGUAAUACUGUAGCUUGAUGGACGCCAGGCUACAUAAUAUUCGAAAAUAGUCAUUCCUUAUUUGUCUGUCAAUCACAAUCAAUUUGAUGAGUUAAUUUUGCGUACAUCUAAAGUGUGUAUAAUCCUAUAGAGAAUAUUUACAUUAGUUAUAAGGACUCAGCAUUUGAUAUAACUUAAAGGCAACGUGUAUCAACUCAUUCUUCUAGUCAAGAAUAUCAGAGCUUCUUAGAGGGGGAAUAGAUAGGCUCUAAAACCAUGUCUUGGUUUUUUACAGUUCUCUUUCUUGUUACUGCUCUUACAUUUCAUACUCCUUCAGAGGCUAGCCAUGAGAAGAACGAUCCUUCUGCAGUUGUUGUAGGCACUGUCUACUGUGACACAUGUUUCCAAGAGGAUUUCUCACAUACCAGCCAUUUCAUUUCAGGUAAAUUCAUCUCAAAUUUUCAAAAAGUUCUUCAUCAAAUUUAUUUUUGUAUUGUGUAGUCCGGCUAUAAAACAGACAUCCUUUCAAUGAUUUCCGUACACCUUCUCCUCCUUUACACUCAUGUUUUAUUUUGUAAUCUUUAAAUUCGAAUGAUGAAUCAAAGAAAAUCAGAAGAAAGAAAUAAAAAGGGUACAAAAUGAAAAGAAAAAAAAAAGUAAAAUCCAAGAAAAUGACUAAAAACCUUUAUACAAGUAUUUCCUGUAUAUGAGUCAACUAUACAACUAUGAAAAGUAAAUAACAAAUCAAUUACAAAAAAAUCUCGCCUAACUUCUUGCCGGUAAGACUCUGCUUUCAAUCGCGAUUUCUUUCCAACAUACAACGAGUGUAGGGAUAUUAUUUCUCUUGAAUAAAAGUUGGAGGAUAUGUCAUUUGUAUGUGUUGAUAUCAUUGUCGCCAAGUAUGUAUGUAUGUCAUCAGUAACUUCGAUUUUAUUGUUAGUCAACAAAACGUCCCAACAUGUUAUGCAUGCAUUAUCAACAAUAUCAAUAAUCUGGUGGGGUUUCUGUGCAGGGGCAUCUGUUGGUGUGGAGUGCAAAGAUGGGAGUUCAACAAAACCAAGUUUCAAGGCAGAAGUGAAAACAAAUAGCCAUGGACAAAUCAAAGUCCAACUGCCCUUCUCAGUGAGUAAACAUGUCAAGAAAAUUGAAGGAUGCUCCGUGAAACUAAUCAGCAGCAGUGAACCCUACUGUGCUGUGGCAUCAUCAGCUACUUCAUCUUCCCUACAUCUCAAGGCAAGAAAGCAAGGGACCCACAUAUUCUCUGCUGGGUUCUUCUUCACCUUCAAGCCUCCCAAGCAACCCAGCUUAUGCAACCAGAAACCCAGCAUUCAGAAUUCCAAAAAAUUAAAUUCCCAGAAGUUCUCAUUCCCCUCCUACUGAUGAGAUGGCGUUCCCAUCCCCCUCUCAGGUGGACCCCACAAUGCCCGAUCUCCCUCUCAUCCCAAAUGAUCUCCCAGGACUCCCAGGACUACCAGGUCUCCCAGGUCUCCCAGGCCUCCCAGGCACAGGUCUUCCAGGCGUCCCAGGUACAGGUCUUCCAGGACUCCCAGGUCUCCCUGGACUCCCAGGCCUCCCAGGUCUCUCUGGACUCCCAGGCCUCCCAGGCCUCCCAGGUCUCCCAGGACUUCCUGGAACUCCAGGUUUGCCCCAUGUUUGUGGAAAACCUUCAUGUGGGUCCUGCAACUGCAAAACUUCAAAGAAUGGGCAACUAGGUGAUAAUAAAGAAGUGACCAAUCUAGAUUCUCCACCAGCAGUUUCAGCACCAUGAUUCCCGUAAACCUGCCUCCUAUACCUGGUUCCUAUCCUAUUGGGUGCUACCCGUUUAAGUAUAAUAAGCCCAUUUAGGUAUUCUGAGUUGUAGUUUCCUGAACUUCUAUGUAUUUAGGUCUCUUCCUACUCAUCUGAGAAUUAUGAAUGAAAUGUUGAAUGUUUUAGUGUUAUGUACUCUUCCCCUUUUCUCUCUACUUCUCCCUCUUUCUUCUCUUACGAGAAUGGGUCCCAUCUAGUUUCACUUUUUGACCGUCACCGCCACCUCCAACCCUCCCGUUCCUCCCUCCAUUCCCAUUCCCAGUCUCACCUGCGCAUCGGAUGCCCGGAAUCCCCCCAGCUUCUUCUUCAAAACAAAGUAUUCACCUUGAUUUAAGCUAAUUACUAUAUUUAACUACAAAUCGUCUCUAUAAUUACCUUCGAAAUAGUGUUUUACAUGUUUGUUUAAGUUUUUAAUUAUGUAAAAGUUCUUGUAUGGUUGGUUGUGCAAGUAUCGGAACAAUAUAUUUUUACAUAGUAGGGUUUGUAUGUUUGUGCUUUUUGUAAUGAGUAUGCGGUGGACACAAAAUUAUUGUAAGGGUAAUGGUAGUGCUAGGCCGACCAAAAUUUUAAAUUAGAUUUGCAAAUCAAAUUAUGUGUCAUCAAUAGAAAAUAAGUACAUUAAUUAACACUUAAUUAAUAAUCUAAUUCAUCAACAGCCACAUCAUUUGGUUUACAAAAUUUGGUUUAAAAUUUUGGUCUGUGUAAAGAAUCUCUAUUUUUGGUGAGAUUUUGCACUAAUAUUUUCAUAAUACUACCUUGUAUAUAUAAGAUAAUUUUAACUACAAAUCACAGUCUCAUAUAUAUAUAUACAGUUUAUACCAUAAAUUUUGAACCCCAUAUAUGCAUUUCAACUAUUAACAUCAUUCUCCAAAACACAUACAAGGGAAGGAAACAAAGAUGAAAGAAAGUUUGAAGCAAGUGAGUAGGGUUUAUAUACAUAGAAGUAGUUUCAUUCACAAAAUAAGAAAGGUUAAGGUAUUCCCAGUUAAGUGAUUAAUUCAUGUUGUUGGAAGUUAACCAGCUCCUGGAGUCGAGAAGUCGAAGGCAGCAAGGGGCUCCCGAGCAAAGGGUGUUGUCUGCAUCGAAGAAGAAGAAAGAAGAUGAAGGGUUUUAGUCUCCAACGGCUAUUUUUGUUUAAAUGUGGGUGUAAGUGUGUGAGUGACAAGUGUACACUCUAGAUUAAAUCACCCCCCAAAUGAAGGGUUAGGAUGUAAUCUGGAGUAGUAAGACUUAAAUGGUUGUUAAAGUCUCUUGUCAAUCAUUUUUUUAAACAAGUAUGGGUGAUGGCAAUGCACCAUACCCUUGUAAAAUCUCACCUUACUUAAUCAAUCAAGGCUGCUGCAUUUUUGCUAAGCCAGUAUCCAACCUCCUAGUUUUCUCCAAUUUUCUCUGCCAUCCUAAUCAAAAGAAACCGAUUCAAACACUCAAUCAAAAACACAAGAUCAACAAACUUUAUCAUGGCCUCAGAGCUUUGUUACUGAUCUUAAAAAAAAAAAAAAAAAAAAGUCUGGGCGUAAUCUGUGCAAAUAGAGAUUUCUGGGAGUACCAACGUAGUGUCUUCUACAACAACAAUCAACAAACUACCCUGAAAUGAAAGGAUCCAGCAGUAGCAUUGACCUAAAAGCUCCAGUCUUUGAUGGGGAGAAUUAUGAUUUUUGGAGAAUAAGAAUGACAACCAUUUUCAAAUCCUAUGAUCUAUGGGAUAUGGUUCAACACAGGUAUGAACUACCUGAGAUGGAGAUCGAUGCUCUAGAGGAGGAUCUCAUAGAAACACAACUCAAAACACUGAAGCAGAAUCGGAUGGAGAAUGCUAGAGCACUUGGAAUCAUUCAAGGUGCUGUCUCAGACACCAUUUUUCCGAGGAUAGCAAAUGAAGAGACUGCAAAAGGAGCUUGGGAAGUUUUACAGCAAGGGUACAGAGGAGACACUAAAGUUAGAAAGGUAAAACUUCAGUCCCUUAGAAGAGAUUUUGAGUAUACAAGAAUGAGGGAAAAUGAGCUAUUAAAAGACUACUUCACUAGGCUGUUUGAUGUUGUAAACAAGAUGAAAACAUAUGGUGAGGAACUGCCUAAUGAAAGAAUUAUCAAAAAACUGUUGAUUAGUUUGACUAAACCCUAUGAUUCAAUAGUGAGUGUUAUAGAAGAAACCAAAGACGCUGAAACUCUUAGUGUACAAGAUGUGAUGGCAUCCUUAAGAGCUUUUGAUCAAAGGCUCGAGAGGCAUGCUGACUCUGCACUUGAGAAAGCUUUUCAAUCACUCAAUGUUGGAUCUAAUAGUCAAGCCAGUGCAAGCAAUCAGAAACCACAAUGGAAGGGCAAGAACAAGAAAUGGGAAGGAAAAGGGUAUCACAACUCAAGACCUAACUAAGGCAGCAACAUCAAUGCAGGUCCAAGAACCAAGCAACAAUGCAAGCACUGUGAUAAAUUCCAUCUUUGGGAGUGUUGGUUCAAGGACAAGCCUAGAUGCCACAAAUGCAAUAGGUUUGGGCACAUUAUGAAGGACUGCAGAUCAAAGAAUGUGCAACAAGUGAACUGUGCAAAUCAAGUGGAAGAAGAAGCAAAUGUGUUAUGUGCUUUCAAUGCAAAAGUGGAGAGAAACUAUGAAGUAUGGUACAUUGACAGUGGCUGCAGCAACCACAUGACUGCACAUGAGUCAUUAUUCAUUGACAUCGACACAAACUUCACUGGAAAAGUGAAAAUGGGAGAUGGAAACAUUGUCAAAGCCACUGGAAGAGGAACUCUGGUUAUCAACACCAAGAAAGGAAGAAGAUGCAUAAGGGAGGUAAUGCUAGUGCCUGGAUUGGAUGAGAAUCUACUUAGUGUGGGUCAAAUGAUGGAGCAUGGCUAUUUCCUACUCUUUGAGGGAACUGUGGUUGAGAUCUAUGAUGACAAAUCCCUAUCAAACUUGGUGACCAAAGUGGAAGUGAAAAACAGAAGCUUUCCACUUGUGCUGAAGUACUUAGAAGAAAUGGCAAAGAGAGCAAGUGUGACAAGUUCUAUGAAGCUAUGGCACAAGAGACUCGGUCAUUUAAACAUGACAAACUUACAAAAUCUGCAAAAGGAUGAAAUGGUGCAAGGUAUACCAAAGAUGGAUCAAUGCAAUGAAACCUGUGAAGGGUGUGUGUUUGGCAAGCAUCACAGAGAUUCAUUUGAAGCUGGAAAGGCUUGGAGGGCAACAAAGCCACUCGAAUUGAUUCACUCAGAUGUGUGUAGACCAAUGAAAACAACAACAAUCAGUGGAAACAAGUAUUUCCUAACUUUCAUUGAUGACUAUUCACGGAUAUGUUGGGUGUAUUUCAUGAGGUUCAAGUCUGAGGUAUUCACAAUAUUUAAGAAGUUCAAGGCAAUGGUGGAAUUGCAAAGUGGAUACCCAAUCAAAAGACUGAGAAGUGAUAGGAGAGGUGAGUACACCUCACAUGAGUUCAAUGCAUUUUGUGAAGAUGUGGGGUUGGAGAAGCAACUCAUUGUGGCAUAUUCAACACAACAAAGUGGGAUUGCAGAAAGGAAGAAUAGGACUAUAGUCGAAAUGGUUAAGUCUAUGAUGCAUGAGAAGAACAUGCCUUAUAAAUUUUGGGGUGAAGCUGUGAACACCUCAGUGUACCUAUUGAAUAGGUGUCCUACUAAAGCAUUGGAGAAGAAGACUCCAUUUGAAGUGUUCAGUGGAAGGAAGCCUUCUGUGAAGCAUCUGAGAGUGUUUGGCUUAGUGUGCUACACUCUCAUCCCUCACUAACUAAGGCACAAGUUGGAGAAAUCAAGUAACAAGGGUGUUUUUGUAGGCUAUGGUACCAGUGAGAAAGGAUACAGAGUUUAUAAUGUGUUGACUUAGAAGAUAAUCCUAUCAAGGGAUGUUAUCUUUGAUGAAAACUCAAUGUGGAACUAGGAUACAAUGGUAGAGGAAAAGGACAGUGUCUCUCUACAAAUUGACCUAGGCAAAAGGCAAACAAGGGAGCCUAUGGAGACCUCAGUUCAAGAAGAAGUCACAGAUAAUGGUGACAUACAAGGGACUCCACAGCAAGCUACUAUGAGUCCACAAUUAAGUCAAUCACAGACAACAACUCCUAGUUCAACUCCAGUAAGGUUGAGAAACCUAGAUAAGAUUUAUGCUACAUGUAAUUAUUGUGUAGUAGAACCAGAAACAUAUGAAGAAGCUGAGAAAGACAAAGCUUGGAAGAAAGCAAUAAAGGAAGAGCUUGAAAUGAUAGAAAAGAAUGACGGAACUUGUAAAUUGACCAAGUGACAAGCUUGUGAUUGGUGUAAAAUGGGAGUACAAAGUGAAGCUAAAUCUAGAUGGCUCUGUGCAAAAGAAGAAGGCCAGGUUAGUGGCCAAAGGUUACUCACAGAAGCCUAGUGUAGACUUCAAUGAAACCUUUGCUCCAGUAGCAAGGUUAGACAUCAUAAGGACCUUAAUAGCCCUAGCAACCAAGAAGGGUUGGAAGCUGCAUCAAUUGGAUGUUAAAUCUGCAUUUCUAAAUGGAGUGCUAGAGGAUGAGGUGUUUGUGGAACAACCUCAAGGGUUCACAAGUCAAGAGUUUCCAGAAAAAGUGUACAAGUUAAGGAAGGCCCUUUAUGGCCUAAAACAAGCUCCAAGAGCUUGGUACAGUGAGAUUGAUUCCUAUUUCACUGAGAAAGGAUUUCAGAAAAGCCCUAGUGAAGCUACACUCUACACCAAGAUAGAAAGCAACAACAAGACACUCAUUGUCUCAAUCUAUGUGGAUGAUGUUGUCUACACUGGAAAUGAUGCUGCAAUGAUGGAAGAGUUCAAAGAAAAGAUGAUGAAGAGGUAUGAAAUGACUGACCUAGGCCUCUUGCAUCAUUUUCUUGGCAUUGGGGUAAUUCAAGAAGUAAGCAGCAUCUUUAUUCAUCAAAAGAAGUAUGCUGAAACUUUGCUUGAGAAAUUUCGUUUGAAGGGUUGCAAACCAGUUUCUACACCCCUAAUUGCAAAUGAGAAGCUUAAGAAUGAGGAUGGAAGUGAACCUGCAGAUGCUAGUCUCUAUAAAAGCAUUGUUGGCAGUCUAUUGUAUCUAACUACAACAAGGCCGGAUCUAAUGUUCUCAGCAAGCCUACUUUCUAGGUUUAUGCAGAAUCCUAGCAAGAUACAUAUGGGCACAGCUAAGAGAGUGCUAAGAUAUGUACAAGGAACUCUUGAUUAUGGGAUCAAAUAUGAGAUAGGAAAGUCAUCUAUUCUAAUUGGAUUCUAUGAUAGUGACUGGGGUGGUAGUGAGGAUGAUAGCAGAAGCACAUCUGGCUAUGCUUUCACUUUCGGAUCAGGGGUAUUUUCAUGGGCCUCUGUGAAGCAACAAAGUGUUGCACUGUCCACAGCCGAGGCAGAGUAUGUGAGUGCAUCAUAAGCUACAGCUCAAGCUAUUUGGCUAAGGUUCAUACUUAAAGAUUUUGGUGAAUUGCAGGUUGAAGCCACACCACUUUUGUGUGACAACACCUCUGCAAUUGCCAUGACUAAAAACCUAGUAUUUCAUCAAAGAACAAAACACAUCAAGAGAAGAUAUCAUUUCAUCAGAGAAGCAUUGCAGGACAACACAAUCAAGCUAAUCUAUUACAGCACAUAAGAUCAGAUCGCAGACAUAUUCACAAAAGCACUACCGAAUGAGAGAUUCAAUUACCUGAGGGGCUUGCUCGGAUUGACUCCCAGAAGCAGUUUAGAAUGGAGUGUUGGAAGCUAACCAGCUCCUGGAGUCGAGGAUUCAAAGGCAGCAAGGGGCUCCCGAGCAAAGGGUGUUGUCUGCAUCGAAGAAGAAGAAAGAAGAUGAAGGGUUUUAGUCUCCAACGGCUAUUUUUGUUUAAAUGUGGGUGUAAGUGUGUGAGUGACAAGUGUACACUCCAGAUUAAAUCACUUAACCCCCAAAUGAAGGGUUAGGAUGUAAUCUGGAGUAAUAAGACUUAAAUGGUUGUUAAAGUCUCUUGUCAAUCAUUUUUUUAAACAAGUAUGGGUGAUGGCAAUGCACCAUACCCUUGUAAAAUCUCACCUUACUUAAUCAAUCAAGGCUGCUAAGCCAGUAUCCAACCUUCUAGUUUUCUCCAUUUUUCUCUGCCAUCCUAAUAAAAAAAAACCGAUUCAAACACUCAAUCAAAAACACAAGAUCAACAAACUUUAUCGCAUGUCUCGUUCAUAGACAGAUAUGAGUACAGCAAUGUAGUACGAUACACUUAUUAGUUCAAUACACAUAUGAUUAUAUCGUAGAAAAAAGACAAAUGCACAAACCCAAAUUGAAGAAAGAAAUGCUCGAGUCUCUUACGCCACUUUGAAACAGAUUCAGUAUAACUGCUCACUAGUCCGGAGAGAAGCAGGGAUUCAGAGAUAAAGAUAAUAUUAUAAUUGAAUAUUAACCAAGGAUGAAAAAGGAUAUACUUGUUUGUUGGGUAACCUUUGCCGAGAGAAGAAAAAUAGAAGUGGGUCGACGGUCAUGCUUUACUAUACGGGCCACUGAGAAACCUAUUAAAAGACCAAUGAAAUGAAGUUAUGAACCGUUUCAUUAAAAGGAGGCCAAUAGCUGUACGGACGACAACGUCUCAGAAUUAGGUCAUCUUCUUCGAGCGCAACGAGCCAUAUCACAUACCCUUUCCUGUUUCCAUCGAGUUCGAUCGACUUCAACUCCUAUUUCUACCGAGUAGCAGGGUAAUGAUUUUGUGACUAGGGUUUUGGGUUCUGGAGAAUAAUUUUGUGACUAGGGUUUAGGGUUUUGGAUUGUUUUCACAAAAUCAUUCUUCACUUUAGCCACCUGCUAUGAUUUUAAUUUAAUGAGUAGCCAAUGUAAAAUUUUAUGCUUAUUUUCAUCAAAUAUUAUUAACAAUUUAAUGCUUAUUUUCUCGGGGAUCUCUCUGUUCUUCCUGGAUCAAAUUUGCCACUUCUUCAAAGCCUUGGUCUCAUUCAUUCUUGCAUCACUGAAAACACUUACAAAGGCCUGAUUAAAAAGGCUCAAGCUUGACUUUCUACUUGGAAAGUGAAUUUGUUAUCUCUUGCUGGUUGGGCUACUCUUGUUCAGUUUGUCACCUUCGUUGUCCCAGUAUAUCCCAUGUAGACAGUGGAAAUUACCAGUUACCAUUUGUGAUCAACUUGACAGGUUGAAUAAGAAUUUCAUCUGCAGCUCCACUCAAUCCAAAACUAAAGUUAACUUGGUUAAAUGGAGCCAGGUUUGCCUUUCGAAGUCUCUUGGUGGGCUUGGGGAUUGAUGCAUGUGGAUAAUGGUAUAUAAUUCUUACAUAACUAACCUGCAGCCCUGCCUGAGUCAAUACGUGUAUGGGGUACAAUAUACAAUUACAUUGAUCUAAACUCCUUGAGAAUCUACUAUAUAUUGCGUUGCAUUGACGAAGGGGUGAAAUUUAAAGAAGCAAAAUUUUAUACUUCUAUCUAUUACAUUUAUGCUUCAGUGCACUGAAAGUCACAAUAUGUUAUCACGAAGAGAGUUUAUGACAAUGGCGGAGUCAGUAUAGGGUCAUUAGUUGUUCUUGACCCUAACAAUUACUUUAAAAACCCUAUGUAUAUUUGUUUGUAUAUUGUAUUUGACACCUAUAAAUAGUUAAGUCAAACUCAAUUACAACGUUCUCCUCCUACAUCUUCUAUUUUCUUCUAUCAUAUUUGUCUUCCUUUUCUCUCUUCUUCUUGUAUGAAAUACUUUAGCUGAAAAGACUUUGUAAUCUUCAACAUUAUUCCAGUAUAUCCUGCAUCCACCCUCAACUAGCCUGUACAAAUAAUAGCAGUUGUCAACAUAUGUUGUCAUAAAAACUUUUGGCACAUGUUGACAGGAAUUGAUAGGUGCUUACUAGGUGCUUGAUGAAAUGGCCCAAUGAAGCUUUUUUUGUUGAUAUUAUGACUUCAUUAUUUGAAAAUUCUAGCUACAUUACUAGUUCAUGAUGAUUAUUUUAAAAUGUUAAUAAUAGCUCUCUUUCUUAUUCUCAAUAGCUCGGCUAAUCCUACAACCUUAAAAUAUGCAUAAAUUCACUCAUAUAGAAUGAGAAAAGGGAGAGAGGAUCCUUGUCGGAUCCUCUAAUCAUAUUCGUUCAUCGUACAUCGUGCGGUUAGUUUUUGUCAGGUACUGUUAUCAAUUUUAUAUAAAAAAAUUUACAAUGAUUUAUAACCGCACGAUGUAUGAUAAACGGAUGUGAUUGAAAAAUCCCUAUAAUCCUUACAAAGAGGAUCCUCCUAGGAGAAAAUGCCAUAUUUCAAGUGUGACGUGUAGAUUAUAGUUCCAAUAAUAAUAGACCACCCAAUCCGAAGAUAAACAAAUUAAAAUAACACUAUUAUCUUAUAUAUUUCAAAUUUGACACCAUUUGAAAAUUGGUGAGACCUGUAAAAGUCCUUAAACCUAGCCCAUGUCACUCCCCCACAAGGCUUAAACUCGCCCGUGAGAAGACAGGACGUCUUGUAACCCGUGAUGACAGCGAAUUGGACAAAAGCAUCAUUUUUUUAAUUCUGUUCGUAAAUCGUGCGAUCAGUUUUUGUUAAAUAUUAUUUAUGUUCAAUUUUAAAUAAAUAUAAUUUAAAAUAAUUUCUGACCAUACGAUGUACGAUGAAAUGACAUGAUUAAAGGAUAUCCAGGAUCCUCACAAAGAAGAUCCGACGAGAAUCAUAUCUCAAUAAUUUCAGACACAACACGUUAAUACAAAUAAACAAGCAACACCGUUUACAUCUUAUUAUAUUAGUAAGAUGAAAACUUCUCAAUUUUAUUCAAUAAAUAUGAAUUAUUUGUACAUCGAUCAAUUUGAGUAGAUACGAACACAAAUAUAGAUAAAUCGAACACUACUGAAUUGCCAUCCAUUUUUAACUGUAUAAAAGAAAAACAUUUCAUCACAAGAUAGUAGUGGACUUUUGGUUGUCGUAGAUAAAACUUGGACAUUCAAGAACCGCCUUACGUUGUAAAAAAUUGCAACACGGACAAAGAAUGAAACGGCACAUGUUUGUGGGUUUGUUAGCAGCUCAAUGCAAAACUUCGUGCAGCCAAUUUGUCAAUUCCAGUGCAAAUCCAUUUGACAGUACUAUUCUGGAGUUGUGCCUUUGUCAUGUGGGGGAAUAUUUCUUGCAUGUGACAAGGUACGUUACGAUUGUGGACAAUACGACUGUAGUUAUGUAAUGAGUAAAAUAUUUUAGACGAGGAUAUAAUUUUGGUGACACCGAAGUGUUUCCCUUUUGUCAGUAGAGAAGUUUUUCACUAAACUUCCAAGCAGUUAUUGGAAAAUGAGAAUUGUUGAAGUAGCCUUAGGUUUCCUCACAAAGCGGAAAUUCAAUUAAGGACAAAAUAAACAGAUUGUGGGUAGGAAAGGAUAUUUAGAUGAAAAAGAAACUUGGUGCAAACAACAACAUGAGUGUACGGAGAAACCCUAAUUUGGAUGUUAUACACAUCAUCACAUUAGUCAAACUUUCUCUCCUUUUACUGGUGACAAUUUAAAGCAAAUUUUAAUAAGAGAAAUGCUAAAGAAAUUCUCUAAAAAAUGAGAUUCUUUAUGAAUUCUUUGUUACCUUAUGUUUUUGACAUAAUAUUUUAUAAUAUUAACACAGAAAUUGAUAUUAAAUUGUGAAGCAGAGAAUUCAUAGAGAGUCUCACUUUAAAGGGAUCUCUGUAGCAUUUCUCUUUUAAUAAUGAUGCUAAUGAUUCAGCUAAGUGUCCUCAUAGAAGUAGAAGACAUCCCCGAGAUUUGGAGUAGAAGCAUUUCCCUUAUUAAUGUCACAUUAUUAUAUCAUGAUAAGAUCUUAAUUAUUCCCUGCUCAAAUACCAUAUUCUGACACCAUGGAAAGUUGCCAUUUUUGUUUUUGUGAGUUUUAGUUUUCACAUGUAUUUAUGUUGUGCGAGACAACCGCAAAUAUAUCACAUUGUAUCUACAACUCUUAUCAAAUCUAAGAUCUAUAAUUAAGAUAUUUCUGUUUAUAUAUAUCUAUGUUUGUAGUCAAUAUGAUAGGAGCUUAUCAUCUGCUUGUAUGCGAUAGAUGCAAAGAGAGAUCAUUGGUUACACGAUAGAAUCUCACAAGAAUGUCAUAUAUACCUGUUUCUUACCAAUAUAGUAGGCGCCCAUGCAUCAUUUGUUUCUGUGUGAAGAGAAAACAUGAAUGCAGCAACCUGUUGUUGACGGUGUACAGCUUCAUCCUCAUGAAAUUUGUGGCCACUCUACUUAUCUCGUGAACCAACGGGGACCCAACUAUUCUCUUUGGCAUUCUUACACCAACAAAGAAACAACCUCAAUAAAUGUAAAAUAAACAAAACACACAGCAACACAAAAAUUAGGGACCUCCUUGUUUCUACUUGCCCACCAUUACAAAUAUUACCCUUUUUUUUCUUGUAUGGUUUGGUGGUAGGAAAUGAAACCUAGCUACAUUCACUUCUUGUGGUUUGCAGUUGACUGGUUUUUCCAUGAGUGAAAUAAUGAAGCUUGAUGGACCGCAGGCUAUAAAUUUCGAAAACAGUCAUUCCUUAUUUGUCUAUCAAUCACGGUUAAUUUAAUGAGUUAAUUUUGCGUACGUAUUGUGAAUUGCAGAAAAUAGUCUAGCAGUGUCCUUUUUUAUGCCUAAAAAAGUGUCUAAUCCUACAGAGAAUAUUUAUAUUAGUUAUAAAGCCUCUGCAAUUGUAUAAAAGGCAGCCUGUAUCAACUCAUUCUUAGAGUCAGGAAUAUGAAAGCUUCUUAGAGGGGGAAAAGAUAGGCUCUAAAACAUGUCUUGGCUUACAGUUAUCUUUCUGGUUAUUACUCUUACAUUUCAUACUCCUUCAGAGGCUAGCCAUGAGAAGAACGAUCCUUCUGCAGUUGUUGUAGGCACUGUCUACUGUGACACAUGUUUCCAAGAGGAUUUCUCACAUACCAGCCAUUUCAUUUCAGGUAAAUUCAUCUCAAAUUUUCAAAAAGUUCGUCAUCAAGUUUCUUUUUAUAUUGUAGUCUGGCUAUAGAACAGACGUUCGUUCAAUGAUUUCCGUACACCCCUUCUCUCUCCCUUCUCUCAUGUUUCUUUUUAAUUUUUAAAUUUGAAUAAAUCAAAGAAAAAUAAAAAAAAAGAAAUAAACAAAGGUGUACAAAAGGAAAAAAUGUAAAAUCCAAUAAAGUGACUGCUGAGAGAUAGAAUUGGCCAGAAUGAAACAUUUCAUUACUGCUGAUUGUAAACCCUUUAUACAGAUAUUUCCUAUGAGAAAAAGUAAAUAACACAAAUCAAUUACAACAAAAUCUCACCUAAUCUAACUUCUUGACCGUAGGAUUCUGCUUUCAAUCACAGUUUAUUUCCAACAGACAACGAGUGUUGGGAUAUUAUUUCUCUUAAAGAAAAGAUGGAGGAUACAUCAGUUGUAUGUGUCGAUAUCAUUGUUGCCAAACAGUUAUAUCAUCAGUAACUUGUCGAUUUCUUUGUCAGUCAACAAAACAUCCCGACAUCUUAUGAAUGCAUUCUCCACAACAUCAAUAAUCUGAUGGGGUUUUUGUGCAGGGGCUUUUGUUGGUGUGGAAUGCAAUGAUGGGAGUUCAACGAAACCAAGUUUUAAGGCACAAGUGAAAACAAAUAGCCAUGGACAAUUCAAAGUCCAUCUGCCCUUCUCAGUGAGCAAACAUGUGAAGAAAAUUGAAGGAUGCUCUGUGAAACUAAUCAGCAGCAGUGAACCCUACUGUGCUGUUGCCUCAUCAGCCACCUCAUCUUCCCUACACCUCAAGGCAAGAAAGCAAGGGACCCACAUAUUCUCUGCUGGUUUCUUCACCUUCAAGCCUCUCAAGCAACCCGGUUUAUGCAACCAGAAACCCAGCAUUCAGAAUUCCAAGAAAUUAAAUUCCCAGAAGUUCUCAUUCCCUCCUACUGAUGAGCUGGCAUUCCCAUCCCCCUCUCAGGCGGAC
RNAcentral lists this long non-coding RNA (122449 nucleotides) under Malus domestica (apple). RNAcentral's name for it is "long non-coding RNA (MDOM_LNC007938)". The record is from RNAcentral. Lineage: Eukaryota; Viridiplantae; Streptophyta; Magnoliopsida; Rosales; Rosaceae.